Molecule: long non-coding RNA, 113943 nt
Filed under: Ananas comosus (pineapple)
Lineage: Eukaryota; Viridiplantae; Streptophyta; Magnoliopsida; Poales; Bromeliaceae
Description: long non-coding RNA (ACOM_LNC013800)
Source: RNAcentral
CUUAAUAUUAAUUUUAUUAUUAAGUUUUCAACCUUUCAAUUUUAUUACAAUUACUUUUUCUUUUUUCUUUUUUUUUGAGAGAUAGGUAGCAUGUUAUCCGCUACGUUUAUUUCAUUUAGAAAUAAACUUAGCUCAAAAUGUGAAUCAAUUUGGAUUCGAACUUGGGACCUCGAGUACCAACCACCAAGCCCUUUGCCACUUACUCUAGGGACGGUCAGUGAUUUUAUUACAAUUAUGUCCCAAUCGNUUGUUUGCUGAAUUUGGAUAAGGUUAGCUUGGUCGGAUUUAACGCUUUCUUCGCUGCCAGGAGUUGCUUGAGAGGUGGGUUACAUCGGUUUUUACUCCUAAGUUCAUAUUCGUCGGCAUGUAUAAUUUUCGACCUUUGGAUACUCUAUUCUAGCUCGAAUUCAUGGAUUAUAUUGUAGAUUGCAAAUCUGAAUUUGGAGCAUGUGGUAAUAAAUUAAGUAGGUUAUACAUGUUGGACUUGGAAAUUGAAUUAGGAGAAAACCUGCGAUUUGGACCUGUCACUUGUUUAAACUACCUAAUUUAGCCCUAGGGGCCAUUGUAUGUUUAUACAGUUGCAGUAUCCUCUUAGUGAGUGUGUCAGGUAGUUCAGAUUUCAGUUACGCUCGUGUUGAGAUGCCGAGCCGAUUUUUACAGUAGUGUUUACAGUGUUCCGGACUAGUGGGUGCCGUAGUGGUUGACGGCGGACCCGGAGUUGAUUGUUUCUGUAUCAGAUUGUGCCGAGAGCAUGUGACUAGUGGUUGGUAGUACUGUUAGACCUGUUUUCUUGACUUUAGCCUGUGAGAGUCUGAUUGAGCUCGAUAGAGAUACGCUUGCAUACUCGGUUGGGUCGCGCCGCCGAGUGCCGCUCCGGAGUCUGGCUUUGUGCUUUUGCGUUGAUGUCACUGACUAGUUUUGCUAUCCACGGACUGUUUUGCGUGGAGGUAGCGUGGCUUAGACAGGCGGGACGGGUGCGUUCACAGUCCCUGGGAUGGGUGUAUCACAGUCCCUGAAUAGAUUGGAUCAGCAUUAAUAUUUUUACUACAGAUAAUUAGAGUAGAGCAUGAUAGUGUAGUGAUAUUUAGCUGUAGGUGUUUCCAGCUUUCCUACUGUCCCAGCUCCUUUCUGUAGACUUAGUGGGUGGACCGAUGAUUGUUGAGGGCGGCACCCACUGAGGACUACUUGUUUUUACAGUAGUUCUCACGCCCAAUUGUUACCCUGUGUUUUGCAGAGCCUGCUGUUCCGACUGCUGCGUCUUCAGAGGCAGAUCGAGGCAAGGGCGUCGUGAGUUAGAGCCCUACCCGAUGAGUUGCUGAGAUAGAGGAUCCACCAUUGCAGGUAGUUCCGGUUUAUUUUGUUGAGUUCAUGUACAUACAGUUGUUAUAACUCGCUAGAGCGAGUACCUUUGUAUAGCGUUUUGUUGUAGGUAUGUGAGACUUGUUUUAUUCUACCUGUUUGGUUUCUUUACAACUCUAUACUACUGGUUGUAGUAUUGUAUAUUUUCAGUUACCGAUACGCUUCGUAUACAGGAAAAAUAUUAAUGCUGAUCCAAUCUAUUCAGGGACUGUGAUACACCCAUCCCAGGGACUGUGAACGCACCCGUCCCGCCUGUCUAAGCCACGCUACCUCCACGCAAAACAGUCCGUGGAUAGAAAAACUAGUCAGUGACAUCAACGCAAAAGCACAAAGCCAGACUCCGGAGCGGCACUCGGCGGCGCGACCCAACCGAGUAUGCAAGCGUAUCUCUAUCGAGCUCAAUCAGACUCUCACAGGCUAAAGUCAAGAAAACAGGUCUAACAGUACUACCAACCACUAGUCACAUGCUCUCGGCACAAUCUGAUACAGAAACAAUCAACUCCGGGUCCGCCGUCAACCACUACGGCACCCACUAGUCCGGAACACUGUAAACACUACUGUAAAAAUCGGCUCGGCAUCCCAGCACGAGCGUAACUGAAAUCUGAACUACCUGACACACUCACUAAGAGGAUACUGCAACUGUAUAAACAUACAAUGGCCCCUAGGGCUAAAUUAGGUAGUUUAAACAAGUGACAGGUCCAAAUCGCAGGUUUUCUCCUAAUUCAAUUUCCAAGUCCAACAUGUAUAACCUACUUAAUUUAUUACCACAUGCUCCAAAUUCAGAUUUGCAAUCUACAUUAUAAUCCAUGAAUUCGAGCUAGAAUAGAGUAUCCAAAGGUCGAAAAUUAUACAUGCCGACGAAUAUGAACUUAGGAGUAAAAACCGAUGUAACCCACCUCUCAAGCAACUCCUGGCAGCGAAGAAAGCGUUAAAUCCGACCAAGCUAACCUUAUCCAAAUUCAGCAAACAAAGGUCCUGAAGCUUCGUCUCGAAGUCACGAAUCCAAUGGCCCAGAUUUCGCUGAAUUCCGACGCUCCUACGCAGAGAACGGGCCAGAAUACGAAACGUCGACGCUGGAACCUGCGAAAUAGCAUCUCUGAAAUCUGCUCGGCAAACAGCAGCCUAAUAAAACUAGGGUUCGACAGGGCAAACCUGCUCCAAAAAUCGCGAUCUUGGGCUCAGAAUCUUCGUCUCGAAGUCGCGAAUCUAGCACGUCAAAUUUCGUCGCGUUUCGACACUCCUACACAGAGAACUAGGUAAAACACGGCGGGUCGAUGCUGGAAUCAGCAAUCAGCACUUCAGAGUCUGCUCGGCAAACAGCAACUCAGUAAAAAGGGAUUUCGACAGAGCAAACCUUCUCCAAAUCGGGCGAGUAAGGAUCCUAUGGAUUCGUCUCGAAGUCCCGGUUCCAACGAACCAAAUCUCGUCGAAAUCCGAUGCUCCUACGUCGCGUACGAGCUGAAAUACUAACAGUCGACGACAAGAUCCUGCGAAUCAGCACUUAAGCUCGAAUUGAAUGAAGCUUGAAGUAGAGAAGAAAUCCAUGGAGGAAUGAGAGAUUACCCACCUCAACCAGCGACUCCAAUUCCGGCACGGCGUCGAGAACGACGAAAACACUCCCUCGCCCGGCCUCCUCGCGAUGCUACGGUAACACGCGCGCGCUCGAACGGCUCCGCGACGCGACGUCGACGUUGCUCCAAGCUUCAACCGGGUUCUCCUCGUCCUUGCGUACGGCUCCAGAGAAAAGAGAUGAAGGAAAAUUAAUUAAGGAGGUGCGGGUGCAUCUCUUAAUUAAGGAAAUGGAUAAGCAUGCCAUGCAUGCAAAGGCAACGUGGCAUCCAUACAAUUUAUACAUAUAUAUAUAUAUAAGUAUAAGGAUACUACAGAUCUUGUUUUAUAUGGUAUAAAGAAUUUUCUAUCAAAAUUUCAUGUGAUUUGGAUAUUUCUACACCGUUAAACUUGCAAACGGCUCACUACGGCCAUUAAAAUUAUUGAUUUUGAGCCCUUUCGAUCACUAGGCAAAUGAUAUCGAAAAAUCUCAAAAUUUAUUUUCUAGGUACUUCAAAUACUCUAGAUCAACUCUAACGGAGCCGAUCGUCGAUUCGAAAGUCCAAACAUCGAAAACAACUUGAAAGCACGGAGGGCUCCGUGCUUCCAGAAGUAUACCAGCCCACUAUAUAUAUAUAUAUAUAUAUAUAUAUAUAUAUAUAUAUAGAGAGAGAGAGAGAGAGAGAGAGAGAGAGAGAGUCCGACUACUAUGCUAUCAAGCACCAAGAGCUUGGUACUACCAAGUUUUCCGCCAUUAGAUCUACCCCUUUGACUAUUUCCGAUCAUACUAUUCAAGCAACCAACCACUCAACUUUAAGGGACCAUUAUCAUCUCCAAGGGCGAAAACCUAAUAGCAACAAUGACUUGGUAUUUGGGUUAUUUUGCUAUCGAGUUUUUAACCGUUGGAUGAAAAAUUGUAGGGUUAGAAUGAUAGUGGUCCCCUAGAGUUUAGUAGCGGUCCCCCUAGGGUUGAGUCGGUGGUUGGUUGAAUAGUAUGAUCUAAAGCGUGAAAUUGAUUAAAAUAUAGAUCUAACGACUAAAAAAUCGUUAGCAAAAGAGUCCAAAUACUAUUAAUAGUAUUCCAGCUCAUAUAUAUAUAUAUAUAUAUAUAUAUAUAUAUAUAUAUAUAUAUAUAUAUAUUAGAAGCACGGAAGCCUCCAUGCCAUCAAGUUGUUUCGAUGCUGAGAUUUCCGAAUCGACGAUCAGAUCUAUUAAAAUUGAUCUAGAGUAUCAAAAGUAUCUAGAAAAUAAAUUUCGUAAUUUUUCGAUAUUAUUUACCUAGUAAUCCAAAGAGCUUAAAAUCAACAGGUGAAAAUAAAAAUAUCACAAAAAGUGAUGAUAUGAUGCUAAAAUUUUAGAUCAAAAAUAUUGAUCUUGGUUUAUGUAGUAUAAAGAAUUUUCUAUCAAAAUUUUACGUAAUUUGGAUAUUUCUAUACCGUUAAACUAGCAAACGACUCACCACGACCAGUAAAAUUGUUGAUUUUGGGCCCCUUCGAUCAUUAGGUAAAUGAUAUCGAAAAAUCGUGAAAUUUAUUUUCUAAAUACUUCAAAUACUCUAGAUCAAGUCUAACGGAUCUAAUCGUCGAUUCGAAAAUCCCAGCAUCGAAAAUGACUUAAUAGCACAGAGGCCUCUGUACUUCUAAAAGUACACACAUACAUGUAUACAUGUAUACUUAUAUGUAUGUAUGUGCGUGUGUGUAUAUAUAUAUAUAUAUAUAUAUAAGUACAAAAAUAUGCAAUCAAGAAAAACUAGGAAGGCAGAAAUAUGAAGAAAAAAUUUAGCAGAAGAAUUAUGAAAAAAAAAUCUAGUUACGUAUAGUUAAAAAAAAAAGGUGUAGUGCUUACGAGCUGUCGACCAUAUAGCUAGUAAAAAGUUUUAUACGAUACUAGGUAUACAUAUGAUAUGAAGUUCCUUUACUAGUUAUAUUUACUAACUUUCAUUUAUAAAAUUCCAAUAAAAACAACUUGGAAUGCAAAAAUCUAGUAAUCUAUACUGAUAAAGGAGGGAAUUUUGUUGGUAAUUUUCUUCCAAAUUUACCACUUCAUUUAAUUCUAAUAUCAGUCCACUAUAGAGAAUCUCAUCCAUUGCUUUUAUAAUGAAUUAUUGUGUACCAUAGAUUUUAAAAUUUUUUCUCAAAUGUAAUUCUGAUAGAAAAAAUUUUGAUCAUUGAUUUUGAUCCAGCAGAUGACAGAAAAAGUAUCUGUCAUUUUACAUUCCAAAAUAACCUUUGCACUUCACUAAAAUACACCCUAAUUGAGGCAAACCAAGGGGUUGGCAAAUCUGAAAUUUCAACUUCGUUUUCGUUUAUAGGUAUUUCUUGAAAUACACUAGGUUCAAAUUUUCGAUUUUGGCAAACUUCACUAAAAUUAAAGCAAGGAAGCAAGAAAAAGAAAUUUCAAUAAGAUAAAAAAUUAAAAUCAAAUUGAAGCAAUACUAAGAUGGUGAUAAAAUAUGUCCGGUGCAUACAACAAUUUCUCUUUCGAGAAUACCAAUUAAAUUUCAAGAAAAUGGAGUUCUCUCUUUCUAUAUUUUUAUUUUCUGUCGUAUCCAAUUGUAUUAAAAUAUUUGUUCCAUGUCGUUUUCUCUUUCGUUUUUAUUUUUCAAAUUUAAGUAUUUUGUUUCGACAAUUUUAUAUAAUUUUUAUUUUAUUUUGAAAAAGAUAAUUUUAGAUUUUGUUACGUUGUAUUGAGCUCUUGAGGUAAUAUAUAAUAAUCCUCUAAAUAACGAUAUGCUUUUAGUUUCUAAUAUAAAAAUAUAAUACGUGUUGCGUCAAUAAUUAGUAAUAAAUAUAUUUGAAUCAUCUAUACUUGACCUGUUUGUACAUCGGCAUUUAAACUUCAAAAUUUUCACAUUUGGUUGAUAAUUUUUAAAAUUUUUGCAAUUAACAGCUUAAAUCUAUAUUUUGUCAAUUUAAAGUGACUUCAUUACCUGAAUGAUCAAGAAACAGUAAAGAUCUGACUCCAUUACACAUUGGUUUUCCUAACACCAAAAUUUAGAGUGAGACUAUACAUUGUUUUGCUUCUUAUCUUUUAUGUGAAGUGCAUUGCACGUGUAUGAGACAAGUAUAUACUAUAUAGUUAGACUGUUAGAUACUAGGUAGAUUGCUCACAUGCUCAUUACGUGGUGCCCAAGCCAUAUGGAGAUGUGGUCUAUGUGGUGUGGUCGCUUCAAGUGCUCAUUACGUGGUACCCAAGCCAUAUGCGCAUGUGGUCUAUGUGGUGUGGUCGCUUCAAGUGCUCAUUACGUGGUGCCCAAGCCAUAUGCACAUGUGGUCUCUGUGGUGAGGUGAAGCGCCCACAUCCGCACAUGAGGUGCAUAUAUGGGUCUAUGCACCGCAUUUUAGAACAGUAGUAUCUCCCUCCUACCAGUUUUUGACAUCAUGCUAUUGAACUUAAUUUCGCUCGUUGUCAUAAUCAUGCCUUAGAGAUAAAAAAAAAAUAAUAAUAAAACAAAAACAAAAACAAAAACAAAAUCCCAAAAUCUAGAGUUACCAGCUUUUUUCAUAGUUUAAACUAGUGUUACACAUAAAAAACUAUUCAGAGAGAUUGCUCUUGAAUCACAUGUUCCUACAGCAUCAUAAGUCGUAACUCUACCUGACAAGUAGCCUUAUAACUUUCACGUUAAAUUUGAGACUAAUAUAAUCUGGCAAUAUAUGAUCAACAGCUAAUCAUAAUAUCUCAGUCAAUCACAUCAGAAACAUUCUUCUUCUUUGUUCUGCUCUGACUAUUUUCUCACAUCACUCCUAAUGUUUACAUACAUUAGGGCUGAAACUGCUCCAGCUAACCGGCCCGGCUACAUUAGAGAUGGCAACGGGUCGGGGCCUUCCCCAUCCCCGGCGCCGUGGAGUUCCCCGUCCCUGCGGGGAUCCCCGCCAAUCGUUGAAAAAUCAAAACUCGUCGAGGCCAGAUUCGCAGCAAACCUGGAUAAUCGUGGAAGAGGCUGAAGCCGCGCGAGGCGAAGGUCGAGGAGGCCGGUUGGAGCAACGAUGGGCGAUCAAGGAACGGUGGACGGAGAGGCGGCGCCGGAAGUGAGGUGGUCGGCGGCGAGAGAGGGUUUUGGUGUGGAGCCGCCGGGAGGAGGAGGAGGAGCGGGCGAGUAGAGAAUGGCGAGGUGGGGGAGAACGUGUGAGAAGAGGAGGACACGGGUGGGGGGCGAGUCGCGGAAGGCGGGUUCGAAUUCUCAAACCCUAGAGCUAGAACGAGAGGGGCAAAACUAAAUACUCGUCUUAGCACAAGUUUCCUAUAUUUCAAAUUCAAAUCCUAAUUGAUUUAUAUUUUCAGCUAAAUUUAUUUUUUAAUAAAAUAGACGAAACGGAUAGCAUGUUAUCUAUUUUUUAAAAAAUAAAAAAAUAAAUACUAAAUCGUUAUAGACUUAACCAGAUUCGAUAAAAACAAAAUCACCAUCUUCAUAAACCCAAAUUACGGUCUUCGUGAUAAGCAUGCUUUGAUCUAAAUCGAUGUCUUUAUGAUAUUCUUUGAUUUCGGUUUGAUUAAAAUAAAAUCGUCGUCUACGUGACAAGCGCAUCCCGGCUCGUGCAUGCCAUUACCGUAACUUGACGUACACUAAAUGUUUGUUUCACCGAAACUGGACUUUGGGUUGAAGUGGAAUUCGGUAAAAACUACUUCUUUCUUGCUGUUUGUUUCAUAGUUAUGAAAGUGAAAUUUUAUUAGUUCCGUUGUUUGUUUGGUAGAAAGUGUAUGAUGUAAAAUUAUAAUUUAUAUAUAAAUAAUAAAUAUUUUAAUAAAUAAAAAUAAUAUAAUUAUUUUUUUAUAUAAUUAAAAUUUAAUUUAAAACAACUAGAUUAUUUUUUUAUAGUAAUACAAUAAUAAAAUUAUAAAUUUAAAAAAUAUUAAUACUUAAUUAAUCAAAUUUUAUUAUAUUUUAAAUGUACAAACUAAAUAAAGAAAAUAUUAAAACUUAACUAAUCAAUUUUUAUCAUAUUUUAAAUAUAUUAACUGAAUAAAAAAAUAAUUAGCAACAUAAUUAAAUAUAUUUAAAUAUAACUAUCUUUAUCUAUUAUAUUAUUUUAUUAUUUUUUCUUCAUUUCUCUUCACCGUAAUUGACUUCGGCCCACGAUGGGGCGAAGUCAAUUACCCCAUUUGAGGUUAACUCGAGUGUCGACCGUAACUCUUUUACAGGGAACCAAACAACGGAAGUAAUCGUUUAGGACGAAAACGACUUCUCUUCUCUCCACUUCCACCCCACUUCCACCCAAACAAACAUGCCCUAAAGAGUUGAUAUAAUGACGACUUCUUUAUAAAAUAUCGAAAAAUCAUAUUACCUAGCCAAUAGGUGUCAUGAACUUGGCAUGGAAUCUAACCCAAAUUGAACCAAAUUAACUAUAUAAAAUGCUUGAGUUUGAAUUGAACCCAACAUAAGCAUAAACUCAAUUUGAACUUAAUAAAAAAAAGAAAGAAAAUAAAUAAGUUGGAGCGAGCAUAAGUCAAACCGGCUUGUACACAAACACAAAUUGAACUUAAUUCAAGUGGAUGGCAGGUCAUGCUAAUAAUGAAUCAAAGAUAAAUUAAACCCAAAUUUGUGAACCAAACCUAUGAAAGUAAAUCGAACAUAAAACGAAGAACCAAACCAAUCUAUAAGCCGGUUCAACUCAAACCGAAUUGAGAUACAAAAAGUCUAAACCAAACCGAACCAUGCACUGGUUCGACUCAAAUCGAACUACAAUGGGUUUACAAACAUAAGAAAUUGACCCAAAUGAAAUUCAGAAAACUCGGACUAAACUAUAAGGUUCGGUCCAAAUCAAACCAAACCUCAAGGGAUCUCGAUCCAAAAUAUGAUGAAAAUUGAUUAAUUGAGAAUUAGUAUCUCUUUUCUUUUAGAAUGUUAUUGUUGCAUUAUUGUAACUUAUAUGCACAAAAAAUUAAUUUAGUUGUUUUAAAUUAUUGUUUUAAUAAUGUAGGGAUACAAUUAUAUUAUUUUUCUAUUUAUCCGGCAUCAUUCGGUUUGCUCCAAGACCAAGGAAUCGAAAAUGUCAGAGUUCAAGCUCUCCAAUUUGCGGAUGACUUACUCAUCUUUUUAGAUGGCUCCCCAAGGUCUGCGGGAGAUACAAAGCUUAUUCUCGAUGACUUUGCGGCUUGCUCUGGUCAUCGGAUUAACUAUGAUAAGAGCUCACUUACGCCCAUUAACUUGCCGGAAGUCCAAGCUACCUCCUUAGCUAGCUUUUUCGGUUGUGCGGUGAAAGGCUUCCCACUUAGCUACUUGGGCCUACCUCUCUCCCCUAAGAGACUUCGCAGAUCUGAUUAUAUGCCGCUAAUAAAGAAGAUUGACAACCGUCUGGCAGGUUGGAAGGGGCUUAAUCUAUCACGAGGAGGCCGGUUAGUGCUACUUAAUUCGGUGCUCUCGAGUAUCCCGUCUUACUUUUGCUCGGUUUUUCGAUUGCCGGUCUGGGUAGUGAAAUCCAUCGACAAGAUCCGUCGCGAUUUCUUUUGGAGGGGGAGAAAACUUCACAAUGCCUUCCAUUGCCUUGUUAAUUGGGAUCAAGUUUGCCGCCCAAAAAAAUGGGGCGGACUAGGCAUCCGAAAGUUACAGGCGAUGAACUCGGCACUCCUGAUGAAGGCCUUACGGAAUUUUUACAAUUCUCCGCACCUAUCUUGGGUCAGACUCCUGACGCAAAAACACUACAGGUACAAACAGCCAGCAACUAGUGAUAACACUCCGACUACGUGCUGUCCAAUGUGGAGAGGAAUCCUCAGCAUUACAGCACCAUUUCAUACGUCCAUUUCCUUUUCGAUAGGCAACGGGAAAGGUACGUCCUUUUGGAAUGCUAAAUAGGCGGGCGAAUUCACUCGCAGAAAUCAAUUCCCUAAUCUCUAUAACAUCGCGAGACAUAAACACCUCUCAGUCUUUACCUGGAUUUGGCGCUUCGCUCAAAAGGACAAUAUGGGGUUCCAACAAUCACAAGUGCAAGGCGACCAACUGGAUGAGAUCCCGCGACUCAAAUUACUGAUCCAGAAUACCUCUUUAACUCAUAACCAGGAUUGAACCAUUUGGCGUGGGAACGACGAUGGUACAUUCCAGGUUCGCCGCGCCUACUCUUUUCUUACAUUUGAGGGCAUUGAUGCUUGCAGAAUCUCUUUUCUUUGGAAGAUCAGGAUCCCCCUCAGAGUUAAAGUCUUCAUUUGGCUUGCGGCGAGAAACAGAAUCUUGACAGAUGAUACGUUAGCUAACAAGGGCUGGCAAGGUCCGUCGAUUUGCGCACUAUGCUCUACAAACGGUGAAAACCUUGAACACAUCCUUUUCACAUGCAACUAUGCGAAGAUAGUUUGGGCUCAACUCCUACAAACGACUCCAACAGCUCAAGUGUUCAUGAUUACAAGCCCAGGAGAUCUGCUUGCUUGAUGGGACCAGGCAAGGUGCUCUAUCCGAGGGAGGCAAAAGAAAUGGUUUGAUCUCUGUUUUACUGCAGCAUGUUGGGAAAUAUGGAAAGAAUGAAACAAGCGCAUAUUCGAAGACCGACCUACUCGAACGGACGAGACGGCAAAUUGAGUACAUAGCUUGGUUAAACUAUGGACCUCAGCGCUAACAGGAAGAGGGGAAUGAAAUUUUGUGGUCGACAUCGACUUUUUUUUUGUAUUGUAAUGUCCGGGUGUAGCUACUUUCUGUACGUGUUUUUCAGUUACUGUUUUGACAUUUUGUCGUUCUAGGCUGUUGCUAGCCGCUAAUCGGCGAUUUUGUAACCUCUUCCCUGUACAAAUAGGGUAUAUCCCUGUUUCCUCAAAAAAAAAAAUUAUAGUUCUUUAUUCAGUAAGUUAUAUAAGAGAAUAAUAUUAUAUGAAUAAAUAGUUACGUCCAAGAUAAGUUUAUCAUAGGUGUGAAGAUUCAACAAUUUUCGGUGAAACAAAUAAAAAAAGCAAAAAACUUGUAGUUUUUACGCUAUUGACUUUCUGUCAAACAAAUAGGAUAGCUAAGAAAAUUUCACUUUCACAGUUAUAGAAACAAACAGCAGAAAAAUAGUGAUUUCUACUUGAACUCUAGUUCAAUCGAAAAUCUACUUUAACAUCGAUUUUACCUUCGAUGAAACAUGCUCUUAACUGCAACUCUUGAGGGAGUGACCUGAACGGCACCGAAAUCGUCGCCUAGGCUUAUAGCAAACAAUAGUCAAGUAAGUAAUGAAUGGGUUACAAACAUAAAGGACGUAGGGAGAUGGUGAUUUUGCAGAAGAGCAAAAGAGCAAAAUCUACUAGAGCAACAAUUGAAGGUAUGAAGGAUAUCUUCGAUGAUGGCUAGUUCCAACACGCACCUUGGCUUUCAAAAAUACUCGAAUAAUACGACUGAAACCAAGUGUAGAUAAAAGACACAUCAAGUUUUUACCAACCAAAAUAACUCUUAAUAAAAAGACAAGACAAAGGAGAACAGAGGGUUCCAAUUUCGUUUGUCAAGAUAGAGGAAGAGAGCGACAAUGAUUCUUAAUAAAUAUGAACCUUCGUUAGAUGUAAGCCCAUAAUAUAGGACACAACAAGUACAAUCAAAUCCUAACAAAUAUUAAUGUACCAUAAAGGUGCAUACAUUCAACGCUUCUUUAAAAUAUCUGAGUAUCAUUAUCAAUAAGACAACAUUGUUGAAUUUACCUAGUAAGUGUUCAACAGAAGAGGGCUCUAAAAAGAUGUUUAGAUUGUUCCCAAACAAAUGCUUCCAAAAACUAACACUUUAAUGAAGUCUAAUCCACACUUCUAACUUCCAUCCUUCAUCUGCUUGUUUGACACUUAGUAUCGUUACCUUUCAGACUUAGAGUGCUUCUUCUUUAACAAACUCAAAGGGUUUUCAGGUUUCCUUUUCUUGGUUUCCCCAACUAAUCUAUUCACAUAAGAUAUGUAGGCAUCAACAUCAAAUUUUCUUUUGCAGCCGGCAUAGUUCAUGUAGCGUAUCUUUCCGAAAACUGGUCUCUCUUUCCAACCCUGCAGUAAUAAUAUACAAAAGCUCAUAAUUCAAUUAUUGUCCACCCUCUUGAUCAAAACAUAUGGUAAAUACAAUAGAUGUUUAUCAGGUAAAUUGCACUACUGUUCUCUGAAUUUUUAGAACUGCCUUUUUAGUUCUCUAACUUUUAAGUUGGACUUUUGGAAGUACCUUAGUUUAGUCCCGAGCAUAGAGGAAAAUAUCCAUAGAUGAACCAUGAAUUCAUCAGCUCUUCACCAUAUCAUACUUUCUAUCCAACUGUCUAAUUUCCAAGUAAAAGAAAGGCUACAACUAAACUGGAGUUAAAUAUCCAACUUGAAAGUUCUACGACCAAAAUGAAACUUGGCUAGUAGUUCAGAGAGUAGUGAUGCAAUUUACCCAAUAUUUGUACAACAAUCUUGACAAGCGCAUGAUAGAAAUGCAAGAUGGCCAUUUGUAGUAGAAGAAACUAGAAAGUUUGCUAGAACGAAAUAUUCCAACCUGAUCGUGAACACCACAGAUCGACCACAUGCAACCAACAUAACCAUUUGGAUCUCGACCAUCAAUCUCAUACUGCAAGAGGUACAAUGUUAAGAUUCUUGAGCAAUUAAAUAAGAAAAAAUAAGUAAUAUCUUUAUUGUUAAUCACCAAAUUAUAGCUCUCUUCACAUAUUUCCAUGCUUUAAGAAAGAAGAAUAAUGUUCGCCCUUUUAAUGCAAGAACUACAUCCUUUCAAGGGGCCAUUGUGUGCAAUGAUAAAAGAAAGUUUGGCCUCACAAGCAUAGAGUUUCAGGUUCAAGUAUUAAUAGUGACCUGAGUCUAAAUUCUCACUUCCCUGACCCCCACUAGGUAGAAAAUACAUUAGCAAAAGACAGAAAUGUCAGCCACAAUACACGGAGCAGUUGAUAACAUCAAGCUCAUAUAUCAGGUAAUUCUUCUUAGGCCAUGAAGUAGCUCGUGGAUUACCAUGGAACCUCAUUCUGUGAACCAAGGGCCAAGGCACUUGCCAUUUAAUCGAAUAUCUAACAUAUUUAAUCUAAUAUCUAACAUAAGCAUGAGGAAAAACAGUUUAUUCAACAGGGCAAACAUUUUUACUAAAGUUGCUUUAUUGAUUUACUUCAACAUGGAACACCCCUCAGGAGGAAUUUCAUAUGGAAAUGACAAAAAUGACAUUGUACAUGUUUGUGAAACCAGCAACAUCAUAGAAUGUUCCUCCCAAAAAAAAAAAGAACUACCCACCCACCCACAACACAAAAAAAAAGUACCCUUAUUUGUUGGUUAUAUGUCUUCUUUUGUAUAGGGCAUAAAGAUAUUUUUUUGGCCCAUAAAGUUUUUUGGACUAAUAUGCAGAAGAGACAUGAAUAUAGAAGUUCGUUUAUGGCGCACUGGAUCUACCAAAGUAGUUAAAGUGUGAAUAGGAAUGGCUUUCAUUGGACGGUGAAGUAUGCUUGUGUUUCAUGCAUGCAUGCAUGAAGCACAUGCUGCCACGAUUGUCAAAAAUCCUAUACAUAGGCUAAUUAAGGAAAGUUGACAAUUGAAGUUGCCAACUUCAAUUGUGCAACUGCAUGCAUGCCUAUAAAAGGGUUCCAACUCCAUCUGAGAACAAGCAACGAGUAAAUUAAGUGAGGUGUUAGGAGAAGCCUGGAAACUUAAUUAGUAGCUUGUUGAGUUUCUCUCUAUUUAAAAAAAAAAAAAAUUCAUUUAAGAUUAAGGCAGGAAUUUUUUCUUGUAACAAAAAAAAGGUGGUAGUAACCAUAAGGCUCUUGUAUUAGAUUGAGAGAAACAUAAAGGUUUGGGCUUGUAUUUUGGUUUAGUUGUUAAAGAUGCAGGAAGAGGACAGCAUAAGGAGCGUGAUUUGGAUAAAGGAAGAUCUCGUUCUAAGUCAAGGUCAAAAAAGGUGAAGUGUUAUUUUUGCAAAAAAGAUGGUCACAUAAAGCAAGACUGUGAGAGGAGAAAGGCAUGGCUGCAAAAGAAGAAUUCCUCUACACGUACAGUAAGCGUAGCCAAUGACCCCGAUCAAAAUCAUGAUGUUCUGACGGUUUCUUCAGGUAUUGAAUCUCUCGCCGACUGGAUAUUAGAUUCGGAUUGUUCUUAUCAUAUGACACCAAAUAAAUCUUUAUUUGAUUUCUACAAACCUUGUGAAAGUGGAAAUGUUAUGAUGGGUAAUCACACUACUUGCAAAGUUGUUGGUGUGGGAACGGUAAAAAUAAAGAUGUAUGAUAACAUGGUAAGAACUUUGACAGAUGUGAGACAUGUUCCAGGUCUCAGGUUAAAUCUAAUAUCACUUAGAGCUCUUGACUCUAUUGGUCAGUACUACUAUUGUAGAUGGAGUCAUUAAGGUAAAAGAGGUGCCAUGAUUGUCAUGAAAGGAGAGAAAAAAGGAAACCUAUACAGGUUGAUCGGCGAGUCGGUGAUUGGAGGUGUUGCAGUGACAUCCUCAGAUGAUCAUGAUGCCGAUGAUGCAGAACUCUGGCACAUGAGACUAGCCUACAUGAGUGAGAAAGGGCUGUUGGAGCUGCACAAAAGAGGAGUAUUCAAAGGUAUGAAAACCUGCAAACUCAAUUUCUGUAAAUACUGUGUAUUUGGAAAACAGAAAAGGGUGAGUUUCAAGUCCUCCGAUCAUAGAAGUAAAGACAUACUUGAAUACAUCCAUUCAGAUGUGUGGGGGCCUACUCCAGUGACUUCAAAAGGAGGUGCGCAGUAUUUUGUAACAUUUAUUGAUGAUUUCUCUCGUAAAGUUUGGGUUUUCUUCAUGAAGGAAAAGUCUGAAGCCUUUAUAAAGCUCAGACAUUGGAAGAAAGAGAUGGAGAAAUAGACAGACAAGCAAGUCAAGUAUCUAAGAGCAUACAAUGGUGGAAAAUUCACUUCCAAGGAGUUCAUUAAUUUCUGCAAGGAAUAAGGCAUUAUACGCCAUCUAAUAGUUCCUGAAAAUCCACAGUAGAAUGAGUAGCAUAAAGAAUGAAUAGAACACUGUUAGAAAAAGCCCGAUCUAUGAGGAUAUGUGCAGAUUUGCCAAAAGAGUUCUGGGCCGAAGCAGUGGAUAUGGCAUGCUAUAUUAUUAAUAGAUCUCCUUCCACAGCAAUCGAACUCAAAACACCAGAGGAAUUAUGGUCAGUUAAACUUGCAAGUUAUUUCUCAUUACGUGUCUUUGGUUGUCCUGCUUAUGUUCAUGUUCAGAAAAAUCAGCGCAUGAAGUUAGAUUCGAAGUCAAAACCCUGCAUAUUACUUGGGUUUGAGAAAGGGGUGAAAGGAUACAAGCUGUGGGACCCUGUUGCCAAGAAAGACAUGAUUAGUAGGGAUGUAGUCUUUGACAAAAAAUUAAUGCUGCAAAAGAUCCAAGAGCAGGCUCAACAUGAAAAGCGUGCGAAGACUACAGACAUUUAGGUAGAGCAACAAGAGAGUGUACAUGAUCAGGUGGAGCAACCACACCAUGAAGAAGAUCAUGAGACAUCAGUCGAUCCAAAUGAGAGCACUUUAGAGGAGCCCUACUCAAUCGCCAAAGGAAGGGAAAGAAGACAAGUUCGUCCAUCAUUAAGGUACAGUCUAGAUGAUUUUGCAACUUAUGCUUUAUUAAUUACUUCAGAUGAUUCUUCUUCUUUUGAGAAGGCGAUGCAGGAUAAGGAGAGUGGCAAUUGGAUGGCUGCUAUGAUUGAAGAGAUGGAAUCUUUGCGCAAGAAUCAGACAUGGGAUCUGGUUCCAUUGCCUAAGAAAAAAAGAGCCAUCAGAUGUAAGCGGAUCUACAAAAGAAAGCAAAGUGCAGAUGGUGAACCAGUUAAGUUUAAGGCCCGUUUGGUGGCCAAGAGCUAUGCGCAGAAACAAAUAGUUGAUUUCAAUGAAAUCUUCUCACCUAUGGUGAAGCACAUGUCUAUCAAGAUACUUCUAGCUAUGGUGGCCAUGUUUGACUUAGAGCUACAGCAGCUCGAUGUUAGAACUGUAUUUUUUCAUGGGGAUCUCGAAGAAGAAAUAUAUAUGGAACAACCACAGGGCUUCCUUUAGUCUGGAAAAGAGAAGCUCAUGUGCAAGUUAAAAAGCUCUGCUUUCUGUAUGGACUGAAACAGGCACCAAGACAGUGGUAUAAAAGAUUUGAUGGGUUUAUGAUCAAACAUGGAUAUAGUAAAGUUUGUUUGAUAGUUGUGUGUAUUAUCGUAAACUUAAUAAUAGUUCUUUUAUUCUACUAAUGCUUUAUGUAGAUGAUAUGUUGAUUGCAACAAAAGAUCCAACAGAAGUGCAAAAGCUAAAGGAUCUGUUGAGCCAAGAAUUUGACAUGAAAGACCUAGAAAGUGCCAAGAAAAUUCUAGGUAUGGAGAUCAGAAAAGACCGCAAGCAAGGGAAGCUCUGGCUAUCCUAAAAGACAUAUAAAGAAAAUUGUAAAGCAAUUCAAUAUGACAGAUACAAAGGCGGUCAUGACUCCGUUAGCCCAGCACUUCAAGCUAUCAGAGGAGAUGUGCCCGAAAACUAAGCAAGAGGUAAAUUAUAUGGCAAAGAUACCAUAUGCUAGUGCAGUUGGUUGUUUAAUGUAUGCUAUGAUUUGCACUAGACUUGACAUUUCACAUGCAGUUAGUGUUGUUAGUUGAUAUAUGUCGAAUCCAGGAAAGCAACACUGGGAGGCAGUGAACUGGAUCUUGCGGUAUUUAAAAGGCAUAGCUAAUGUAGAAAUUCUCUACACUAGAGAAUCUGGAAUUGCUGAAGAGGAUGUGUGGAUUCCGACUAUGCUGGAGAUUUAGGCAGGAGGAGAUCCAUUACAGGUUAUACUUUUCUGCCGAGUGGCGGACCUGUUAGUUGGAAGUCCACGUUGCAGCGCACUGUAGCCUUGUCAACUACAGAGGCGGAAUAUAUGGCAACAAUUGAAGCAGCCAAGGAAGCAGUCUGGCUCAAAGGCUUAGCAGGUGGAUUCGGAAUCAUACAAGGUAAAACUAUUUUGUGAUAGUCAAAGUGCUAUUUGUCUUACUAAAAAUCAGGUGUACCAUGCAAGGACUAAGCAUAUAGACAUAAGGUAUCACAAAUUAAGAGAGUUCACAAAUGAAAAUGAUGGAGCAAUUCGACUUGUAAAAGUGUCUACAAAGGACAAUAUAGCUGGCAUCAUGACAAAACCAGUAACAACUGAAAAGUUUAAGCACUGUCUAAACUUGGAAAAUUUGCAAGAUUGCUGAUGACCGAAAGCUCUAGGGAGAGAGAGCAUUCAGAUGAGAGAGACUGAAUGAAGAACAAAAGAAGCCAAGGUGGAGAUUGUUGGUUAUAUGUCUUCUUUUGUAUAGGGCAUAAAGAUAUUUGUUUGGCCCAUAAGGUUUUUUGAACUAAUAUGCAAAAGAGACAUGAAUAUAGAAGUUGGUUCACGGCGCACUGGGUCUACCAAAGUAUUUAAAGUGUGAAUAGAAUGGCUUUCAUUGGACGAUGAAGUAUGCUUGUGUUUCAUGCAUGCAUGCAUGAAACAUAUACUGUCAUGAUUGUCAAAAAGCCUAUACAUAGGCUAAUUAAGGAAAGUUGACAAUUGAAGUUGCCAACUUCAAUUGUGCAACUGCAUGCAUGCCUAUAAAAGGGUUCCAACUUCAUCUGAGAACAAGCAACAAACAACGAGUGAAUUAAGUGAGGUGUUAGGAGAAGCCUGGAAACUUAAUUAGUAGCUUGUUGAGUUUCUCUCUACUUUAAGAAAAAAAAAUUCAUUUGAGAUUAAGGCGGAAAUUUUUUCUUGUAACAAGAAAAGGGUGGUAGUAACCAUAAGGCUCUUGUAUUAGAUUGAGAGAAAUAUAAAGGUGUGGGCUUGUAUUUUGGUUUUCUUCAUAUAAAGUAUAUAUCUCUCUCGCUCUCCCUGUGGAUGUAGGCAACUUGCCGAACCACGUAAAUCGCUGUCCCUUUUUUGUGUAUUUCUUUUCGAUUAUCUUUUGCAUUUUUGUUUGUUCGUGUAUUUUUUGUUGAUAGCACAUGCAAGACGAUCCUAAGUCCCAACAUUGUUGAUACAUCUUAAGCUUGCUUUACUAUUACAGAAAAUAUAAUCAACCAACAUUCUACAAUCAAAUUCAGCAUUAAUCACGACAUCAGCCAUUCAUUUUGUAUCUGAUUGAUUUUGAGUUGAUAAUAUUUUGAAGAACUCCAGAAAUGGAGUCAAAGUUAUGGUUAAUACCUUGUCAUUCAAGUAUAUUGCGAUAGAAAGUGCUUCUUCAGGUUUAUUUGUCCAUUCUAAAAUUUUCUUGGCCCAAUACAUCCUGCAAAGAACAACGAAGUUAGCAACCAACAAACAAAGAAAAAAGGAAAGAGAAAGAAAAGGAAAAAAGAAAAGAAAAGAAAUUCUGAACACACUUGAUGUAAAUAGGCACUGCUCCAAACAUAGUGUCAUAUGAAAGACGAGUACAUAAUCAUACGAAAAAAAAAAAAAGAAAAGAAAAAAAAGAAGAAUGAUUAUUGGACUCUUCUCACUACAAAUAUUUACAUGCAGACAAUCUUAUGAUGAUAAGAGUAUGAUUAAAUAUGGGGCCUUCCAUAAAGAAGGAAAUAUCAGGUAAAAGAAAGUUCUCUUACCGCAUGAAUCCAUGCAUUUUUCCAUGAUAAACCAUCUCCAACUGUGAUGCAUUCCAAAGCUGAAAACAUUAAAAGUGUGGUCAAGACUCAAUGGUAAGCACCAAAACCCAUAACAACAUCGAAUUCUGAAUUAAGAAGGGAAAACAAAUCAGUUGAUAACAUACAGGAUCAGCAGUUUGUGCUUUCUCCAACUGCUCUCUCCUGCAAACCAACAAAAGAGAACAUAUUCAGCCAUGCACCGAAUAACAGGAAGCACCAAGAGGUCAUGCGCCAUGACUACAAGAGCCAGCAAAAUCUUCAAGAACAGCAAAUCAACUUACUCACGUAUAGAUGUGCUCUCUUUUAUCCACAGCGUGCUCCAUUAAAGUCUUGCGAGCCCACUCCCAUGCACCAUCCAAUGAGUCGUACUUAGGCUGGUAAUAGCAAAAGUUGUCUGCUAACUCCCUUCUCACUAUCAACUCCUCCAAGAAUGCAUCAACUGCCUAUACAAGAAAAUCAAUUUUUCUUUAACGUCUGCAGACAUAUCAAAUCUCAUCUUUUGCAUUAGUUUAUUACUAUAAAACAAAUCAUUCAGUCUGAAGUUACUAAGAAAUUCAAAAGAACUUUAUCAAUGUAGUAGCAUGAUCUCUCAAAAAUACAUCCAGAUUACACUUUACUACUUAACAUUAUUCAAUUUACAAGGUGGAAAUGUACAUACACUGCUUGAAACAAAGUGCAUUUUAAAAAGUGUUGAUUUUCAUACCUAACCUUUGAUAUUAGCACUCAACCUUUCAUUAUCAUUAAUUUCCUUAACACUUUGUCAAACUCUUUUUGGACUUUACUACAGGUUACUGUCAGAAAGUUAUAGAAAAUUCCAUUUAGUAUUAGAAUAGGCCAUUAGGUUGUGUCCAGAAACUUAUAAAUAUGGGUAGUGAAUGAAAGGUAUUGAAUUCAUAUAUAUAUAUAUAUAUAUAUAUAUGUAUAAAAGUUAAGAAACUAAAGCAGAAGUCCUAGAUUUCAGAUACCCAUUAUCAAAAUUGGUUAUAGUUCAUAUAGUAUCUCGGAAUUUGUACCUAUUAAUAAACACCAAAAUUGGCUCCAAUACCUACAACUAGAGAAGAAGACAGAAUUUAGGCAAUCUCACCUUUGGAUUAGAACUCCUGCGAGCCCGUGCCUCGAGAGCACAUCGUUGGGCCGAGAUCUGCCCAAAGUGAAGGUAGGGUGAGAGCCCUGAUAACCCCCUUGGCUUUGUCGGAUCAUUCCGAUCGGUAUCAUAAUUCCUUAUCCUCUUCGUAAGAAACCCAUCGUUGGUCCCCAAUAGCGUCUCCAUCGCCGCAUCCUCUCCUGGCUCACACCACGUGAUCUCAGGCGCAUCCCCUACUUCCCUGUAGCACCAAAAAUAAUAACAACAACAAUGAUCAUUACCUACAUUUCCAGCAAACUAAUGGGAUAUCUCAAAAUUUUCUCUUCGGACUUCCAAAUUUGCAAAUUUUAUUAAACUUCCAAAAGUUUUCAAAUUCACCAACUUCAGCCAAUUGACUUUGUUAAAAUUGGCUUUUUCUAAACUUCAGAAUUUGCAAAUUUACCACUUUUUCAUCAAUUGACCAGUUAAAAUCGACCUUUUUCAGUGAAAAUGACACAUUAUACUAUUUAUACUGUAAAAAACUUUUAAUAUCAUAUUUCAUAUCCAAAGUUCUAUUCCAUUUCCCAUGCAAUUCUAUGUGAAUUCCAGAAUUCAAAUCCCAAAAGAAGAAUCUCAAAGAUAACAUAAUAUUUCAAGGACAAAAUGCUCACAACAGUGGAAAAGUAGCAGUAUGAUGUAAUCAACUCAAAGUACAAAUAUGCACCAUUUUAAAACUUUACAGGAUAUAUUUUGGAAUCAAAACAACUCCGCACUGUCAAGGCCCUUUUGUUAUCUGCGGCCCCGAUUUCGUCAAUAACUAUGAGUCUGUAAGUCGUCCGUGUCGAACACAACUAUGACCUAGGGUUUUCCUUAUUUUGGGUGAGUAUUUACAUAUAAAUUAGCAUCUGCUUGACACCCGUGGAUUCACUAGUGCUCCACAUCUCAUGGAACAUAGGAAUUUUGCUAAUGACGGCCAAUUUUGUACCGGAUUGAGACGAAAACAUGUUUGAUAUAGGUUGAUGGCCUAUGUUUUCAUGAACAAGCGGCGCAAGAAAAAUGUAUCCCUCCUUGAGCACUUUUGUACCCCGCAGUGCCAAAAGGGGAUGUUAAUAUAUAGUAGUACGAGAAGGUUAUGCGAGACAAUUUAAGUGAGCCAUAUUAAGUGAGCCUGCAUUGUUGUAAGUGGGGUGUCUUUAGUGUUCGUUUUGUCCUUGUCGGCCAUGACCGCCUUGUUGAAUCGAGUGGCAUUCCGUUGUAUUUUCAUUUUUUGCUAUCAAUAAAGUUGCCUUUUGUUUGUGCCAACUUGCAGAACAUAUCGUGUGUUGUACUCUCAUUUUCCUAUCGCUAGUAAGAAGCGAAAUUGUGCCUCAAAACUAUUUAGCCGACUCGUUCGUGCAGGUGACGUACAAGCGCCAGACGGGCUUUCCAUCAAAACGACAUUAACCCCUGGCAGCACAGACAGCUGUGAUGUUCGACUUGUUUACAGGAUAUAAUUCCAACUAUUCUAAAAUACCGACAUAAAACUGAAUAAAAUGAAAUUUUGACAUGUAGGUAUUCCUCAUCCUCAAUCCUAAAAAUUUACCGAUUGAUAUCAGUGAAGAGCUCAUCCCAGUCGAUUUCCAGAGGCUUCUCGCCGGUCCAGGGUAUGGCAGGGGCUGGGAGCUCAGGGAACUCCACAAGGUACUCCGGCAACAACCGGUGGAUCUUGGAGCGGAGGGUCCUGGCAGAGUACUCGAGGUGGUCAGAGGCGGCCCAGACAGGCACCACGUUGUGUGCAUCGACCUAGCGAAACAACCGAUUAUUCCAAAAGCUUAAGCAACCAGCUUUGGAUAGUACUUUUAAUAUUUGAUAUUCAACACUUUCUCGAAUCUUUGUAUAACUCGCGGCGAGGACCGGAAAAAUUUAAAUGAGACUAAAGUCUAAAGGGAUUCUAACUAGGUAUUUCUGCUCCGAUACCACAUGAACAACCGAUUACCCCAAAGCCUUGUGUCUAAUAAUGAGUGUGGAACAACCAAUUUUUCUAAAACCUUUAAUAAGCUAUCAAAGCUAAAUUAAAUGAGAAAAAUUUGCAUAAAAUUAGGAGCUUGAACUCAUAACUUGGCUUUGGUAACAUAUAAUUUAAUAAUGUGAAUUUUUUCAAAAGUGCUAGUAGAACUGGGAUUUAAUAUUAUGUAUUCAGCAACAAGGGUUCAAGUGUUGUGGUACGGAAUCGUGCUGUAAACUUGCUGGCACGAUACAACAUGAUGUGUGCCGGACUGUACCGAUAUAUGCCGGUAAUAAAAAAUAUAUAUGUGUGCUGGCACAAAAUAAUAUAAAAAUUUUAUUUUCUUUAGCAAACAAAAUUUCCUAGUAACUUAUUAUGUAUUUUGAUCAGAUCUUUUAAACUUUAUUAAAAAAAUUACUUACUAAUUUAAAGUAAAAAGGGUUUUAAACUGUGUCAUCAGCACGGAGCUGCAUCGUGCCGGUAUCUUAUUCGUACAAUAUGAUACUGUAGAUACGGUCCGUGCCGAUUAGUACUUAAAUCCUUAUUCAGCAGCUUAGGCGACGACUAGAGGAACAAGGUUUUCUAAUAAUUUAGAUUGGACAGACCUGGUGGACGGCGACGUCGGCGCCGACGGAUCGGACGAUGUGGUCGAGAGCGGAGCGGAAGGGGCGGAGGGGGGAGAAGUCGGCGACGAGGGCGGAGGCGGAGAGGCGGCGGAGGAGGGCGGGGAGGGAGUGGGAAGGUGGGGAAUGGAGGAGGAGGAAGAAGGGGAAGGGGGAGAGGAGGAGGAGGCGGCGGAGGGAGCGGAGCAUGAAGAGGAGGUGGCGGGCGCGGGCGCCGAGGAGGAAGGGGGGGCCGGGGAAGAGGGCGAAGGCGACGGCGAGCGGCGCGGAGGCGGCGGCGGCGAGGUGGGCCGCGUGGAGCAGCGCCCAGUUGUCGCGGAGCCGCUGGUCGCGGAACAUCCAGUAGACCACGGGGCCGGCGGACGGGGGGCCGGGUGGGCCCGGAGAGAGUAUGCGGAUCCGGUUCGGGUGGACCGGGCUCGAAGCGGGUAUGGCCGGACACAUUGGAGGAAGAGACCGAGAGCGGUGGAGGAGAUGCCCGAUUUGGGGGCACACCGGUUUUAAAAGCGACCGGCGAGGGAGGGACGGACAAAAUAUUCCCUGUUCUUGGUGUAUGAGCUUUUAUUAGUUUAUUUUUUCGGAUUAAUAAUUGAUCAUUUUGAGGUGACUACCCCAUCUUUCAAAAAUUUUAUGAUACUAUUUAAUCUUUCAAUUUAUUUAAUUUGAAUCCGUCAAUAUUAUUUUAAUAUUAAAUUUUGAAUGUGUCGUUUAUUUUUUUAUAGAUUUAAUUAGCAUGCUCUAUAUAAUUUUCGCAACUAUAAAUUUGUUAAAAUAAAUAAUUAGCUUUAAUUUUAAAAUUUAAGUAUCUUUUACUGACUCUAAUCAAAAGAAUUAAAAGAUUAAGUAGUAAAAUUAAAAUUUUAAAAAAUUAAAAUAGCCAACUCAAAAUAGUUUCUUAUUCAAGUAAGUUAUGUAUAUUUUAAUCUUUAUUUUUAUAUAUCAAACUACUAAAAUUGUAAAUUGAAGGUCACAAAAUUAGAGUAAAAUUUAAUAAAAUUCAAAAGAUGUGUAUUAUAAUUCAUAUAACCCGUCUCCAAAAACAUAUAAUAUUAGCCUUUUAUUAUUAUGAAUUAAUAUUUAUCGGAUUAUAUUAUGAUUUUAAAAUACUGAUAACUAAAUAAUAGGCAUAGUGCAUGAAGUAUGUGUAUAGACCAGGUGUACGCAAUGAUUUUGGAAGGGGAGGGAGAUGCGGUGGGGAAAGGGGACACGUCAAUGGGAGAGCGAGGAGUGGGAAUGGGGGGGAGUGGGAGAUGGGCGGGAAGCGUGGCAUGGGUCGGAGUCGAAUGUCGAUCUAUCGUUGUCCAUCCGCUAGCCCGGUUCUUGUUGAAGAAAAUAUCAAAUUUUAAAUUUUAAAUUUUAAAUUUUAAAUUUAUUUUAUUUAUAUUUAAAUUUAGUUAAUAUUUAAUAUUGUUUAUUAAUUUUGUUUUGGCGCAAAAAAAACUAUCAAAAAUUUUUUGCAUUUCAUUUUUUUACGUCUAACGAGAAAGAACGUGGGUUGAAAAUUUUCUAACUUUCAACUCUGUCAUUCAUUUGGCCAAUUUCUCAAGCAUUUGGAAAUGGCAGAUGAAAAAUAUGAUUCUAAUUUUCAGAAUUAAAAAACUGAUUUUGAAGGCUCCAGAAUCAGAAGCAGAAAAAGUUGCUUCUCCAAAACUGAUUCUGAUUUGAAACUCAAACUUAAAAUUUUUAUUUUUAUUUUAGAUUCAAAGUAUAAAUUUAACAUUAAAUUUAAAUUUUGAAAUUUUAAAUUCAUAUUUAAAUUUUUAAAUCUCAACUUUUAAAUUUUAAACUUUAAAAUUUAAAAUUUUAAAUUUGAAUUUUGAGAUUAAAUUUUAAAUUUUAAAUUUGAAUUUUAAAUUUCAAAUCUUAGAUUUUAAAUUUAAAAAUUUAAAAUUUAAAUUCAGAUUGAAAAAUUAAAAUUUUAAACUUAAAUUUAAAAUUCAAAUUUAAAAUUUAAAAUUUAAAAUUUUCAAAUUUAUUUUUUGUUCAAAUUUGAAAUUUAAAAAUAAGACUUUUAAUCCAAAUUUAAAUUUUAAAUUAUUUUAAAAUAAAAUUUAGUAAAAAUAUUAAUAUAUGCAAGUAUCAAAAUUUUUUUGCCAAACAGUUUUAGAAAAUCACUUCAGAAAAAUCACUUUUACCUAAACUCAGCCAAAUGCUUUACAUCUUUUCACCAAAAUCAAUUCUCCAAACCAAAAUCAAUUCUGCAGAAAUCACUUUUUCAAAAGUUAGAACAAAACGAUAUUUUCUUUCCUAAUAGUAAUGGAUGACUGGCAUUGAAAGAAAAAUAUAAAAAAAAUAGAGAUUUUUCUCUUUUUUCAGUUCUUCAUUGUUUUGCAUAUUUCUUUUACUCGGCAUUGGAAGAAUCUCCAUCAACCUUCGUCAUGAUUGUGCUUGCAAAAAAGAAAAAUUCCGGUGAUACUUUAAUUAGGUUGAUGUUCUCAGUUGAGUUGCAUGAAAAACGAAAAUAUGUCUUAGGAUCGUACUACACAUGCUUCCAAAUUUAUCAAAUUUUUUUUAAAAAAUUUUAGCGUUUAUCUGUAAGUUUAAUUUUAUUUUUAUCACUAAAUUAGUAGAUAAUUUAAUCACAAUCAGAUUCUUUUGUGCAAUUUUUCUUAAGCAUAAUCCCAAUCUGAUUGUGAUUGAAAUUCUAAUAUAUGCUAAUCUACUUUAAAAAUAGUAAAAAUAUAUCUUAUAGACUUAGGCUUGAAUACUAUCAAUAGCACCAAGCUAUUGGUGCUAUUAGAUUUUCGACCCUUAAAUGAAAAAAUGUACGGUUAGGAUGAUGUGGGCCCUUAGGGCUGAGUGAGUUAUUAAUUUAAUAAUAUAAUCUAACGAGUAAAAAUAGUCAAAAGAUUAAAUCGAACGGCGGAAAACUUGAUAGUACCAAACGCUUGGUGCUAUCAAUAGUAUCCCAGCCGGACUCUAUAUUAUAUAUACUUUUGUAUAACUUAUUAUGUUUGAUAUUAAAAUUUAAAUAUUUCGGUAGCACUUUAAAUUAUUAAUUGCAUAUCCUUAUAUUUAUCUGUUUAAAUUAUAAUUUUUUAUAUUUAAUUUUUGUGGAGUGCUACUAUUUUAAAAAAAAAAAAUUUUUUAAAUGUAUAUCACAAUUGAAUAUAAAAUUGAAUACUAUUGUUUAAAAUUUUAAAUAUUUUGGAAUUAGCACUUUAAAUUAUUAAUUUCAUAUUAUUAUAUUUAUAUGUUUAAAUUGUUUUUUUUUAAUAUUUAAUUUUUGUGGGGUGCUAUAUUUAAAAAAUUUUGUUUGUUUUUUUUUUUAAUUAUAUCACUGUUGAAUAUAAAAUUGAAUACUAGUGUUUUACAAAAAAAAAAAAGUAAGAAAAAUUUACGGUCUACUGGACUUGAACUUGAAACUAUCAGAUCUUAUAAUAACUUGUUCUAACUCAACUUAUUAUUAUUACUUUAAUCUUUUUAUAUUAUAAAUUUUAUUCAUAGUGUACAGUAUUGUUUCCUGCUAAUUGUAUUGUAUCCAAAAACAUUUAAUUGAAAUCAAACAUUAUAAUCUAUUUGGCCUAUCUGUUUGCUGUUAAACCAAGCUUAAUAAUUUAUCUUUAUUAAAACUUUAUUUUGGUUGAUUAGGAUAGAAACUUUAAACAAUAUGAUUGUUUUUCUAAAAAAAAAAGUUUGGACAUUUUUUGUACCUCAUUACAAUUAUCCUUAAUCUCUUCAUUCACUCAACUAAAUUAUCUAAAAUGAUUUUCGAGGACACUUCUUGUUUUAAGUCUGAAAAAUUUAGAGGGUUAGGCUUUGUGAGGUUGUAAGAAUAAUUGAGGCCUUGGGUUAUUAUCCUAGUCCUCAUAAUUACAAUUGGAAAAACACCUUCUUAUUCUACAUCUAAAACUUUUUUUCUACUCAUUCCGCAAAUUUUUCAAAAUCAAAAGAUUCCUUUAAAUUUGUUGUCACCUCUAAACCUUUUAAAUCCUUCAAGAAAAAUUAAAUUUUAUCGUAUGUUUAGAAUACUUAGUUGCCUAUCUGAUAAACUUCAUGAAACCUAUAAGAAAACACAAAACUGUCAAAAAUUUAAGGCUAAAUUACAGAAAACCCCCCUGUAAUAACCCGCUUUUUCACUUUCCCCCCUGACAUUUAAAAACCUACACUUUACCCCCUUGUAAAAUGAAAAAUGUGCACUUCACCCCUACCGUUAGGGUUCCGUCAGGGGUUCUGUUAAGAAAUAUUUUUUUAUACCGAAAAUACCCCUUCGCCUCUUCUCUGAUGCUUCGCUCCCUCCGGCUCGCCGCUUCGCCGCCUCGCCGCCUCGCCGUCCUCCACUGCUUCGCCCUCGCCCACAACUGCUUCGUCCUCCUCCGCCGCCUCGCCUUCGCCCUCGUUGUCCCUGCCUACCUCUCCAUCAACACUCAUCUUAGUAUCUUCCCUACUGUCGCCGAAAUCGAUGGGCGACGACGAUGUAGGAGGAGAAGGGGAGCAGUUGGAGAAGAAAUUGGAGAGGAAUCGUGGCCGAUUGAGGUGGAAAUAGCGGCGGAUCGAAGGGGCGGCUGAGGAAGCUCAGGAAGAAGACAACAAUGGCGAGGGGCAAAAUGGUCAUUUUACACACCGUAACCCCCCUGUGAACAUUUUUUAUUUUACAAGGGGGCAAAGUGUAGGUUUUUAAAUGUCAGGGGGGGAAAGUGAAAAAGCGGGUUAUUACAGGGGGGUUUUCUGUAAUUUAGCCAAAAUUUAAUUAUGGUAUGUCCUAGAAGAUACUUACAUUAAAGAUGAGGAAGGAACCACUAAAUUUACCAUUACUGAUUUUAACAAGUUUACUGAUUUAACAACUUUACAAUGGUAGAAAGCAUUUCUAUACACAAUCAGAUCCACCAGUUUUAGAAUUGUCCAAAAAAUUCAUAUAUAGAAAUAGUUCAACCUUAGAUGAUACUUAUCAAACUACCUGCCUAUUGGACAAAUUAUCUCUUUCUGAUCCUCAAAGAGCUUAGAAAAACCCAAAGUGGUCUUAAACUUAGGUUGGUAACUCAAGUUGUUAGAAUAAAAGACCAAUAACAACUUAAGGAGAUUAAACAGUCGAUCUAGAAUAAAUCUGAUCGAAAUUUAGAAACCGGAAUCAUGAGCCUAAAGGUAAAAAUUUUAAUCUAAGAUCACGUUUGGUUCACAUUAUGUAGUAUAUUAUAGGUUAUUUCGACAUAAUCAGAUAUCUGAGAUUUCUAAAUCAGAUUACUAGUAAUGCUGUAUUUCCUCGUUUGACUUGAUGUAGUAAUAUAAUGUUGGAUUAUAGUAUAUAUAGAAUUACUAUGUGUGGUUCAUUUUAUAAAAUUUAGUAAUUCUGAUAAUAAAGUAUAAUCAAUUUCACAAUUGUACUAAGGGAAUGUUUGGUUUGUAGUAAAACUGUGAAAAAUAAUUUUCUACGGAAAAGAGUAUUCAAUGGAAAAAUAGUUUUACGAUUUUUGAUUUUUGGUUUGUUGUAAAAGAAAAACAAAUUUCAUGCCCCACGUGUUUGGUUGGUAGGAAAAAAAACUAAGAAUUUAUUUUUUGGCUAAAUUACAGAAAACUCUCCUAUAAAAAUCCGCUUUUUCACUCUCUCCCCCUAACAUUUAAAAACCUACAUUUUGCUCCCUCCUAAUUACAAAAUUGUGCACAGAAGGCUACGCCGUUGACAGAAAGCAUGAAAUGACAAUAAUGCCCUUACUUUUAACAUGAUGGAGAAAGAGAAAGAAAGCUAAUUGUCAUUCCUUUCUUUGUUGGAGAAAUCUAGGGUUCGAUCCCUUCAGGAAGAUGAGCCGAGUCGAAACCUAGCGAAGGCAAAAGGUGAGCGCUUGCGUUGCGUACCAAGGAGAAAGGUGAAGAAUCGACCUUAAGAGAGUGAUCGCGCUUGGCUGAGGGACCCCUUACUCUUCUGAGGUAUAGUUAUACUUUUGAGUUGAAAUGUUAUUUUAAUCCAUGUGGUCCCUAAUGUUGCUGUGGUUCAGACUUUUCCUGUUGGGUUUGUAGUUUUGCAAUAUUUUAUCAAGUUUUAGUUGUUUUGAAAGUAAUUGGUUUGAUAUUUUCUAAUACGAAACGCUUUGUGGUCCCAAAUUAUGUAUUAACUUGUGUAUGUGAUGCAUUUAUAUUUUUGAUUUAAUUUAGGUUUGAUAUUUUCUAUUGUAAAUUGCUUGUCCUUUGUAUUUUCUAAUAUGAAAUGCUUGUAGUUCCAAAUAUGUAUGUUAUAUCUAUGUGAUGCAUUUAUACAGUUUGCUUUGUUAUAUGGGGUCCCACUACUUUCUACUUAAUUAAUCUUUUUUAUUCUAAUAUAUUGUACCAUACAGAUGAAGUUGAGGACUCUCGAAAUUCACUAUGGUGGAUUUUUUAAAAGAGAUCCUAUAACAGAAUACUAUGGGGGAUCAAUAUUAUAUGCCGAUAAUGUCGAUUCAGACUUGAUGUCCAUUAUUGAAUUAUGGGAUAUGCUUCAGAGCCUAGGAUUAACAAAAGAAUCAAUGAUAUACUACACUAUGCCUAUUGGAGAUAUAUCUAAUGGCCUAAAGCUUGUGGAUAGUGAUAAAGUAGUUCUAGAGAUGCUUAAGUGUCAUGAUGAAUUUUGUGUCAUUUUGCUCUACGUAGUUUCCCCUGAAAUGGUAGAUGUAGAGGCUUUAAAUGAGCUCACUGAAGAUGGUCCUUUACAAGGGGAACAACUAAAGGAACAUAUUAACAAUGCUAAGAAGCAAGUGAAGAAAAAUAUCACCGAAGAUGAGGCUAAAAAAGAUGUAGAUGGACAGGGAAAGUAAGUGAAGCAGAAUGCAAAUGUAGUUAGUGAUAGUGAGAAGGGAAUUAGUGAGCCUCAUGAUGGAAAUGUAAGUGAAGGGGUUGAAGAAAACAAGGCUCAUGCUGAAGAAGAUGUUGAAGAUGGAUCAGAAAGUGAUAGUUCAUUUGAUGAAUGGAGCAACUUUGGUGAUAGUGAUGAGGAUAGUAUUAAUGAUAGUGAUUUUUGCAUUAAUACCCACAAUGUAGAGGAGCAAGAUGGUACUCAUGGGAUAGGUCACGGAUGUCCCACUACUUCUGAACCAAAACAUGCUGAUGAUAAUGAUAAGGGAGCAAAAAAUGUUGAAGACAAUGAUAAAAGUUCAGAGUAUCAGCCUAGUGAGGAUCUUGAUAGCAUGUCUUCAUCAGAUGAAGAUGAUCCUUCAUGGCCAAAGUACCCUGUGUACAACAAAAGAGAUCUGGACAGAAUAGAGCUUAAAUUGGGUAUGAAAUUUGCAUCAGCUUCAGAGUUUAGAACAGUGCUAAGGAAUCAUGCAAUAUCAAAUGGAUAUGACUUUAAUUUUGUGAAAAAUAAUGGUGAUAGAGUUACUGUGAAGUGCAAGAAAGAUACCACUGCUCAGAAAAGAUGUGAAUGGAGGGUUCAUGCAUCUUGGAAUGCAUAUGAGGAUGUUUCCAAAUCAAGUCUUUGCAACCUGAGCAUAAGUGUGGUAGGCAAUUCAUAAACCACCAAGCUACUUCAUCCUGGAUUGCACAUAAAUACUUGGAGCAAUUGAGAGAUGAUCUAAAAUGGGGGACAUCAGCAAUGAAGAAGACAAUGAGGAGGGAGUUGUGCAUUGAUGUCUCUAAAAGCCAAAUAUAUAAAGAUAAGAGAAAGGAAAAGGAGGUUAUAAUGGGAUCUUAUAGAGAGCAGUUUAUGAAGUUGUGGGAUUACUGCAAUAUCAUCAGGGUGAGAAAUCCAGGAAGCCUUGCUUUCUUACAUGUGGAAAGGCCUCAUCCUGAGCUAGCCCCAAUGUUUCAACAAAUCUUUGUAUCAUAUGAUGCUCAAAUUGAAAAAGUUUUGAGGAGCCCAAGAAUCUAUCUAGAUUGUAUCUAUCACCUAGAGGGGGGUGAAUAGGUGAACGGCCAAAAAACCACAAAUCUCGAUGCAAUAAAAAUAAAUGCGGAAAAUAAAAAGCACACCAAGAUUUACGUGGGAAAACUCCAACUUGGAGAAAAACCCACGGGACCAACACGCGAAAAAACAAUUCACUAAGAGAAAAGAUUACAAGGUGAUUACCGACUCCACGGACUCAACCUCUCUUAACCUCCUAUGAAUCUUCGCGCUACCCUCCGGGUUGUCCACGCCCUCACGUUCGAGUCCACGAACGCCUCCACUUCGAAUCUACGAAGCUUCAAUCACGCCGAAUCCACGACGCCACUCGAAUCCACGAGCCAACGAUCCGAAUCCACGAACCGCCUUUGUUCACGCCGAAUCCACGACGCCGUUCAUGAAGAGCAUCAUGAUUAUGGUGAUCCUUCGCUUAGGAGUAUCGUAGAAAACCAGGGAAUAGAACUCCAAGCGAAGCGGAGAUCAAAUCGACAUAUAGAGAAUGCGAAACGAUAUCUCGAUUUGAUCUAAAGAGGCUAAUUUGUAGAAAAUAGGUUUAGAAUGAAAUCCGAGCCUCUAGGGUUUCUCAAACAUGUAUUCUUAUGAUGCUUGAUCAGUUAGAGAACCCCUAUAGCUUAUUUAUAGACUUUAGAAUCAAAACGGAGUAGGAUUAGAAAGUUUCUUUCCAAAAUCAGCACCUUGUACCGGAACAAGGAAAGCUGUCCAGGGUACAGCAUGACGGAAGAUUUUUCUGCGAAGCUUCUGUACCCUGGAUAGGCUGUAGCUUGUUCCAGAACGGGGCUUGUACCGGUACAGCGUGAUGGUUGUACCGGAACAACCAUCAAACUUUUCUGCGCAAACGCUGAUGGCUGUACCCUGGACAGAAAACCCUUGUACCGGUACAACAAUGCAAUUUUCGUUGAAAAUGCAUUGUUUCAGAUUUUACAAGCUCUUAGAAACUUUCUAAUUAAUUACAACUUGAAAAUAUGAUUCUAAGAUCUAUAAAUAAGUAUGAAUCACUAUAAACAAGAUUUAAAGCUUACCUAAGCAUCGUGAUUCAAGUUUUGCGUGUUUUGCGUCCUUUCGGAUUCUUCGAAGUCUUGGAUUCUUCGAUCUUCAAUACGCCGCUCCGGACUUCUUCAAGACUCCGACUCGACCCACGAAACUUGCCAACACAUAGGACCUAACAAUCUCCCCCUUUGGCAAUUUCGUGACAAAACACACACAAACUCAUAAAUUACAACUUAAAGAAAAAACGAAGUUCAAUGUCAUCACCAAAACAUCGAACCCCUCGCGUGUAAUCCAAAUACAACUUGAAACUCAAAAUUACAUCAAUGUCAUCACCAAAAUAUCGAACCCCUCGCGUGUAAUCCAAAUACAACUUGAAACUCAAAAUUACAUCAAAACUCCUAAAACAGACUCUAUGACUUAGACGCAACUAGGAGUCUUGAAGUCUUGAUUUUCUGCAAACCAAUUCAUUCAAAAAAAUGAUUAGCACUAAAUUCUUAUACCUUCUCCCCCUUUGUUCACAUCUCCUCCUUUGUUCUUGAACUCAUCAUUCUCUGCUUCUGUUCAAUGCCUGUUCAUCCAUACUCUCCCCCUUCAUCUAUGCUCUCCUCCUUUUUGUCAAAAAUUGCCAAAAGAAAGCAAAUAGAGAGAAAACAUACUAGAAAAACAUGAGAGUAGUCUAGUCAUAGUUACAGGCCUAAAACAAAAGUAAAAACAUACUACAGAAAGAUAAGCAAGCAAAUCUAAAACAUCAUCCUAAACAGCAAAUGCAGUGAAAGAAAGAGACUAAGCUUGACGAAGAAAUCACUCCGUGUCCUCGUCAUCAUCAUCAUCAUCACCAGCACCAGCGCCAGAACCUCCAGCCUCAGGGGCAUCACCAGACGGUGGAAUGAGAGGAUGUCGUGAAGAUGACCGCUGAUACGAGGCAGAAGAUGGAGUAGGUUCCCAAAUAUCAUCAUGUCGACACCCCAUCUUAUCCAUCAGUCUUUUGAUACUUAACUCAAACUUUUUGAAGCCGGACUCAACUUUCCUUCCAAUGUUGUUCACCUUCUUCUUUAAUUUUCGCAAAUCAUCCUUAACUGAUUCCAACGUCGUCGCUCCCCCCGAACUAGAUGAAGUAUCAUAACUCCCUCGAGAUGUAGGCGGAGGAGCAGAGCUAGAAGCAGCUCUCGGUGAAGGUGCUGGGCUAGAUGCUUCAGGAGGUGCCCCUUUGGUCUGAUGGAAUGACUUGAGAGUGCUAACCGACUUAGCCCAAGUCACUGAGUCAAUAGGCCCAAGGCCAACAUUAUACUUGUCACAAGAUGUAUCUACUCUAUUUGCUUGAAGAAUCCUCAUAAUCAGAACAGGGAAUGGAAGUAGAUCCCGGCGAGUUGCACCCUGAAUCACGUGAAUCAUCCUUUGCCAGAUCAAAAAUGGAAUGUUAAUGUUCAAUCCAUGAGCCUGCUCGGGAUGACCUAGUAGAUAUAGCAACACUAAUCUCUCCCAGCGGAUCCUCUUUGUGCCGAUAGUUGGUUGAACAUUAUAGCUCAUAACCAAGGAUAGCAAGUGAUACUCAGGUAAUAAAUCCUUGGAUUCAAUGUAACCAUGAGUCAUGUAAACACCGGCUUUGCAUAUAGCUCCAAGAAUGAUAUUCAUGUGAGUUGAUGCUUGGAAUCCUCCUGACAUAUAGAGAAGACCUGAAGUGUCCACAUGCAUCCCCAAGAUCUCUCCAAUAUCAUAGGGGGUAACAGGGAAUCUCCUCUGUCGCACAAUAGUCUCAAAAAUAAAAGUGCCUGUGUCAUCGUCUUCAGCAAGUACUUUUCCAUUCAUAUAGAACUCCCGAAUGAGUUCUACACAGAAAGGAGCCUUCGCAGGAACCGGUCCAACAGCCGUGCCUGUGUCAUCGUCUUCAGCAAGUACUUUUCCAUUCAUAUAGAACUCCCGAAUGAGUUCUACACAGAAAGGAGCCUUCGCAGGAACCCGUCCAACAGCCUCAAUAGGUGCGCGCUGUAGUAGUCGUCCAAACUCAGGAACAUCCCGAAUCAGAUCAUUGAAGUUCACAAAGCGUUCAGCUAUGCACGACUUCGAUGCAAACAACCUUCGCCGUGCUGGAGGGACAUCCACUGUUAGGUCCUAUGUGUUGGCAAGUUUCGUGGGUCGAGUCGGAGUCUUGAAGAAGUUCGGAGCAGAGUAUUGAAAAUCGAAGAAUCCAAGACUUCGAAGAAUCGGAAAGGACGCAAAACACGCAAAACUUGAAUCACGAUGCGUAGGUAAGUUUUAAAUCUUGUUUAUGGUGAUUCAUACUUAUUUAUAGAUCUUAGAAUCAUAUUUUCAAGUUGUAAUUGAUUAGAAAGUUUCUAAGGGUUUGUAAAACCCGAAACAAUGCAUUUUCAGCGAAAAUUGCAUUGCUGUACCGGUACAAGGGUUUUCUGUCCAGGGUACAGCCAUCAACGUUNNNNNNNNNNNNNNNNNNNNNNNNNNNNNNNNNNNNNNNNNNNNNNNNNNNNNNNNNNNNNNNNNNNNNNNNNNNNNNNNNNNNNNNNNNNNNNNNNNNNNNNNNNNNNNNNNNNNNNNNNNNNNNNNNNNNNNNNNNNNNNNNNNNNNNNNNNNNNNNNNNNNNNNNNNNNNNNNNNNNNNNNNNNNNNNNNNNNNNNNNNNNNNNNNNNNNNNNNNNNNNNNNNNNNNNNNNNNNNNNNNNNNNNNNNNNNNNNNNNNNNNNNNNNNNNNNNNNNNNNNNNNNNNNNNNNNNNNNNNNNNNNNNNNNNNNNNNNNNNNNNNNNNNNNNNNNNNNNNNNNNNNNNNNNNNNNNNNNNNNNNNNNNNNNNNNNNNNNNNNNNNNNNNNNNNNNNNNNNNNNNNNNNNNNNNNNNNNNNNNNNNNNNNNNNNNNNNNNNNNNNNNNNNNNNNNNNNNNNNNNNNNNNNNNNNNNNNNNNNNNNNNNNNNNNNNNNNNNNNNNNNNNNNNNNNNNNNNNNNNNNNNNNNNNNNNNNNNNNNNNNNNNNNNNNNNNNNNNNNNNNNNNNNNNNNNNNNNNNNNNNNNNNNNNNNNNNNNNNNNNNNNNNNNNNNNNNNNNNNNNNNNNNNNNNNNNNNNNNNNNNNNNNNNNNNNNNNNNNNNNNNNNNNNNNNNNNNNNNNNNNNNNNNNNNNNNNNNNNNNNNNNNNNNNNNNNNNNNNNNNNNNNNNNNNNNNNNNNNNNNNNNNNNNNNNNNNNNNNNNNNNNNNNNNNNNNNNNNNNNNNNNNNNNNNNNNNNNNNNNNNNNNNNNNNNNNNNNNNNNNNNNNNNNNNNNNNNNNNNNNNNNNNNNNNNNNNNNNNNNNNNNNNNNNNNNNNNNNNNNNNNNNNNNNNNNNNNNNNNNNNNNNNNNNNNNNNNNNNNNNNNNNNNNNNNNNNNNNNNNNNNNNNNNNNNNNNNNNNNNNNNNNNNNNNNNNNNNNNNNNNNNNNNNNNNNNNNNNNNNNNNNNNNNNNNNNNNNNNNNNNNNNNNNNNNNNNNNNNNNNNNNNNNNNNNNNNNNNNNNNNNNNNNNNNNNNNNNNNNNNNNNNNNNNNNNNNNNNNNNNNNNNNNNNNNNNNNNNNNNNNNNNNNNNNNNNNNNNNNNNNNNNNNNNNNNNNNNNNNNNNNNNNNNNNNNNNNNNNNNNNNNNNNNNNNNNNNNNNNNNNNNNNNNNNNNNNNNNNNNNNNNNNNNNNNNNNNNNNNNNNNNNNNNNNNNNNNNNNNNNNNNNNNNNNNNNNNNNNNNNNNNNNNNNNNNNNNNNNNNNNNNNNNNNNNNNNNNNNNNNNNNNNNNNNNNNNNNNNNNNNNNNNNNNNNNNNNNNNNNNNNNNNNNNNNNNNNNNNNNNNNNNNNNNNNNNNNNNNNNNNNNNNNNNNNNNNNNNNNNNNNNNNNNNNNNNNNNNNNNNNNNNNNNNNNNNNNNNNNNNNNNNNNNNNNNNNNNNNNNNNNNNNNNNNNNNNNNNNNNNNNNNNNNNNNNNNNNNNNNNNNNNNNNNNNNNNNNNNNNNNNNNNNNNNNNNNNNNNNNNNNNNNNNNNNNNNNNNNNNNNNNNNNNNNNNNNNNNNNNNNNNNNNNNNNNNNNNNNNNNNNNNNNNNNNNNNNNNNNNNNNNNNNNNNNNNNNNNNNNNNNNNNNNNNNNNNNNNNNNNNNNNNNNNNNNNNNNNNNNNNNNNNNNNNNNNNNNNNNNNNNNNNNNNNNNNNNNNNNNNNNNNNNNNNNNNNNNNNNNNNNNNNNNNNNNNNNNNNNNNNNNNNNNNNNNNNNNNNNNNNNNNNNNNNNNNNNNNNNNNNNNNNNNNNNNNNNNNNNNNNNNNNNNNNNNNNNNNNNNNNNNNNNNNNNNNNNNNNNNNNNNNNNNNNNNNNNNNNNNNNNNNNNNNNNNNNNNNNNNNNNNNNNNNNNNNNNNNNNNNNNNNNNNNNNNNNNNNNNNNNNNNNNNNNNNNNNNNNNNNNNNNNNNNNNNNNNNNNNNNNNNNNNNNNNNNNNNNNNNNNNNNNNNNNNNNNNNNNNNNNNNNNNNNNNNNNNNNNNNNNNNNNNNNNNNNNNNNNNNNNNNNNNNNNNNNNNNNNNNNNNNNNNNNNNNNNNNNNNNNNNNNNNNNNNNNNNNNNNNNNNNNNNNNNNNNNNNNNNNNNNNNNNNNNNNNNNNNNNNNNNNNNNNNNNNNNNNNNNNNNNNNNNNNNNNNNNNNNNNNNNNNNNNNNNNNNNNNNNNNNNNNNNNNNNNNNNNNNNNNNNNNNNNNNNNNNNNNNNNNNNNNNNNNNNNNNNNNNNNNNNNNNNNNNNNNNNNNNNNNNNAACAGCCUAGCAACCAAAAGAGCUGAACAGCUGCAAUGUUUGGAUCCGGAAAUGUGAUAUCUUUCCUUGCUCCUCGUCUUAGUCAUUUUUUAUCUUUAGUGUAAUGCUUUGAUUGGUGCUUGUUGUUUAAUUUUAUUCAUUGCAUUACAUGUUUGAAUGAUUUUUGGUGCAUUGAUUUUCUGUUUAUUUAAAAAUCUUUGAGAAAGGUGAUGAUUGAGAAUCGUUUAUUUUUGGAGAGAAAGUUUUUAAAGAUUGUUUAAACGGGUUUAACUUCACAAUCAUAUUAAGUUAAAUUCAUAUUAAUUAUCGUCUUUACUCCACUAUUUAUUAUUUUGACGAUAAUUUAUUAUAUGAUUUCUUAUUGCAUAAAUUCAUCAAAAUUUUGAAAUCAAAUUUGAUUUUUUGGUGAUUAAUUCAUCUUGGUUGUGAGUGUUGGAUAUGAUGAAUGGAUAUUCUCUAAUUGACUAAAAUUCGUCAAAAUUAUUUUCAACUGUGAGAUUGUCUAAUUUAGAGGGAGUUUGAAAUUGUUUAAAAAUAAAAAAAAAAAAAGAGGAGAAAAGGAAACUCCUAUAUGUAAAAGAUGUGGAAAGAGUUACAUCCUAAAAGGAGUGUGAAAACUACCACCACAUGUAGGAAAGAGCUACCACCCCGGUCGUCCGGCGAGUGUGUGAAGCUACCACAUGACGAUUAAAUUGGGUAACCGAAAAAGGUUGGAAAAAUUGAAUAUUUUAGAAUUUUCGGAGUUAUAAGGUGGUAAGAUAAAAAGAUGCUCAAAGAGCCACCCCCGGUAUCAUAUUAGUUGAAUCUCUAUUUUGAACGUGUUACGACAAAUUGGUGACAAUUUUUGUUGAAUUUCUAAAAAUCAUUUUUCAUCAACUUACAUCUUGAUGGUUUUGAAUCAUUAAAUUAUUUUUGAUAAUAAAAUUUUGAUGUUUUGAUGUAUUUUGAAAUUUUAUAAUAUCUUAUUGUCAUUAUAAUGAUUCUUGGAGUAAAAGCCUUAAUUUAUUUGAAAUUAAUUUAAUUUGAUGGAUUUUUAAAGCAAUUUUUUCGAAAUCUGAGAUCGUUCGUCGAGCUUAGAGAGCUCUUUCACUGCAUUUGCAUUUUAGGAUGAUGUUUUAGUUUCAGUUCUGCUUGUUUUUUCUUUUAGGCCUGUAACUAUGACUUGAUUACGCUUAUGUUUUUCUAGUAUGUUUUCUCUCUUUAUUUGCUUUCUUUUGGCAAUUUUUGACAAAAAGGGGGAGAGCGUAGAUGAAGGGGGAGAGCAUGGAUGAACAGGCAAUGAACUAAGCAGAGGAUGAUGAGUUCAAGAACAAAGGGGGAGAUGUGAUCGAGAUGUGAAGAACAAAGGGGGAGAAGGAUUUCAAGACUUCAAGACUCCUAGUUGCGUCUAAGUCAUAGAGUCUGUUUUAGGAGUUUUUGAUGUAAUUUUGAGUUUCAAAUUGUAUUUGGAUUACACGUGAGGGGUUCGAUGUUUUGGUGAUGACAUUGAACUUCGUUUUUUCAUUAAAUUGUAAUUUGUGAGUUUGUGUGUGUUUUGUCACGAAAUUGCCAAAGGGGGAGAUUGUUAGGUCCUAUGUGUUGGCAAGUUUCGUGGGUCGAGUCGGAGUCUUGAAGAGGUUCGGAGCAGAGUAUUGAAAAUCGAAGAAUCCAAGACUUCGAAGAAUCGGAAAGGACGUAAAACACGCAAAACUUGAAUCACGAUGCGUAGGUAAGUUUUAAAUCUUGUUUAUGGUGAUUCAUACUUAUUUAUAGAUCUUAGAAUCAUAUUUUCAAGUUGUAAUUGAUUAGAAAGUUUCUAAGAGUUUGUAAAACCCGAAACAAUGCAUUUUCAGCGAAAAUUGCAUUGCUGUACCGGUACAAGGGUUUUCUGUCCAGGGUACAGCCAUCAACGUUACGCAGAAAGUUUGAUGGUUGUUCCAGUACAAGGGUUUUCUGUCCAGGGUACAGCCAUCAACGUUGCGCAGAAAGUUUGAUGGUUGUUCCGGUACAAGCUUCAUGCUGUACCGGUACAAGCCCUGUUCCGGAACAAGCUGAAGCUAUCCAGGGUACAGGAGCUUCGCAGAAAAAUCUUCCGUCAUGGUGUACCCUGGACAACAUUCCUUGUUCCGGUACAAGGUGCUGUUUUUGGAAAGAAACUUUCUAAUUCGACUCCAAUUGAUUCUAAAGUCUAUAAAUAAGCUAUUGGGCUUCUCUAACACAUCAAGCAUCAUAAGAAUACAUGUUUGAGAAACCCUAGAGGCUCGGAUUUCAUCUUAAACCUAUUUUCUACAAAAAGCCUCUUUUAGAUCAAAUCGAGAUAUUGAAAUUUGAUAUUAAUAUGUCGAUUUGAUCUCCGCUUCGCUUGGAGUUCUAUUCCCUGGUUUUCUACGAUACUCCUAAGCGAAGGAUCACCAUACACAUGAUGCUCUUCAUGAACGGCGUCGUGGAUUCGGCGUGAACGAAGACGGUUCGUGGAUUCGGAUCGUGAGCUCGUGGAUUCGAGUGGGCGUCGUGGAUUCGACGUGAUCGAGGCUUCGUGGAUUCGAAGUGGUGACGUUUCGUGGAUUCGGGACGUGGCGUUCGUGGAUUCGGACGUGGGGCGUGGACAACCCGUUGGUGUGCGCGAGAUCCGGAGAAGAUAGAAGAGAGGUUUGAGUCCGUGGAUUCGGUAAAUCACCUUGUAAUCUUUUAUUCUUAGUGGAUUGUUAUCGCGUGUUGGUCCCGUGGGUUUUUUACUCCGAGUUUGGAGUUUUCCCACGUAAAUCUCGGUGUGCUUUUUAUUUUCCGUAUUUAUUUUUAUUGCAUCGAGAUUUGUGAUUUUUUGGCCUUUCACCUAUUCACCCCCCUCUAGGUGAUAGAUACAAUCUAGAUAGAUCCUUGGGCUAUUCAAAACUUUCAAUCCACAGCUUGUUUUGUACGUCCCUCACGAGUACAAGAACCACCACCAUGAGAUGAUUCACCAGCUAUUCCUUUGCCUUUGUCAAGGCGAGCAAUAGGUUCUUCAGAUUCUUCCGGGGAGCUCGCCUGAUAAUCCGGAUCAGACCCGGACGCUUCUUCAGUUGUGCGUGUCCUUUUAGAAACCCCAUGACAACCUCUACCACUACCACGACUCCGUCUCCCAGCCAUUAGCACCAAUAAUACCAAUACGAGCAAAAACGUCAUUUUCCCUACACAAAAAUUAACCUCGCAUGAACAAAAUCUUGAAAAAAUCUGUAAAAAUAGCGAAAAAAUUUCUAAUAACAUUAGAAUGCAUACUAAUGCUAUUUCUAACCAGAUCAUGCAAAAAAUUUCAUCAAAAAAUCAAAUUUUUUGAAAAAUUCCGAAAUUAGAUGCAUAUUAGAUCAUAAAUCUUAGAUCAGCGAAAAAUAACUUGUAUUGAUGUUGUUCAAGUGUUCUACAAGCAAGGUAUGAGCCUAAGACACUGAUCUAUAGCAAAAAAUUGCAUCAAAAACGGAUUAGAACAGAGAUCAAACCCUUAUCCCGCAACAAAAAGUGAAAAUAUCAAAACCGGGAUAAAACUCACAAAUUUGAUACUAAAACCUUACAAAUCCAAGAGGAAAACGUGUAGAACGGUUGAAGAAGAGUCGCUGGAGCUCUCAGGAACAAAAAUUUUUGAAAAAGAUUGAGAUUUGAGAGAGAUCGAAGCGUUAUACCCGGUUAUAUUUCGCUCAACCGCAGACCUUGUAGCGGAACACGGUUUCUUGUACCGGUACAAGGACCAAAAUGUGAAAAAAAUUUUCGAAAAAUAUCCUUUAAAAACCCAUCAAAUUUAAAUUAAAUUCAUAUAAUUAAGGCUUUUACUCCAAGAAUCAUUAUAAUGAAAAUAAGAUAUUAUAAAAUGUCAAAACACAUCGAAACAUCAAAAUUUCAAUAUCAAAAAUAAUUUAAUGAUUCAAAACCAUCAAGAUGUAAGUUGAUGAAAAAUGAUUUUUAGAAAUUCAACAAAAUUGACACCAAUUUGUCGCAACACAUUCAAAAUAGAGAUUUAACUAAUAUGGUACCGGGGGUGGCUCUUUGAGCAUCUUUUUCAAACUAGCACCUUAUUACUCCGACAAUUCUAAAAUUAUUAUUUUUCCAACCUUUUUCGGCUUUUUCAAUUAAAUUCCAUGUGGUAGCUUCACACACUUGCCGGACGACUGGGGUGGUAGCUUUUUCCUACAUGUGGUGGUAGUUUUCACACUCUUUUUGGAUGUAACUCUUUCCACAUCUUUUAAACAUAGGAGUUUCUUUUUCUCCCUUUUUUUAAAAAAUUUAAAACUCCCCCUUAAUUAGGCAAUCUCACAAUUGAAAAUAAUUUUGACGAAUUUUAGUCAAUUAGAGAAUACCCAUUCAUCAUAUCCAACACUCGCAACCAAGAUGAAUUAAUCACCAAAAAAUCAAAUUUGAUUCCAAAAUUUUGAUAAAUUUAUGCAAUAAGAAAUCAUAUAAUAAAUUAUCGUCAAAAUAAUAAAUAGUGGAGUAAAGAUGAUAAUUAAUAUGAAUUUAACUUAAUUAUCAUUGUGAAGAUAAACAUGGUUUUAGAAAAAAUCUCUCUCUCCAAAAUCAUAGAUCUCAAUCAUCUCUUUUCUCGAAAAUUUUGAAUUCCUAAACACAUUUUCCUCAAAAUGAUUUUUAAAUAAACAAAAAUUCAAUCCACCAAAAAUCAUUCAAGCAUGUAAUGCAAUGAAUAAAAUUAAACAACAAGCACCAAUCAAAGUAUUAUACUAAAGAUCAAAAAUGACUAAGACGAAGAGCAAGGAAAGAUAUCACCUUUCUGGAUCCAAACUUGUCGGAUCUUUGGUUUUCUCGACUUUUCGAUGUUAGGUGCCGUUUGUUUCGAAUUUUUAUCAACCGUUGGUCGUUUCGUGUCUUGAGGCUUCGAUUGAGCUUGUCGUUGAAGCUUAGACACCUGGUUUGCAUGAGCUUGGCGUUGACGUUGUGCGCUAUAACUCUGAUUUGCUUGAGAGUUCGGUCGGACUUGAUGUUGUACAUUAGAAAUCCGGUUCCCUCGAGGUACUCGACUUAAUUGUUUUUCCUUGGAAUUCCGUGGGGAAAAUCGAGUAGUAGAGGGUGCCACUUGACGAUCAGAAGUUGCCGAUUGAUUCUUCUUGUCUUUGUUUGGGCAAUUCCUUUUGAUGUGUCCUUUGAUGCCACAUCGAUGACACACUUUGCCUUUCAAAGUUGUUGAGAGUUUAGAUGUCGCCGUUUGAUCCUUCUCAACAUAUGUCCGUUCAUAUCCAAGGCCCAAUUUGCUCGUUUGACCGAAUCCAAGCAUUUUGUCCAACUUCUUUGAUCCCGAAGAAAAUUGUUGAAGAUCGGAUUGGAGUUGACGAACUUGAUCGAUCAACGACUUAUUGGAUGUGUGCGAUUCCUCGAAUUGUUGCUCCAAAAAUCCAAUCUUGUUGUUAGAAGAUUUGAUCGUUGAUUCCGCAUCAUUAAGCUUCUCUUGGAGGUCCGAAUUAAUCUUCAAGUUUGAAUCCCUUUCCUCCUCAAGAACCUUAUUCAAAUUCUUUACGUUGUUGUUUUCCUCCUCAAGUUCCAACAAACGACGUCUCAACUUCUUGUUGAGUUUAGCCAUCUUCUUAGAUUCAAUGAGAAGUUGAUUGUACGCUUCCGCUAUGUCGUCGUCGUUUGAUUCCUCCUCACUUGCGCCAUUGUUGCUCGAUGAAUCAUGUGAAGAAAGAGAAAUAUUGGAGUUAGUAGCAAAAGAGGAUAAACACACAACAUUCGACGAAGGAGUAUUAGCAAAUAAGGCAAUUUGAUCAUUCUUUUCUUCGUCACUUGACGAUGAUUCACUUGAUGUUGAAUCAUCCCACGUCUUUGCUUGCAUAGCCUUUUGUCUAUACGUCUUCUUUGAAGGACAAUCCGUCGCAAUGUGGCCGUAGCCUUUGCACUUGAAGCAUUGGAUCUCGCCUUCAAAUACAUCCUUUUCCUUUGAAGACUUUGCACGGUUUUUAUCCUUAGACUUUGAAGAUGAAGAUGAUUUAGACAAAGAUUGUCGCUUGGACGAUGAAGCCUUGUCCAAUCUAUUCUUGUUCCGGAAAUUUCGACGAAACUUCUUCGUGAGAAGCGCCAAUUGUUGUUCAAAGUCCGCAAUUGAUAAAUCAUCAUCGGAACUCGAGUCUUCGUCCUUCUCCUUUGUAGAUUUCAAUGCAACACCUGUGCUUUUAGAAGAAGACUUGGAAGAAGAUUGAUUAGUAGGAAAAGUCAUUUCAUACGUUUGUAAAGCUCCUACUAAUUCUUCUACUUUCAUCUCGUCCGGAUGUUUGACCGUUUCGAUCGCGGCUACUUUAGCCCGAAAACGUUCCGGAAGAGUUCGAAGAAUUUUACGAACAACUUUAGAAUCCGGAAUUUUCUCUCCCAAAUUAGCACAUGUAUUAAUGAUAUCUUGAAGCCUAGUGUAGUAAUCGGUAAAAGAUUCAUGCUCCUCCAUACGAAUAGAAUCAAAUUGACUAGUCAACAUUUGGAGCUUUUGAAUUUUUACUAAACUAGUACCCUCAUGUGUAAUUUGUAGAGUAUCCCAAAUUUCCUUGGCCGUUUCGCAUGCCGAAACCCGAGUAAACUCCGUUUGCGAUAAAGCAUUGAAUAAAGCAUUAAUUCCUUUACCGUUAAACGAAGAUGACUCGUUUUCAUCUUUAGUCCACUUGUUUCGUGGUUUAGGGACGGUAGCACCAUCGACAACUUCGGUAGGAUGUUUCCAUCCGAAUUCAAUAGCUUUCCAUACCCGCUCAUCGAUUGCGAUUAGAAAAGCUCUCAUGCGAACUUUCCAAUAGGCAUAAUUCGUGCCGUCGAAGAGCGGAGGUCGAUUAAUGUUACCACCUUCGGCCAUUAGAUAACAAUUUAUCUAGAUCCCGCUCUGAUACCAAUUGAAAGUUUUGAGGAGCCCAAGGAUCUAUCUAGAUUGUAUCUAUCACCUAGAGGGGGGUGAAUAGGUGAACGGCCAAAAACCACAAAUCUCGAUGCAAUAAAAAUAAAUGCGGAAAAUAAAAAGCACACCGAGAUUUACGUGGGAAAACUCCAACUUGGAGAAAAACCCACGGGACCAACACGCGAAAAAACAAUUCACUAAGAGAAAAGAUUACAAGGUGAUUACCGACUCCACGGACUCAACCUCUCUUAACCUCCUAUGAAUCUUCGCGCUACCCUCCGGGUUGUCCACGCCCUCACGUCCGAAUCCACGAACGCCUCCACUUCGAAUCCACGAAGCUUCAAUCACGCCGAAUCCACGACGCCACUCGAAUCCACGAGCCAACGAUCCGAAUCCACGAACCGCCUUUGUUCACGCCGAAUCCACGACGCCGUUCAUGAAGAGCAUCAUGAUUAUGGUGAUCCUUCGCUUAGGAGUAUCAUAGAAAACCAAGGAAUAGAACUCCAAGCGAAGCGGAGAUCAAAUCGACAUAUAGAGAAUGCGAAACGACAUCUCGAUUUGAUCUAAAAUAGGCUUUUUGUAGAAAAUAGGUUUUUGAUGAAAUCCAAGCCUCUAGGGUUUCUCAAAUAUGUAUUUUCGUGAUACUUAAUCAGUUAGAGAACCCCUAAAGCUUAUUUAUAGACUUUAGAAUCAAAACAGAGUAGAAUUAGAAAGUUUCUUUCCAAAAUCAGCACCUUGUACCGGAACAAGGAAAGCUGUCCAGGGUACAGCAUGACGAAAGAUUUUUCUGCGAAGCUUCUGUACCCUGGAUAGGCUGUAGCUUGUUCCGGAACAGGGCUUGUACCGGUACAGCGUGAUGGUUGUACCGGAACAACCAUCAAACUUUUCUGCGCAAACGCUGAUGGCUGUACCCUGGACAGAAAAUCCUUGUACCGGUACAACAAUGCAAUUUCGCUGAAAAUGCAUUAUUUCGGAUUUUACAAGAUCUUAGAAACUUUCUAAUUAAUUACAACUUGAAAAUAUGAUUCUAAGAUCUAUAAAUAAGUAUGAAUCACCAUAAACAAUAUUUAAAGCUUACCUAAGCAUCGUGAUUCAAGUUUUGCGUGUUUUGCGUCCUUUCUGAUUCUUCGAAGUCUUGGAUUCUUCGAUCUUCAAUACGUCGCUCCGGACUUCUUCAAGACUCCGACUGGACCCACGAAACUUGCCAACACAUAGGACCUAAUACAAAUUAAGGGGUUAAAGGAAGGAUGUAGACCUAUCAUUGGGAUAGAUGGUUGUUUUCUGAAGGGAUCGUUUGGUGGACAGCUUAUUAGUGCUAUUGGUAGAGAUGGAAAUAAUCAGAUGUUUCCAAUUGCAGUGGCUAUUGUAGAAGCAGAACUAAAGGAUGUUGGAUUUUAUCCAAUAAUAAAUUUUGAUGAUAACAAACAAAUAUUGGAUUUAAUUUGUCAUUUAGCAAUUUCAGGUUAUAGUUUAAUUUAAAGUGGCUCAAGCUGAACCGGAAUUGAUCAAAGGUAACAAUUCAAUCAAAUUAUUCAAAUUGGCCCGGACAAGAUCAAAUUGUACCAAAUUGGAUACAAGUGCCACAACAAAAAUUUGGAGGACUUCUUUACAAUUUAUCGGAUUUGAGCCGGUCAACCUAGUCAAGUUGACAAAUUCACCUUUGGGUUUGAUUUGAGCUUAAUGUCAAAUUAGCCAUUAUUUUAAUAUGGUAUGAAAGUGAUUUUAUGUAUGGUAUAAAUUCAAAUUUGAUUUUAAUAUAGUAUGAAUUUAAAAAAUAUAGUAAUAUUUCAAAUGAGUUUUGCAAAUGUGGUAUGAAUUUAAAUUUUAUAAAUUUAGUAUAAUUUCAAAUGAGCUUUUCAAUAUAGUAAUAUUUCAAAUGUUUUGCAAAUGUGGUAUGAAUUCGAAUUUAUUUUGGAAUUAAUUCAAAUGCAUUUGCAAAUAUGGUUAAAAUUCAAAUUGAAAUCAAUUAUAAUUUAAUUAUGCUUUUGUUCCAUUUUUGAAAUGAUGGCUACUGUAUUUAAAGGGGGGCUUGGAUGUUGUUUGUGACACAACUUCAGAAAAAUUCUCUAAGUCCUAAUUGUUCAUAAUUUGUAAUUGUGAGCUUCUUGAGAGAUUGUAAAAGAAGUUUUGUGUGAUUGUAAGCGGCUUUGGUCUUGCCCUAUUCAAAAGGCCAAGUGAUAGUGAAAUCGGUACCUCGAGGAGAAAAAGGACCGGACUGGAGUAGGCAGAAGGGCCGAACCAGGAUAAAUCAUCUGUGUUAUCUGAGUUUCAUUUUCUUCUUUUAUUUGGUUGUGCAAUUUUUAUCUUGAUUUAAUUUUACUUGAGUUUUUAGUUUUCAACUAAUUCACCCCCCCUCUUAGUUGCCAUUUGAUCCUUCAUUUGGUAUCAGAGCGCAGGUCUCACUGUUGCAGACUAACUGUCUUGUGAGAUGGCAACUUUUCACGCUACUAUUGAAGGUCAAUCCAUCGCUCGUCCUCCUUUCUUUAAUGGGAGUAACUACACCUAUUGGAAGGUGCGGAUGCAAAUUUUUCUACAAUCCCUAGAUUUUGAUCUUUGGGACAUUGUAGAAAAUGGCUAUACUAAGCCUACCACGGCAACUAGCACAUGGAAGGCAGAGGACAAAGGUAAAUUUAAUUUGAACUCUAAAGCGAUGAACACUCUUCAUUGUGCUCUUGACUCAAACGAGUUCAACCGAAUUUCUACAUGCAAAACUGCAAAAGAAAUUUGGGAUAAAUUAGCCGUUGUUCACGAGGGGACAAAUCAAGUAAAAGAGUCUAAGAUAAAUAUGCUUACUCGCGAUUAUGAAAUGUUUUGUGUGCAACCAAAUGAAAGUAUAACUGAUAUGUAUACUAGAUUUACCAAUAUUAUUAAUAGUCUAAAGGCUUUGGGAAAGGAUUUUUCUGAUGCAGAUCUUGUUAGAAAAAUACUCAGAAGUUUUCCUCAAAAUGGACCAUGGGAACCAAAGUUGGCGGCUAUUCAAGAAGCGCGCGACCUCGACAAAUUUUCAUUGGAGGAACUCAUAGGGUCUCUUAUGACUUAUGAGUUACGAUUGAAGACGGAGCCUUCUACUUCUAUCAUUCAUACCGAAACGAAAAAUAUAGCCCUCAACUCUAACGAGGGAGAUGGAGGCGACUCCGACAAUGCGACUGACGACGAGAUCUCACUUCUUACCAGAAAAUUAAAGAAGAUCAUACAAAGAAAACACGGAGAUAAGUGGUCCGGCAAAGGUAAUGGUAGAUCACAUUUUUUCAAAAAGGAUGUAAAAUGCUACAAUUGUAAUAAAACAGGGCACAUAAGUUAUGAUUGCCAAAAUCAAAGCAAGUCUCCCCGAAAGGAGAAAAAGAAGAAUAAAGCCUUCUCCGCCGCUUGGAGUGAUGAUAGCGAUUCCGACAAGGAGGAAUCAACCAAGGAGGUCUCCAAUUUAAGCCUUACCUAUGACGAUGCACCUUCGAAUUGUUGCUUCAUGGCAAACAUAGAAGAUGAGGUAAAUGAUUUAACUUACGAUGAACUUUUGGAAGCUUUUUAUGAUCUUUAUGAUGAUCUCCAAAAAUUUGGUCCCAAAUAUGCUUCUUUAAAAAAAGAAAAUACAUCUUUAAUCUCAAAUUUAAAUUCAUUAAAAUCUGAAAAUAAAAGUUUAAAAACUGAGUUAAAUUCAUUAAAGAAGCAAAUUGAGACCAAAAGUGAUGGCGAAAAUUAUAAAGAUACUAGUUCUUUUAAAAUUGAAAAUGAAUCUCUAAAGAAAGACUUGAACGAUUCAAGAAAUACUUUAGAAAGAUUCAUUGGUAGCACAAAAGUUCUAAAUAUGAUGUUGGGUAAUCAAAGAUCCUAUUUGGAUAAAACUGGAAUUGGAUAUCAACACAAGUCUAGUCAAAAGAAAAAUAUUUCUAAACCAUUUGUAAAAUAUGCAAAUGGCAAUAAAAAUGUGUUAUGCACCUAUUGUAACAAAAUAGGGCAUCAUGUAACCCAAUGUCAAUUUAAAAAUAAGUUUAAACUUAGACAACUUUGGGUGGUGAAAGGUUCUAACACAAGUGGACCCAAAUCCACUUGGGUACCCUUCUUAACUUAAAUUUUUUGUAGGUAUGCCUGCACUCAACAAAGUCAAGCGACAAAUGGUAUUUGGACAGCGGAUGCUCAAGACACAUGACGGGCAACCCAACAAAUUUAUCGUCGCUUGAGUAUGAAGAGGGUGGGUGCAUAACUUUUGGAAAUAACUCCAAAGGUCAUAUCAUUGGAAAAGGCUCAAUCGGUAACAAUUUUUUUAAAAUUAAUGAUGUUUAUUUAGUAGAAGGACUUAAACAUAAUUUAUUGACUAUUAGUCAACUAUGUGACAAAGGAUUGAUCGUUAAAUUCGAAUCAACCCAUUGUAGUAUAAUUGACUCUAACUCAAAUUGUAUUAUGUUUAAAGGUUGUAGAAUUGGAAAUGUAUACACAAUCAAUUUAAGCACGAUUUCCCCAAGUAAAGAGAUUUGUUUUUCGGUUUUGGAUACUGAUUUUUCGUUAUGGCACCGGAGGCUUGGACAUGCAAGCAUGGAUGUCCUAUCUAAACUUUCGAGAAAAGAAUUAGUUAAGGGUCUCCCUAAACUUGACUACUCGAAAGAUAGAUUUUGUGACACAUGCGUUAGAGGAAAGCAUGUCAAGUCCUCUUUUAAGCCUAAAAAUGUCGUUUCUACUAAUAGGCCAUUAGAACUCCUUCACAUGGAUCUAUUUGGCCCUAUUAAUAUUACUAGUUUAGGCGGCAAAAAUUAUGUUUUUGUGAUUGUUGACGAUUUUACUCGUUUUACUUGGACUUUAUUUUUGUCGCAUAAAAAUGAAGCUUUUGAAUCUUUUAAAGCUUUUAUUAAAAGAGUUCAAAACGAAAAGGAUUUGAAAGCUUCAAAAAUUCGAAGUGAUCAUGGUGGUGAGUUUUCUAAUCGGGAUUUUGAUGAUUUUUGUUCUUGCAAUGGUAUUAAGCACGAAUUUUCGGCUCCUAGAACCCCUCAACAAAAUGGAGUUGUUGAGAGGAAAAAUAGGACGCUUCAAGAAAUGGCUCGUGCAAUGCUUUUAGAAAAUAAUUUACCUACUUAUUUUUGGGCCGAAGCCGUCAAUACGGCAUGUUAUAUUUUAAAUCGUGUUUCUAUUCGACCUAUUUUGGACAAAACUCCUUAUGAGCUUUGGAAUGAAAAACCUCCCAAAAUUUCAUAUUUUCGUGUUUUUGGUUGUAAGUGUUUUGUUUUAAAUACUAAGGACCAUCGGGGAAAAUUCGAUGCUAAAUCUGAUGAAGGUAUAUUUCUAGGCUAUUCAACUACUAGUAAAGCAUACCGUAUUUAUAAUCGGCGUACUUUAGUAGUAGAAGAGAGUAUGCAUGUUCUGUUUAAUGAAUCUAACGUUGGAGUGGACUCAUAUGAUGAAGAAGUCGAUGAAUUGAAAAAGAUGAUGAGUAGGACUUCUAUUCAAUCUACCUCAAAAGAUAAUAAAGAAAUAGAUAAACUCCCCCUCAAAAUAAGCAUAAAAAAUCCUUCAGUUAAAGCGAAAGAAACUUUAAAAAAAAACUAUUGAGAUAAUCUUUUCUUCGAAUUUUACGUUAUCACGUACACAAAAAGAACGUAUCUUUGGAAUUUGUUGAAACUGAUCGGCAAUUAGCUGAUAUUUUUACAAAACCACUCAAUUUUGAAAAAUUUGAUUGCCUUCGCAGAGAAAUAGGGAUGUUAGAUGUUGAAACUUUGUAAUUUUUUUUUGAUACCACUUGUUAAAUCUCCUUUUGUACUUUUUGUGGAUUCUUAUCGCUAUGAUUUCUAUUUUUUUCUUUGUCUUAUCCUCCUUCAUCUUUUUAAUUAAUUUUGUUUUGAUGAUAACAAAAGGGGGAGAAGAAAAGAUUAUCUCAAUAGUUUUUUUUUAAAGUUUCUUCGCUUUAACUGAAGGAUUUUUUAUGCUUAUUUUGGAGGGGGAGUUUAUCUAUUUCUUUAUUAUCUUUUCAAAUUGUUUGAUCAUCAAAAAGGGGGAGAUUGUUGGAUUUUAUCCAAUAAUAAAUUUUGAUGAUAACAAACAAAUAUGGAUUUAAUUUGUCAUUUAGCAAUUUCAGGUUAUAGUUGAAUUUAAAGUGGCUCAAGCUGAACCAAUUGAUCAAAGGUAACAAUUCAAUCAAAUUAUUCAAAUUGGCCCGGACAAGAUCAAAUUGUACCAAAUUGAUACAAGUGCCACAAACAAAAUUUGGAGGACUUCUUCAAUUUAUCGGAUUUGAGCCGCUCAACCUAGUCGAGUUGACAAAUUCACCUUUGGGUUUGAUUUGAGCUUAAUGUCGAAUUAGCCAUUAUUUUAAUAUGGUAUGAAAGUGAUUUUAUGUAUGGUAUAAAUUCAAAUUCGAUUUAAUAUAGUAUGAAUUAAAAAAUAUAGUAAUAUUUCAAAUGAGUUUGCAAAUGUGGGUAUGAAUUUAAAUUUAUAAAUUUAGUAUAAUUUCAAAUGAGCUUUUCAAUAUAGUAAUAUUUCAAAUGUUUUGCAAAUGUGGGUAUGAAUUCGAAUUUAUUUUGGAAUUAAUUCAAAUGCAUUUGCAAUAUGGGUUAAAAUUCAAAUUGAAAUCAAUUAUAAUUUAUUAUGCUUUUGUUCCAUUUUUGAAAUGAUGGCUAGUGUAUUUAAAGGGGGCUUGGAUGUUGUUUGUGACACAACUUCAGAAAAAUUCUCUAAGUCCUAAUUGUUCAUUAAUUUGUAAUUGUGAGCUUCUUGAGAGAUUGUAAAGAAGUUUUGUGUGUGAUUGUAAGCGGCUUUGGUCUUGCCCUAUUCAAAAGGCCAAGUGAUAGUGAAAUCGGUACCUCGAGGAGAAGAAGGACCGGACUGGAGUAGGCAGAAGGGCCGAACCAGGAUAAAUCAUCUGUGUUAUCUGAGUUUCAUUUUCUUCUUUUAUUUGGUUGGUGCAAUUUUAUCUUGAUUUAAUUUUACUUGAGUUUUAGUUUUCAACUAAUUCACCCCCUCUUAGUUGCCAUUUGAUCCUUCAAAAGAUUCCAUGGAAUUGGUUUUCACAAAUUUGCUACAAGCUUAUAGGACCAGCGGAGGCUCAUAGGUGGACUUUCAUAUCUGAUAGACAAAAGGUAAGAAGUUUCAUUCAAUACAAUGAUGAAAUAAUUUUGAAACAUAAUGAAUUAACUGUAAUCUAUUAACUUUUAUUAUACUUUUGUACUUAAAUGUCUUUAGAGUCUGGUGGAGGUUUUGAUGCCCUGCUUCUAGGAGUAGACCAUAGGUUUUGGUGUGCCAGCAUAUGUACAAUAAUUUCAAAGAAUAGGUUUAAAGGCAAGAAAUUGAAGAUCUGCUUUGGGAGGCCAACUACAUCAUACACUGUGAGAGAUUGGGAAAAGGAGUAUGUAAAAAUGAAGGAUGGUAAUGUAGCUGCUUCGAUUGGCUCAUGGAAGUGCCACAAAAAAUGUGAACAAGAUCUUAUUUCAGUCCGAAUAUUAAAUAUGAUUCUGCUUUGCAAUAAUAUAUAAGAGGCAUGAAACUGGCAAUACUAGGAGGCAGGGAGCUACCAAUCAUUGAUCUAAUGGAGAAGAUAGGAAUGCAAGAUAAUGGACAAGAUUUCAGAGAAAAGACAAUAUAUGAAAGACAACAUGGUAUUCUUGCGCCUAAAAGUGCAAGCAAAGUUGGAGGAAAUAAAAAGAAAAGGCGCUAGACAUUGUGAGCCAUUAUGGGCUGGGAGAAACUAUUUUCGAGUUCAUUGCAAUGGAAAGCACUACACUGUGAACCUACCAGCAGCAUCUUGUGAAUGUAAGCAUGGGAUGUCACUGAAGUUCCAUGUAAGCAUGUUGUCUCUGCUAUAUUCAAGCAAAAGUUGCGAACCCAAGGGAGUUUGUUCACAAGUAUUUCUAAAGGAGACUUAUAUAAGAACAUAUAGCAAAUGAUCAUGCCUCUACCUGAUUCUUCAAUUUGGCAUAAAGUUGGGAAUUGAGCCUAUAAUGCCACAUCCAUAUAGAGACAACCAGGUAGACCUAAAAAAUGGAGGAGGAGGGCGAUUGAUGAGCCUAAGAAAGGUACAAUAGUAGAGGGAGGUAAGAAGUAUAGAUGUAGAAGUGUAAAGGUUUGGACACAACACUCGAUCUUGCACUAAUAUUGUAUGUAGAGAGAAAUAGUUUGGUGAGGGAACAAGUAAAAGUUAGGGGAGGGAGACCACCGGUGAAUCGAGGAGGGAGAUCGCUACUUGGGAGAGGUGAUAGAGCACCAGUAACUUUAGGAGAAAGCAAUGCUUCUGCAAUGAGAGGAAGUACACCAAUUUGGGGGAAAGAAAACAUCAAUGGGGCAGAGCUGGGAAGGCAUUAACUGGGAGAGGCAGGGGUCUAUGCAAGAGUUUAGAGCAGAUCAGCACAUACCAUCCUCCAAUACAUCUGCUGCAGCUGCAAGAAGGUGUAUCUGCUCGAGCAAGGAGCGAAGCAAGGGGAAGCUUCUUAUAGGCCAGUAAGCUUCCAUAGUAUAUGUUACUAGUUGAUGAUCAAGCUUUCUUGUAUAUAUAUAUAUAUAUAUAAUAAUAUAUAUAGAGAGAGGAGAGAGUUGAGGAGGAGAGAGAGAGAGAGAGGAAGAGAGAGAGAUGAGGCUACUAUGCUUUUGGAAGUACGGAGCCUUUUCGUGCUUUCAAGGUCGUUUUUGAUUGUUGUUGACUUCGAACUCGUCGAUCGGCUCUAUUAAACUUGAUCUAAAGUUAUUUGAAGUACCUAGAAAUAAAUUUUAUAAGCUUUCCGAUAUUUUUCUGCUUAUUAAGGGCUCAAAAUCAACAGCUGAAAAAUAAAUCUACAAAAAGUGAUAAUAUGACAUUAAAAUUUAGAUCAAAGAUAUUGAUCUUGUUUUAUAUAGUAUAAAGAAUUUUCUAUCAAAAUUUCACGUGAUUUAAUAUUUCUACACCGUUAAACUUGCAAACGGCUCACCACAGCCAUUUAAUUAUUAAUUUUGAGUCGCUUCGAUCACUAGGCAAAUGAUAUCAAAAAAUCAUAAAUUUAUUUUCUAAGUGAUUUUCAAAUACUCUAGAUCAAGUUUAAAGAACCGAUCGACGAUUCGAAGUCGUAACAUUAAAAACGACCUGGAAGCACGGAAGGCUCCGUGCUUCCAGAGCAUAGUAUCCUCAUAUAUAUAUAUAUAUAUAUAUAUAUAUAGAGAGAGAGAGAGGAGAAGACGAGAGAGAGAGAGAGAGAGAGAGAGAGUGUGUGUGUUGAGCUGAAUACUAUCGAUAGUAAACGAGCCGUUUUACUACCGAUUUGUUUCAAUGAUUAGAGCUUUCAAAUUGACUAUCGGCUCCGUUAAAUAUGAUCUAAACCAUUAAACUACCUAGUAUCAAAUUUCACGCACUUUCGAUAUUGUUCUUUUAUCCACAAGUGAACAGAAAAAUGAAUGGCUGAAAGUGGAAUAUUCUUUAAAAAUUGAUGAUAGGAGUCUUUGUAAUCAAGAUCAAGAGUAUAGAUCUUGUUUUAAAUAGUUUAAAGAAUUUUUCUAACAAAAUUCAAUUGAUUUGAUAUCUUUACGCCCGUAAACGAGAAAACGCCUCUUAUCGACCGUUAAAAAUUGUUGAUUUUGAACCAUUUUUAUUACUAGGAAAAUGAUACUGAAAAAUUACAAAAAAUAUUUUCUAGAUAGUUCAAAUACGCUAGAUCAAGCUUAACGGAGCCGAUCAUCGAUUCGGAAGCUCUAUCAUCAAAAACGGCUUAGGAGCACGAAGGUCUCUGUGUAUCUCUAUAUAUCUAUAUAUAUAUCUAUAUAUAUAUAUAUAUAUAGAACUAGGCUAGAAUACUAUUAAUAGCACCAAUGAGUUGGUGCUAUUAAGUUUUCUACCCUUAGAUUAAAAGAUGUGCGGUUAGGAUAAUGUGGGCCCCCUAGGGUUGAAUGGGUGGUUAGUUGAAUAGUAUAAUCGAACGGAUGAAAAUGAUAAAAGAGGUAAAUCUAACGGUAGAAAAUUUGAUAGUACCAAAUGCUUCGUGCUAUCGAUAGCAUCCCAGCCGGACUAUAUAUAUAUAUGUUGAUUCUUUCUUUAGGCAUUUCUCAAAAGAGGGAUAGGAGAGCAGCAUAUGUCAGCAACAACUCAAGAAUCUACUAGUAAGCCAACUUAGGCCAGGGGCAACAUGAAAUUGUUUUUUUUUUUUUUGUAUACUCAUUUUCUAUUUUGGUCUGUUUAUAAAGCAAGCUAUAAGAUACUUACAUUACUAUCUAUAACUCAACUUAGAUCCUUUUGUAUUUAUAUUUGGAUCUAACUGUUAGUGUAUGGAUCUAACUGUUAAUGUAUUUGGAUCUUGCUGUCACUGGGAUGCUUUUGAUGUGAACUUGCUGAUACUCUUAUUAAUGUAUGGAUUUUGCUGAAUGUUUGUUGGUUCUCUUAUUCAUGUAUAGAUUGUGCUGAAUAUUACUUAUAUGUUUAGUUCUCUUAUUAGUUCAUGUAUGGAUUCUUCUAAGUUGCUGGUAUCUGCUGGUAUCUGUUGGUAUUUGCUGCAUUGCUGGCUGCUGGUACCAGCAGAGAUUGUUAAAAAUCUGUUGAACUCUGCUGCAUUAUUGGUAUCUGUUGGUACCAUCAGAUGUAGUUUUUUGUGCCUUCUGUGCAUAUUGUGUUUAUUGUGAUUAGUUCAUUGGAAUGGUGCAUUAGUUCAUUGGAAUGCAUAUUAUUAAGCACAUCUUACAUGUAGACAACUAUAAAGUACAUACAAAUAUCAUGAAGAUCCAUGUAGAGACUUAAUAACUUAAAUAGUUGUAUGAUAUAUUACAUAAUAGACCACUCAUUUAGAAACAAAAUGAGGUGGCAUGCACAACAACAGUCCAAAAUUCCAAACAAAUAUAACAUAAGUACAUUCAUAUCAAUACAUACCACAUCAAAGCAAUUAGAAGUAUACAGAUAAGAAGCAAGUAGUAUUUGCAAAUUUUCUGAUUGUCUUCCUCCUUUAGCUUUAUUUGGGCCAAAGCCAUUUUGCAAUUAGUCUAUCUAUUUCCCCUCGAAGUGCCAUCCUCGAAUUUUCAAUAUCUAUCAACUUCUUUCUAAGAGUAUAAUUGUCUUCAGUAGUUGUUAAUAUCUCAUUUUCCAAUGCUAUUACUUUCUUCUUCAAAUGUCCAAUUUGUUCGAGUUCGAUGAUGUAUUCUUUUCCUCGCUCAAAUAUCUCUGGAUCACGCCAACGAAAAAAACCAUAACCAUUUCUCUUGCAGUUUAUGCAGUCAUAAAAUCGUCUUCCUGGAUUAUCAAAUGUUAGUGCUGUUCUCUGAGGAGCCUUUAAUCCACAAAAGCAAACAGGAUUGUCCACAUUGAGUUGGCCACUAGUACAACUACUAGAUAAAGAGCCAGACAUUUUGCUGUAGCCAAAGGUGAUAAAAAAUUAUAAAAUAAGGAUACAAAACUUAAUAUAUUAAGAAAAACAAUUUUUCAUUAAUCCAUAGUAUAUUUUGAGGAAAAUAAAACAAAAAUGGUUGAUCUGGAGAGAAGAACAAUAUAUAUGUAUACACUUGUGCGACUAGGGAAGGAAAAUCAUACAUUUUUGAUGUAUUUGGAGACUACUUGGGAAUGUUCAAGCUCCAAUGACUACAGUGAUGACAUUACUGGGAGGAGGAGAAGAUAGGUAAGAUGGGUAGCAGUUGACAGGGUGAAAAAAUGGGGAAAAUAAUGGAGAAAUAGUGGACAGCAAAAGUCUGGGACGGAAAUGAAUGGGUAUUUAAUAGACUCCCGCCAUUUUGAAGGGUAGUUUUGGUAUCCACAAAUAAAUUUUAAUUAGCAGACGAAACUCUCACGGAACCGUGACGGCAGGGGGGUAAGUGCACAAUUUUGUAAUUAGGAGGGGGCAAAGUGCAGGUUUUUAAAUGUAGGGGGGGAAAGUGAAAAAGCAGGUUUUUACAGGGGUUUUUCUAUAAUUUAGCCUUAUUUUUUAUUAUUAUUUGAUUACAUAAAAGAUAUUUUAAAUUUUUACUUCAAAUUAUAUUACUUAAAAACUUAAAUAUAUAUUACUUUUUUAUAUAUUAAACUAUGCUUUAUGCAUAUAUUAUGGUAUUUACCGUCAAAAUUGGAUGCGGUCCAUGAGGCCAAGCCAACACUUCUCGAGCGGUCCAUGGGCCUCGCGAGUAACUGCGACUGUGUAGGCACUCCAAAUCUAUGCAUCGUGUUUUUUUUCCUCUUCUAUUUUUAUUUUUCAACGUUUUAGAGCGGAAAACGAAAUAUCAAUUUUUUUGCAAAAUCUAUAAAAAAACGUUUUACGUGAAAAUAAUUUUACGAGCUACCAAACGCUUGAAAAUUUGUUUUCCAAGGCGAAAAUACUUUCAGCUAACUUUUACAACGAUCCAAACAUCCCCCUAAGGUAAAGGCUUUAAGGAUAAGAAGCCAAACUGAAAUCAAAACCAUAUCCAGAAAUACAAUAUCAGCCAAUCUAGUGGGAAUAAUAAGAAGAAUGAUUUCUGUUAGAUUUGUGGCUGGAAUAAUUAUUUUGCUUCAAAAUGCUUUUAUCGAAAUAAAGAGAAAGUUGCCUAUAAGAAGGAUCAGAAUAAUCAGAACAACUAUCCUAAAUCUCAAGUAAACAUGAUUAAGAUUGAACCUUUCAACUCAAACUUUAGGUUUACCUCCUUUAUACCCAAUAUUAACCAUACCUAUCAUAAUUUAUAUUGUGGUAAACUCAAGAGCCAAUAUCAAUGUCUGUACUAAUAGAUCCCUAGUCUUCUCUUACUAGGAUACAAAUAGAGGAUAUGUGACGGUUGGAGAUGAAAAAGUUGCCAAUGUGUUGCGGAUCGGAACAGUUAAAAGAAAGUAAACUUCUAGAAUCUGAUCCUUCACAAUGUGCGGCAUACUUCCUAGAUCUAAUGGAAUCUAAUCGGUGUAUGUUUUUUAGUGCAGUUAGGAUAUAAGACUGUACCCAAGUCUAAUAAAAUUCUAAUUUAUAAGAUGGAAAUGUUUAUUGGAAAAUAUUUUGUAUCUGAGGGAUUGUUCAAGUUUAAUGUACUUCGUUUUGUUGAUAAUAGAAAUUCCUCUUCUACUUCUACUUCUACUUCUUCUACUAUUUUUUUAAAAUACUGAAUUAUGUGAUAUAUGGUAUGGCAAGUGAGGACAUGUGAAUCUAAGAGCUAUUUUGAAAUUAACCAAUCUUAAUUUUGUACCCAAACUCAAGAUUGAUCCUAAAUCCUAAUGUAAGAUUUGUACCCAAGCUAAAUAGUCUAGAAAACCUUUUAAAUACAUUCGUUAUGGAGAUACCCAGAUUCUUAAGCUGAUCUAUAGUGAUGUCCAUGAUUCUAACAGAAGACCUACCCACAAAGGAAGUCAUUACUUUGUGACCUUUAUAGACGACUGUUCUAAGUAUUGUUACACAUAUUUCUUGAAGACUAUGAAUAAAGUUCUUAAUAAGUUUUAAAACCUUUAUUGCAGAACUGAAAAAUAAUUAGAAAAGGAGAUUAAAAUUAUAAGGUCUGAUAGAGAAGUUGAUUAUAUUUCAAAUGAAUUAAAUCUGUUUUAUGAGAAACAUAAAAUAAUUCAUGAAGUUAUUGGUCCAUACUCACCUCAAUCAAAUUAUAUAACUUAAAAGAAAGAACCAGCCCUAUUAAAUAUGGUUAAUGUCAUAAUAUUAAGUUUUAAUGUACCUCAUAACUUAUAGGGGCAGGCUUUUUUAUCAGCUUAUUAUAUACUUAAUAAAAUUUUCUCAAAAGAUUAAAUCCAGACACUUUGUGAAUUUUUGAAGGGAAGAAUACCUAAGUUGAGUUUUUUUUAUUUUUUUGAGAGAUAGGCAGCAUGCUAUCCGCUUCGUUUAUUUCAUUUAGAAAUAAACUUAAUUGAAAAUGUGAAUCAACUAAGAAUCGAACUUGGGACCUUGGGUACUAACCACCAAGCCCUUUGCCACUUGCUCUAGGGACUUUCAAGUGUGGGGGUACUUAGCCAAGGCCCUGUUUGGUUUGCUGUAAAAUCACUCUGAAAAAAAAAUUCUGUGGAAAAGUAAGUUUCGAGUGUUUGUUUGCCCGUAAAAAAAAAUUUUCGGAAAACUUUUUUUACAAAUCCGACAAAAUUGGGCCUUUUCGUUUUCCGCUCGAAACGAGCAGAAACGAAAAUCGCGGCAUUGGGAGCCGGGGGCGGGGUUCACCAGGUGUGCGGUCACGAGGGACACCCCACCUCGUGGACCGCGACAGAGAGGUCCACGAUAGACCUUUCUCUCUCCCCCAUCUUUAUAUAUAUAUAUAUAUAUAUAUAUAUAUAUAUAUCUCUUUAUAGAGGCUAGAAUACUAUUAAUAGUAAAACGCUCUUUUUGCUAUCAAGUUUUUAACUCUUGGAUGAAAAAUUAUAGGGUCAGGAUGAUAUUAGUCAAUUAGAGUUGAGUGGUCCAACUAGGGUUGAGUGGUCCCCACUGGGUUAUAGUAUUUAAUCCAAUGGUUAGAAAUAAUGAAAAGAGUUGAUCCAAAAGCUAAAAAACUGGUAGUAACAAUGGGAUUUUGCUACUAAUAGUAGCCCAGUCCAACUCUNNNNNNNNNUAUAAUCAUAAUAUCAAAUAUAAAUAUUUAUUUUAUAUAAAUUUUAUAUAAUGCGUUAUUAAUUUAUACGUUAUAUUAUAUAUUAUGAUAUAAUAUGAUAAUAAUUAUAUAUUAAUAAUAUAAAAUAUAUAAAAUAAAAAAAAAUAUAAUAAUUUUUAUUUAUAACUUUUUUUUCCUUUCAACAAAAUAACUGUCGUAGAAAACUAUUUUUUUUUCCUACAAACAAAACACCAAACAAGGUAAAAAUGUUUUCCACUGAAAAAUUUUUUUUCCACGGAAAAUUUUUUUUCCACAGUUUUACGUGGAACCAAACAUACCCUAAGGUAUUUAUUCCCGAAUCCAAAAGAAAAAAAGAUUAGAUCUAAAACAAUAGAUAUUAUUUUUUUUGGAUAUUCUUUAGAUAGCAAUACCUAUAGAUUCCUAGGGCGUGUUUGGUUUGAAGUCGGAGUCGAAAUCAGAAUCGGGAUAAAAAUAAGUUGGAAUCGGAAUCGGAAUGACUCAUUACUUAAUUCUGUUUGGUUCAUCAUCUGAAUCGGAAUCGGAAUAAAUCAUUCCCAUUGUUGGUGUUUGGUUCAAGUGGAUAUAAAAAACGUAAUCAAAUUAAUAUAUUAACAUUGUCUUUAUAAUAUAUUAAUUUAAAUUCAAAUUAAAAAUUAAAUAUUAAAAAUUUACAUCAAAAUUUUGAAAUAAUGUCAAAAUUUUAAAUCUAUUUUUUUUAAAAAAAUUUAAACUUUGAAGUUGAGUGGAUAAUUCAAAAUAUGAAACUAAAUUUUGAUUUAUUCAAAUUCAAACUUAAAAUUAUAAUUUAAAUUUUAAUUUGAAUCCAUAAAUUUAAUUUAAGUUUGAAAUAAAAUUUGAAUAAAACUUUAUAUAAAUUAAAAUUUAAUUUAAAUCCAAAUACAUAAGUUAGAUUCGAAAUACUUGAUUAAAUUUUAAUUUUUAAUUGAAGUUCAAAUUAAAAUUUAAAAUUAUAUAUUUAUUUUUAAAUUUUAACUCAUAGUUAAUUGAAAAAGUUGAAAAAAUAAAUUUAAUCGGAAUAAAUAUCCAUUUCGUCCGGAUUGAACUUCCAAUCCAGCCUUCUAGGCCGGAUUGAAAAAAGAGAUGAUUGGGGGAUUUCCAUUUCACUUGGAAAUCGGAAUCGGAAUGGAACUCCCGCGCACCAAACACCCACAAACGGAUUCACCCAUUCCGAUUCCGAUUCCAGAGUGAAAAAGAAGUGAACCAAACACGCCUAGAUUCCUAGUAACCAAUUCUGAGAUUUAUGAGAUUUUCAAUGAUAUUUGAAUUUUUAGUUAAAUUAUAACUCAUAACCAAAAUUAAAUUCGAAAAUAAAGGUUCAACAUAAAAAUUAGAACAUUAAAUUCAAAAUAGAAUUUAUAAUUUGAAUCGUAUUUUAAUUUACUUUUUGAUCUUCAGUUAUAUAAAUACAAAGAAAAUUUGCAUAAAUUUGAGAUUAUUUUUGUAACAUAUAGCUCAUGUAACAUAAAAAGGGGGGAAAAAAAAAGAAAGAAACACGAGAGCAUUCAAGUGCCCAUGGUCCAAAAACAAAAUGGCAAAUUUAACUAAAAAUCAUCUCAAAUUCAGAAAAAUAAGACAAAAAUAAUUUAUCACUAUAGAAUAAGAAUGUAAAAAUGUAUAGAACUCUCUUUAUCUAUGAAAAAUUUUGAUUUAGCUAUUUCACUUUUCAAAAUUUAAGUUUUACUAUCUAAUUUUUCAUUUUUUUUGAUUUAAGUCAGUCAAUGUACUUUGAUUUUAAAAUUUGAAUGCGUCGUUUAUUUUUACAGAUUUAGUUAGUAUCUUGAAUAAAAUUCUUGCCACUAUAAAUUUAUUAAAAUAUUAAUUAGUUUAAAUUUUGAAGUUAAAGUAUUGUUGAAUGAUUCAAAUCAAACAAAUUAAAAGUUUGGAUAGUAAAAUUAAAAUUUUGAAGUAUUGGUUCAUGUAAGAUUUGUACAUUUUUGCUAAAUAAAAAAUUAAAUAAAUUUAUUUGCUGAUGUCUUAUUUCAAGUAGUAAACAGAAAAAAAAAGUGUUGCUAUAGAUAUCUAAAUAUACUCUACAAUGUUAUUAACAAUGUGACAAUAUUAUUAUUACACUUUAAUCAUUAAUAAUUAAAUUUCGAAUACUAAUAUUAAACUAACAAUAUGAGAGAGAGCCAAGCAUUUAUGAAAAGAUUACGAAUAAUUUCAUACAACUCCCUGUAAACAGUCGAAUAGUAGAUAUAUCCCUACAAAGUUCAAGUUUUUAGAUUUAUCCAUCAAAAAGUUCCAACGUUUUCAAAUAUAUCCUUACUAUUAGUAUUCGUUAGAAAAAUAUAGUUAAUCAUAAGUAGAAUAAUUAACCUUGGUUAGUGAGUGAUGUAAAUUGAUCAUUUUAUCCCUAUGAUAUUUUACCUCCUUCUCCGAUCAAAUCCUCUUUCUCUUCCUUUCUCUCCUUCAUACUAGUUUCGAAUUCGUAACUAGGGUUUCUUCAUUCCCAUUCACCUACGACGUGUGUUGCUUCAUUCUAUGUCGAGCGCCAGGAAAAUAAUAUUAAAUAGGUAAAGAAAAAAAGAAGUGGAAGAAGAGAUACAUAAGAGAUUGUAAUAAUGGUGGAUUAAGUUAGUUUUUAUAGAGGAAGAAAAUGACUAUCGAAGAAGAUGACUAAUGAGGAUUUUUUGGGAGGUAGCACAAUUCUAAUAGUUGGGAUUUUUGGAGAGAUAUAUUUGUGAUAGCAAAAUUAAAAUUUCACUUAUUUUUUGUUAAAAAAUAAAUAAUGAGUUAACGGUAACAAAUCAGAGGGACAAAUAUGAAUAUCACUUGACUUUUAAAUCGAUAAAUUAAAAGAAUUAAAUUUUAUAAAAAUAUAUUUUGAUAUAUUUUAAAAAAUAAGUAUAUAACCUUAUGACCACGUUGAAGCAACGGGGAAUAAGUAUUGCCGCGUGAGGGCUAUUGAUACCAAACCUUUUCUCUUUACUGGCCAAAAUAAAAAAUUGCGGCUAUCAAAUCUAACAGCAUUACCUCGCUGUAUAAGCAACCAGGUGGAAAUUGCAUUCCCAAUCGGUUAUUCCGCCCCCUCGAUGCGAGGGGCAUUUUCGUCACUUCGCCCACCGACGACGGAAACUACUUUUACGCAGCGAUACCCUGUCCAGAGUGUACGACGCACGUUCAAAACCCUCUCUCCUAUUGGCUACACGUCAGAUCAUGAUUAUUCACUAGCCAAUGGGCAUCGAGUAUUUAAAAAAUUAUUGAGGUUGGUGUUGGCGUAGUGCUGCUCUUAAUUCUUCAACUCCACGGCGGUGACCCUUUUCCCUUUUCCGCUUCGACCCCUACGCAACAUUCCCCUUCUCUCUCUCUCCUCUCUCUCUCUAGAAGGGGCUCGUGUUCUUAGACUCGUUCCCCCGUCAACCACCGCGUUGGAUCGUAAACCCUAGAUCAGGAUCAGGAGGAGGAGGAGGAGGAGGAGGAAGAAGAAGUCGGAGAUUGGAGAUUCCCGACGAGCUCGAAUCGAAGAAGUCGGGGACGGAUCUGAGUGUGGGGGAGAGGAGGCGGCGGCGGAAGAGGAGGAGGGAGAGGGAGGGAGAGAGGAGCCAUGUCUAUGUCGGAUUCGGACUCCUCCCACAACGGCGACUUCAAAACAUUUCGCCAAAUCAGCCGAGAACGUGAGUCGCCGAUUUUGGAUUUGCCCUUUAAUUUCGUUAAAUUGCCAUCGAUUACUUAGUGUCUCGAUUUGUUUAUGCUUCUCGUUUGUCGUGAUUGGUGUUAGUUUCGGUUUGCAUGUGAAACGUGCCUUGUCACUGUUUGUCGAAAUGCCGAGGAGUCACAGCUUGCCCUUUCCGUGGCCGAAUUUCGUUUUCUUUACCACCGGUUUGUUGGUGGGAUGGGUCUUCUUAAGUGUUUGUUUUGUGGUACGGAAUAACAACACUCAAAGUCAUGUAUUUUGCUCGUCCCUCUCAGAUAAGAUUGUGUUAGUAGUGUGAGGGGGCCGUUCAUGGCCUGUGUGGGGUCAGUUUCAAACUGGGCACAGGGAAGGAAGAUCCGAAGAAAUUUGAAUGUGGUCAAGAUCGCAAUGGCGGAAGCCGACUAUUUUGUUAUGUGAUUUCUUGUUAUUUAUUAGUUAAUGCUGCAACAUGAUUAGUGUCGCCUCUUAACUAGCAGUGUAUUGUUUGGAACUUCUGAUUGCAUGAUUAGUUUUUUAUGAAGGCAUCGAAUAGCUUACAUGAGUUUGUAUGGGCCAUGUUUUGUAUGUUUAUCAGCUUGUUUGAAUUCUAGAUCCAUCUAGUUGGUUCUGGGUGUGUUUGGAAUGGGCAUUGGGAAACAAAUAUUUCAUAAAUUUUCUUUAUUUUCCAUAGAUGCACACUAUUAAACACAAAAUUUUGAUGGUAUGAUUGAUUAUCUGGUGGUGGAUUAUCGAACAGUCAUGAAUUUUAUAUUCCUACAUUGAAAGGUUUUGUAAUUUCAUCUCUAAUUAAAUUAAAUGGUUUGCACGAAGUUUGCUUUUAUGGAGCACAUAGAUGGUUGCCUAUAGGUUAAUGUCCCACUAGUCCCACUAGAAGGUACAUUGGGCAUUUAGAGCAUACUGGACUUUGCAUGCUCAUAAAUCAUGCUAUUCUUUCCCAUUGACAUGGUCAACCACAGCACGAGCUGGUUCGGAAUCUUCAAACCUAGUUGGCUUAUGAAUAUGGCAGUUGUUGCAGUUAUUAUUCGCUAGCAGCUAUCUGAUUAUUCCAAACUAUAGUUCUUAUGUUUUCUGGCAAUUGUCGAUUAUUUAAGAAUAUCCCUAUCAGGCCAAAAUCACCUGAGCCCUUUUCCCUACUCUUCAUUUAACUCGGUAUGCGCUAUUUAUGGUGCUUGAUACUUGGACUUGAAUUUGAGAAGCAUGUACCUUGUAGGCAUAACAAGUAGCAUGCUAUAAUAGUAGGCCUAGGUACUUAGGUAAGCCUAUAAACUGGUUCCCUCUUUUCUGGAAAAGCAGAUUUGCGUACUGGCCAAAGAGUUGUUCUAGCAAGAAUUAGCCUAACUUAUCAAAUCUACAACUUGUGAGUCACGACUCAGAUGACCUUUUUAAAGAUCUUUCACAUCUUGGUGCUAGAUUUGAUUAGUUUUGAACGAAGUGAUUUGUGUUUUAUUAAAGUCGGCCAGAUAUUCGCCCUGUAAUAUAAACAUACCAGUUUGAUUGGACCAUGACAGAGAGGACCUCUUUUGCUUCUAAAAUAAACCAUUUUGGAACUGAUUUGAAUUGUUCUAAUUAAGUUGGGGUGAUCUUAACUGUGAGAGAGCUUCAUUGACCAUUCCCAGCUCUCGUUUGAACUUGAUUAACCCUUCCACCUUAGAACUUCGUGCAACUUUUGGGUUUUAAGCUUGCCUCAGUGCAUGAAAUUAGGACGUAAUUUGUCAAUCAAUUGAAUUUUGGAUUGCCUCCUGCUUUGUGGAUGAUGCUGUAGCUCAUUUUUUGCUUACACUUCUGGGCAUGGGAGUGGUCUAAUCUUUUACCUUUUGAGGUUUAAAGAAAACUACUGUCAGGUUGGGGAAAUCAAGUUAUGUGUCCUGGAGUCUAUAUUCUAUUAAAUUCGUGGAGGGAAAAAUAUUUGUCUUAAAGGAGAUCAUGCUUGCCACGCACUGCGAACAACAUUUCAUUAGUCAAAAUUCUGUGGUUGGUUUAAUAUUCUAAGCAUUAGGAUGUCAUGGGUAUGUUGGUUUUAUGUUGUGUUCAUUGAUUCUUUAUAUUGAUGAAGUGCUUGAGAUAUGUAUUAUCUAAUCUCAUGUUGUGCGCUUGUUUGCUCAUCCUUUUUGUCCAUAAUUUCUUCUUAAUAUCUGUUGCUUUUUUUUUUAUACUAGGUCUACUAUAUGAAAUGCUCCGAUCAGCAAGAGGAAAGGACUCAAAGUCAACAUGGAAGGUACUGCCAGAUGCUAUUUCUCAUAUAUGUAUCUGAUUUUUUUGAUUUCGUACCUCAUCUGUUUACUCUUGUUGCUAUUAUUAUUUCAUUAUCUUUUUUUGUUGUUAGUAUGUUGCUAUGUUAGAAUUUCUUUUAAUCACUUUCUGCUUCUUUUCUUUUGACUAAACAGUGUGGGAGCAUUGACAUGCAUUUAAUAAGGCGUAAUUGACUACAAUUAGGAAGGUUGCUCCAUCAAAGGAUUAACAGCUAGAUGACCUUUCUAAUGGCAUAACUCUAUAUAUUUUAGAGGCUGGUCUACUUUAAAUCAAAUAGUGACAACACAGUCAAUAAUAUUUCUUGUCACUAGUCUUUAUAUGAGGCUGAAAGGUUUAGAUAAUAGCUUAAAGCCAUCUGAGAUGAGAGUCAUGAUGAUGGUAUGUCAUGGUUCCAUCCAAAAAGCUGUUGAUAUUCUUCUCUUGAAGGAUGUUACUUUCUUGCAUAAUUCAUGAUGGAAGACUUGUCAAGUUAGUGAUGCAAAUUGGCAACAAUUAGUUGUUGAAAGGAUCUCUGUGCAAAUUGGAUAUUUAUUGCCCCACCAGAAAAUAAGUGAUUCUUAAGUAACAUAUGUACAUUGACAGUUGCUAACUAACCUGAAACUAAAUAGAAGGAACACAACAGUAAUUUGUCUUGGAAAACAAAACAUGUUUAGUAGGGAAUCAAAGAAGAGAUGCCGUAAUUACGAGGUCUCCAACACAAGGAAACUUGAAUUUCUCUUUGAUCUGUAUAAUACAAUAAAGAGAAGAAAAUACAAAAGAAAUUGAUUUGUUAAGUUAUGCUCAAUGGUGUUGCCUAUCGUUCACUUUUUAGAUUCUUUAUAGCCUUUGUUUUGGACAAUAGGAGGAGAUUCAAAUACGAAUUGUCAUUUAAAUGAAUUUCAAAGUUACACUGUAAGAAUCUGACUGCUCGUUAAGUCUAUUUAAUCUUGUUUCUUUGUUUUGCUUCAUUGGACCUCAUCAUAGGAAUAAAUCUGAAGGUAAUCCUUAGAGUUCAAAGUAAUGGGCUAACGGCUGAAGGAAAGAGAAGUUAUUUUUAUUGGAAUUCCUUUCAAACAAGCUAGAGCCUUCUGAUGUUGGUACAUCAUCGAGGAUUUUACUCUUAUCCCUUCCUCUUACAUUAGAUUUCCUUUGAUAUCUCACCUUGCCACAGUAAUGAUUUGGAUAUAUUACAAAAUAUAACUAAUAAAACUAAUAAAGAUGCUAAAUAUAGGUAAGAUAUUGGAAUAAAGAUGCUAAAUAGAGGUAAGAUAUCAGAAUGAUCUUUCUUAUUAUUUCUAAUGAACAAUCUUGGUAUUGUGAUAAUGUAAUUAGGUAUUAUGUUCCAUGACAUAUGUUAAGCAAGGAAUUAAGUAUCAUCCUGUGCCGUACGGCACGGGGCAUACUCGCUUGGACCAACCCCCCCUCUCCUGAUACGCACGGGGCAUCUCUUACCGUGCAGGGGGUCUUGCUUGGCCCCCUUGUGCCGCGAUACCCUUUGGGUAUCACACGAGACAAAAUGAUACCUAGAGGGUAUCGCGGCACGUGUCGCUGCGUGCCCACACGAGCACAUAGUGUUUUCCCUUUUUUUUUUGUACUUCCCUUUUGUUUGGCUUCUCCCAUAGACCUUCAUCCCUUUCUCUUCUCUUUUCUUCACUUCUACCGUCUUUUCUACUCUCUCUUUCCCUUUCUUCUCACAUCUCUUCCCCUAUUUUGUUUUUUCCUUUCUAUAUUUUCCUCCCUUUUUUCUCAUAUGUUUUUCUCUAAUUUCUUCUUUUAAUCCCUUCUUUUAUUUUUGAUCACUUCGUUCUUAAAAGAAAAGGCAAAGAAACAGCAAAAUCAAAGAUCUACUUAUUAGGCAAAUUAAAAAUUUACAACCUAGCUUUUCAUACAUUUUAGGAUAUAUUUAACUUGUGAAGUUCCUUUUGUGACGAAAUAUGAAAUUACAAUUUACAAAAAUAUGAAAAUAGAUCCACUUGAUUUUGUCAUUAUAUGGUCCGAUUUUUAAUUUUCUUGGAUGGAUUUAACAUUUUGUAUGAGAUUUACGAUAUUCACUUUCAAAAUUUUAUUACUGGAUUUGGAAACAUAAAAAUUCUAAUAAAAUCAAAAAAUAAAUUGAAGCAAUUGAUAUUUAAAUUUGCUUUUUGCGUUUGCCAUAUAGUUUAUUAGUAAAUUUUCAUAAAUGGAGCUCAUAAUUUUCUUAAAAAUUUCAAGAAAAAGUAAUUUUCUUGGAUGAAUCUUGCAAAUUUCUAUAAGAUUUUUUUAAAAAAUAAUUUUCUCUAAUUUGUAUUUUAUAACUUUUAAAAUUACAGAAAAAUAAAGAUAAAUAAACUUUUUUUUAAAAGUUAAUCAAUUUCUAUCGUAAACUUGCUUAAUUUAUUCAUCAUAUGGUUUACUAUUAAAUUUUCAUGGAUUUUGAGAUUAAGUAAUUUUCUUCAAAUUAUUUUCAUAAAUAUUUUAAAAAAUUUGAAAACGAAAAGUAACUAUUGGCACACUUGCGGUCCUAUUCUAGUUAGCUUAGUCAUCAUACUGUUCCUUAUCAAAUCAAUAUGGAUGGAUCUUUUAAAUUUUCAUAAAUAUUUAAAGAAUUACUUCACAUACAAAGAAGACUACCACUAUUUUAAGUUAUUAACUAGUAAGUGUAGAAAGCUAUUAUUACCAAUAGAUCGAGACAAAUCAAUCGUAGCCAAAAUUUGUAAUUAUUAUCCUAAAACUUUCAAAUAACAUUAUAUGACCUCAAGGUUUAAAGUGCCGUGGCACGGGGGCGUGCCGUUACGUCCCUGGCACGGUACGGCACGGGCACGCUUGCGUGCCGACACGUGGCACGCUUGCGUGCCGACAGAUACGCACGACCUCCUGUUGGCACGCUUUGGCACGGACUUAUUUUAGCUUUUUUGGUUCCAGUAAACUCUUAUAAUAUUAUUUUGAAAGAUUUAAACAAAAUAAUAUGAAUAUUUAUUAUGUACAUCUUACUAUACUCAUCAAAUAACAUGCAUGAAAGCUUUUUGUAAGUAAAAUACAGCUAUACCUGAUAUAGAAUAGAAAUUAAAAUAUAAUAAUAAAAUUCAUAGUUACCAAUAUAUUAUUUAAUUACAUCUUUACAUAGAGAUGACGCUUAAUUCACAUAGAUCGUCGCGCUGAUCAUAUGUCUAUUGUUAUCUGCGGAUACAAGAUUUAUUUGACAAUAUUGAUACAAGUAUUGCUUCAUUGUAAGAAAUAUAUAAUUCCCAAUAUUAUAUCUAUAUUUAUUUUUUUGUUCUUAUUAAAAAUAUCUGAUCAAAAUUUGUUUAGAAAUCGAUUUUUGUUUUUGAUUCAUCGAAAGUUCGCGGUGCGACAAAUUUUGAUAAAAAUUUUGGGAAGAAAAAUGAAUUCAGUUGUGGAAGCGGAGGGCUCGGCCGACAUAGGAUCAGAUAAAAAUAAGUUAAUUAUAAGUUUUAAUUUAAUAAAAAAAAACCAAAAAAGAGCAAAGGCAAAAAAAAAAAAAAGAGUUGACAAAAAGGCUCACGAUGUCAAAAAAAUAAGAUAAAAGUAAAAAAAUACAAAUAGAUGGCCUGGGGGUUGUAUCCCGAGAACAAAAAAAAAAAGAAGCCAACAAGAAAAAAAAAAAAACCGGCGCACGCCGGUACGUGCGGCGGCACGCUGUGCGUGCCGCUUUGCUUCAGCGGCACGCACCAGCGUGCCGCGCGCACGGGGGGCGAGUACCCCCCUGUACCGUCCCUUCUUGGCGGCACGGUACCGGCCCGCCGGCCUACGGUACGAGCACGGGGCGUCCCAUACGCACGCCCCGGCACUUAAAACCUUGUAUGACCUUAUUGGACCAAAAAAUAAAAUAAAAUUAGACUGUGCCAAAGCGUGCCACUAGGAGGUUGUGCAUGCCUGUCGGCAUGCUGUACCGUGCCAAGCAACGACCAACACGGCCUUGUGCCACGACACUUUAAUCCUUAAUGUUAAUAUAGAGGUAUUCAUAUCUAGUUAUAAAUGCUCAGGUUUAACGAAAAAUGUUUCUAUAUCAUGCCAAGCAAGGAUUUAUGAGGAUAAAAAGGAUGAUUUUCUGGGAUAAAAAGGGUCUGUUGGAUGUUCCAUCAUUUUGUCAAAAUAGAUCCGAAUACUUGCUUCUACCAAUCUAAUUGACUAUGCUGAUAUUGGGUCCUUAUCUUCCAUGUGUAUCUCUAGAUAACUUCGUCAGUAUGAAUUGUCAAAUUUGGAGUGUGACAAUCUUCCUAGCCUUUUUGUCAUUUGAUUGGCUUUGGACUAUCCACAUUUCUCUUAGUUUGCAAAGUUCUUCAAUUCAUGAUUGUUUAUAUGGGAUCAGCUGGCAGGUCUAGCUAAGAAGUUUGUCACAUCUAAGUGAAGACUAUAGUGUUUUAAAAUGAUUACAUGUUGAGAUGGAUUACAAUUUUGCAGGCACAGUCGGUCCGUAGUUAUGGGACAAAUUUUCCUUUUGUCCUUUUAUUAUAAUUCUCCUCCAUUGAUGCCGUAAGCUUCAUUAAAUGAUUGAAUCAAAUUCACGAGACUUGAUAGAAAUUUGACUUCUUGUAACAAUCACUUUGAACUAGACUUUAUGGCUACCUAGCUAGCAUUUAAUUAGGCUAUAUAGGUGAAGAAUGUACUCUUCCUAAAUAUGCAAGAUGGAUAUUGAACCGAAAAGGUUUCUGUGACACCAUGAUUAAAAGUUGGGAAAGUGUCUCCUACCAAUUAUGAUGCCCUAGGACUAGCUUUAGAUGACUAUGACACAAGGAAGCACCGACUAGAAUGUCAUAAAGUGUAGUUUCAAGUGACUAAUGACAUGUCAAAUGUUGUGUGGAAAUUAAUGACACUAUAUGAUUAAAUCAUUUAAUGCAAGGAUUUAAGUGCCGUGGUACGGGGUUGUGUCAGAAACUUGCUGGCACGGUACGGCACGGUGCGUGCUGGGCCGUGCCGAUGUGUGUCUGUCACAAAAGAUAUAUGUGUGCCAACACGUAAUGUCAUGAAAUAUUUAUUUUCUUUAGCAACAAAAUAUGCCAAUUAUUUAUUACGUAUUUUUAUUAAGUAUUUUGAACUUUAUUGAGAAAAUAACUUACUAAUUUCAAGAAUAGAGGGUUUUGAGUUGCUCCAUCGGCACGGGGGCUGUAUCGUGCUGAUAUCUUGCUGGCACGAUACAACACUGUAGAUACGGCCCGUGCCGAUGGACACUUUAAUCCUUGAUUUAAUGAACUUUGACUUAUCACUUGAGAUCAAGGAUUUAAGUGCCGUGGCACGGGGUCGUGUCGGAAACUUGCCGGCACGAUACAGCACGGUGCGUGCCAAGCAUAGUUAGUUAAUUCGGAUUCGGCAAAAAUUCGGUACGGGUAUAAUUCGGAUAAAAUUCGUCUUCUAAUUUUUAAAUUCGUUGAAAAAAACGGCUAAAAAACGGAUUCGCCAAUUAUUCGGAUACGUGAUUUAUACGGAUAUUAUACGUUCACCAAUUAAAAAUUCGGAAUCAAAAAUUCGGCUAUUAAAUUAAGUUUUUUUUUUCUCAAGAUUCAUGGUAUUAGCAUAAAUAUUCAUAUUUUUUAAGAAUAUAAGAAUAAAGAGCUAUAAAAUUAAACUAAGUAAGUAAAAAAAAAGUAAACUAUAUUAUGCCUCAAAAUAAAGAAAUUAUUAAGUAAAUAGAGAUCAAGAUAGUCCAUAUUUAAAUUGUUGCAUUUCUAAUACUAAAAAGUUAUGUUUCAAAAAUUAAGUAGAAACCGCACUGAGUCAAUGGUCCAUGAAAGACGACAACAAAAUUUUCCUUUUGCAAGUGUCGACAGUACAAGAUCAUGAAAUUGAUUAGGUAUAAUAGAAGAGUUCCUGGUCCCUAAGUUAAUUAAGAUUAUUUAGCUCUAUGUUUGGAUUCUUUGUGCAUAACAGAGAAUGGACACAUUCAAUUAAGCACUCGAGAUUAAGUUAUUGCCCAAAAUAAAAAUUUAAAAUCAAUAUGCGAAUCUGUACAAAUAAACUAGAAAAUGAUGAUUUAAUCCUCGACUAUAUCAAUAUGCGAAUCCGAAUUAACUAACUAACUAUGAAUUAACUAACUAUGAUUUAAUCCUCUUCGAUCUUCGAUUUCUGAAGAGGAGGCCUUCCGAUGGCGUUCGGCGAGCGGCCAGAAGGGAAGAGGGGGAGGGGAAGGGACCGCGACCGCCGCAGGGUCGGUGGCAGGGCCGCGCGCCGCACCGCCGCAGGGGUGAGAAGUUAGGGCAAACCCUUUUUUUGGGAGGGGUGUGGGACUCGUGAUGGGAGGAGGGCGAUCAUUUCACUUCAGAUUUCAGAAAGUGUUUUUUUUUUUUUUUUGGCCUUUUGGGCGACAGUGUGAGGGCCGUGACUCGUGAGGCAGAGCGGGUUUUGGGCGAGGCAAAACGGGACUGGGCCGAUUUUUUGGGCCGAAUUAUUCGCGAAUUCCGUUUAAUUCGCGAAUAAUUCUUUUUACCCAAAAAAACGCGAAUUUUUCCGAAUUUUUGGGAAAAAUACGAAAACAGGAGUUUUAUUCGGCAUUUCAAAAAUUCGCGAAUAAUUCGCGAAUAAUUCGCGAAUUAACUAACUAUGGUCAAAAAAAUUCUUGUGUGCCGACACAUAAUAGCAUGAAAUAUUUAUUUUCUUUAGCAACAAAAUAUUUUAACUAUUUAUUGUGUCUUUUUAUCACAUCUUUUGAACUUUAUUGAGGAAAUUACUUACUAAUUUAAAGAAUAGAGGGUUUUAAGCUGUGCCAUCGGCACGGGAUCUGUAUCGUGCCGGUAUCUUGUUGGCAUGGUACAGCAUGGUGGAUACGGCUUGUGCCGAUGGACACUUAAAACCUUGCUUGAGAUGAACUGAGAUCAAGGGGAAAUUUGAUCAGUGAGGACUUCCUCCGAUAUUUAUUCAUUGUGGCUGAAUUUAAUAAUGCAAUCCAAAGUAGUUUGUGAUGGCAUGGUGUCCAUGAGGGUAGGUUUGAAUUAGAAAUGAUAUGCCUGCCAGUUAUAUAUCAUUGUGAUAUGUCAAUAUUACAAAAAUGUCGUAUAUUGUCAGCCUGAUAUUACAAUUUCAUCCAUUUUGAUUAAUUUUUUGCAGGUGCUUAUCAUGGACAAACUCACUGUUAAAAUAAUGUCUUAUUCCUGCAAGAUGGCAGAUAUUACCGAGGAAGGGGUUUCAUGUGAGUAAAGAAUAGACGUUUCAGUAUUUCUCUUGUAUUUUUUUAGAUGAAAUGACAAGAAAGUAGUUCUUUGUUUGAGGUUCCCAUCUAAUUAUACAUUGAUUUGUUUUCUAGCUUUACAAACCUUUCUUUCCCUUGUAUUAAAUACUAAAUAAAACGUCAUUGAAGAGCUUCAUUUGCCCGCUAGCAAUUAGGAUAGGUGAUACCUGUUUUUUCACUAAGUUGCCUCCACAAUACCUUUUUAUCUUCACUACUUGCUUGCCUUAAGAGGAUCCCUAAUCAAGAACCUUGAACUAACUUCUGUGUAUCUGAAUGUAACACCUAAAUCAUUUUUUUUUAAUCUUGAUUGUUCCAUUUGCUGUUUUGUCCCUGUGAGUUUUAUUUGAAAUUGAGAUUAUACCCUUUCCUUUCUAUUUUAUUUUUGAACUCAAUCUAGUUAUGGUAUUCAUCACAAACAUACUUUGUCUUGCAGUGGUUGAAGAUUUAUACAAACGCAGGCAGCCAUUGCCAACGAUGGAUGCUAUAUACUUUAUUCAGCCAACUAAAGAAAAGUAAUUUUCUUUCUUCCUUUCACCUAUGUUUGCUUUCGUCAUUAGUUUCUUUGGAACUAGUAAGUUUGGUCAGUUUCUCAAUCACUCUCUCUCUCUCUAAGUUUCUUGUGUUUUGUUAGUUAAGCUACCUAGAGUGUUCAAACUCUUUACCUCUAUAUUUCAUGACUCUCACAUUACAGUUGGUUGAUGAAUAAUGUGGAUUCAUUAUCUUGUUUAAUUCUUGAAGGUGGAUUUGACCUUCAACUGCAACAAUGUUUUUAAUGUUGCUAUCUAUUUUGGAAAUUUUAUAUUCUGUGCUAGAAAUUAUUGGAUUUCUGGUUGAUCGUGCUUCAAUUUGUUGACUUCUAUAAUUCUAUUUUGACCUAUACCUUUUAUCUUUUUCUCUUUCUCACAUAGACUUGUUAUUUUUAGGGAAAACUUCAAAAACCCCCCCUGUGGUUUCACACUUUUUCAUUUUAGUACCCUGUGGUUUGAAGUGUAUCAAGUUAGUACCCUGUGGUUUCUCACUUUAUCACUUUAGUACCCUGUGGUUUAAAAUGUAUCAAGCUAGUACCCAGUGGUUUCACACUUUAUCACUUUAGUACCUUGUGGUUUCACACUUUAUCACUUUAGUACCUUGUGAUUUAAAAAACUAUAGGGUACUAACUUGAUACAAAAUUAAAACCACAGGGUACUAAAGUGAUAAAGUGCAAAACCACAGGGUACUAACUUGAUACACUUUAAACCACAGGGUACUUAAGUGAUAAAGUGAGAAACCACGGGGUACUAACUUGAUACAUUUUAAACCACAGGGUAUUAAAGUGAAAAAAAUUGAAACCACAAGGGGGGUUUUUGAAGUUUUCCCUUAUUUUUAACUGAUGAUUAAACACUAUGCUCCCCAUGUAUUCAUCGUUUUCCUAUUCUCUAUUCUGCAUCAUUCUCUUGAUAUCUGCUUUGUUUAAACAAUCAUCUUAAUGCUUUAUAGCAGCCAUCGCUGGAAGGGUUUCCUGCACUUUUAUUUAUGGUUUUCUAAUUUCUAGCCUUUGUUUUAGAAUCAUUUAAGUUGAUAUUCAACCUAGAUUCUGUAACUCAAUCGAUCUUUGUAGCACUUGUAUAUGCAGAAGUUACACUAUCUGACCCAAAAAACCUGAAGGGUGUGUUUGGUUCGAAGUCGGAAUCGAAAUUGGAAACGGAAUGGGAAUAAGCUGGAAUCGGAAUCGGAAUGACUCAUUACCUCAUUCUGUUUGGUUUGCCCCCUGAAUCAGAAUCGAAAUGAAUCAUUCCCAUUGUCGGUGUCUGGUUCAGGUAGUUAUUAGAAACGGAAUCAAAUUAAUAUACCAAUUUUACCCUUUUAAUAUAUUUUAAUUACUUUUAACUAGUUUGAAUACUCUAUUUAAAAUAUAAAUGAGCAACUUACAAAUUUUCUUUUUUAUCAAAAUCUAGAUUUUUUUUCCCUCUUGACACAGCAGCAUCAUAUGUGAUUUAAUAUCAAAUAAAAAAGUUUACUUUUUGGUAACAAGGACAAAAAAAAAAAAAGAAGCAUGACACUAGUGUUCAUAUGACCUUUUCUUUUUCUUGCUUUUUUUUUUUUUUUUUGAGAAAGUCCAAAGUCCAUGUGACUUUUGAGAAUAAAAGAAAAAAAAAAUAAGAGAGAGAUUCGAGAGAAAAGUUGGCGGGGGAGGAGCGGGAGGGAAUUACUUAUGGGAUGAAGUUUGGGGAGCGGCACGGGAGAGGCGAGGGUUUUUUUUUUUUUGUCUUUUUUUUUUUUUUAAAUCUAAUGGAUGAAGGUUAUUUUAGUAAUAAGAUAAUUAAGUUGGGAUUCAAUUUUCAAUCCGGGGUGCGAGGCCGGAUUCGUUUCUACCCGGAUUAGCCGAUUCCCAUUCCGGAAUGGAAAUGGAAUCGGAAUGAGAUUACGGCAUACCAAACAUCUAGAAUCGGAAUGGAUCAUUCCGAUUCUGAUUCCGGGGUUAAUAUUUAGCGAACCAAACAAUGCCCUAAAUAUAAGCGCUGCUUUUAAGCAUCUUCGUUGGCUGUUGGAUGGGCUGUGCAACAUUUUGUGAAAGAUUUCUACCUAAUGUGCAUCUUUAGUGAACACUUUGAAUAACAGUAAUAAAUUGUCAGUUGUAGGAUGUAUUUGUAGUGAAAUGCUAAACUAACGGAAACAUCAAUUACCCCCAAGAGUGCCAUCAUAAUGUAAUUAUAACUGAUACUUGGCAUAAUUAGAGUAGUGCAGCAACCUUAGAAAGGAAACAUGCAUUAUUGCGGGUCUGGUUUUCACAUUUUCCCUGAUGACUAGCAAUGCUUAUAACAUGGUCAACCAAGUCGUGCUGAGACCUUCAUGGAGACGCAUAUUUAUGCUUAUGAGAGGGCUAUUUGGAGUUUAGGGCACUACAUUUCAUACGCUGAAGUUCUUCUUAAGCAGUUAUCUGCGAAAAGAACAAUCAUAUGGAAGUGUAGUGCGAAGUGAUGUUUGUGCCGAUAACCUGCACAGAGAUACAUAUUUAUGCUUACGAGAGGGAUAUUUGGAGUUUAAGACACUAUAUUUCAUACAUUGAAGUGCUUCUUAAGCAGUAAACUGCAAAAAGAACAAUCAGUGUAGUGUGAAUUGAUGUUCAAAAACGUGUGUAGUACUGUAGUGGGUAUGUAGUGGCUAAUGUUUCAUGGUGGAUGGUAGGAUGCCAUAGCAUGCAAAUGAUACGUUUAUAGAACUUGGGAUCAUAGCAGUCAAAACAUAUAAAAGUUUAAGGGCAUGUUUGGUUCAUGAUUGGAAUAGGAAUGGGAAAUGGAAUUGGAUUGCAUUGGAAUGGGAAAUGGAAUGACAAAUCAUCCAAAAAUGUUUGGUUCAUUAUUGGAAUAGAAAUCGGAAUGGAUCCCUAGAAUUUUGAGAGAGGGUUUUGGUUAAGAGAGGAGAGCGAUGAAGAGAGAGGAGGGGGAGGUGCUUGUGAGAGAAAGCUUUGAGUGGUUUACUUUGGAUUGAGCCAAUUCGGAAUUCCAAGUCGGAUUGGGCCAUGUCCAUUCUAGAGUGGAAUGGGAAUCGGAAUCGGAUUCUCGUAAAACAAACAACAAUUAUCGGAAUCAAUGAAUCACAUUCCAAUUUCAUAGUCUUAAAAUAGGCGAACCACACAAGCCCUAAGAGUAUCAAGAAACAGAUAAUAGAAAGAACUGAUAACUACAAAGAUCAAAAAAGUAAAAAGUAAAAUCCUUAAAAUUGUUUCCUCUUCUCUCUUCCCUCUUCCCUUUCUACAUUUUUAUAUUCUUAAUUUUGUUAGUACUUGCAAAAUUCAAUUCUAUGAUUGGAGCAAUUAGUGUCCAAAAGCUCCGAACCCAAAACCUUGAUUUAAAGUGGUUCAAAGUAGCCAUGAUAUCACCCUUUAUGAACGUAAGCACCAUGAUACAUCAUCGAUAUUCUUAAUCUAGCAGCAAGAUUGGAUUUCCACCACGGUGGAUGCCAGUGUGUGCAUUACAGAUGUUUCUUAAAAGAAUACCUACCACUUUCGAGGAUGCGAAAUAACAUUGUAAUUGGAAAAUAAUAAUAUUGUAAUUUAAAAUACGGAUUUUAUGGGAGUAAGGGUUGAAAAAGCUGGUUAACUAGCUGAUCAUCCUAUAACUUAUGAUGAAUCCGAGAGUCAUUUGCUGGUUUGAGAGGAUUCUCGGGCAUACUGAGAUUGAGGACAUUGAAACUCUUAAGGAGGAAACAAUGCUAAAGUUUAACAAGCAAUAAAUUCCUAGAUGAGGGAACUAAAUAUCAAACAAUAAAAAUCAAACGUGCACUCCCUAAGCAGAAGCGUAUGUUUUUUCGGCUUUCAAGCUUAAUGGGCUAACAAGAUAACAAUUGUUUCUUAUGUUUGAAAUAUGUUAUUACUAUUAUUUGCAUGCAAUGUUGAAACAUAGUUAACUUAAUUUUUUUUGUGUGCUUUUUUUUGCUGAUCAAAUUAUUUCGUCUUUUUCUUCUACAUCACAUCCUACACCAAAUAAAAAAUAAAAGAGAGAAGCAUAUAAAGAAUCUAGUAACUUCUUUGAACUCAAGCUUUCAGUACCAUUGCAGGACCUGAACAACCAGCUUUAUGAUUACAAAUAUUUAGAGAAUUUUCAGAAGCUAUUGGAAUUGUCUAACCUUGACCUGUCUUGACGUUCUCAGAUGCCAGAAAUUGAACAUGGAUAGAUGUAGAUCUACUUUGCUUGUUAUAUGGUUUUCAAGAUGUCAUUCUAAAUCUGAAAUUAAUUUCAUUAUAUAGGCUUAAUUCCAUGGCAUGCAUUAAUUUCACGACAUUGAUGAUAGUCUCCAUGAAUUUUUUGUUUGUUAUUCCUGUUAUCUAUUCUGUGGUUAGUACAUUCUUUAGGAUAUUCUUCUUCUUCACUCAAGGAGUAUUCAUGAUCUUAUUGCUAGUUUAUCUGUAUAAUUUCCUUCUUGAUGAUAUCUUUCUUGGCUUAGUAUAAUCUCAGAAGGUUAGACGUCUACCUAUUUGUUAUUUUUCAAUGUUAUUACAGCAUAGCUACAAACUGCGAUAUCUGCACAGCUCCAAAAUGCUAUAUAUCUUGAUGGUCAUGAUCAUGCUCCAUAUAAUCUUCUAAACUGAUAUUUUUGGUUUCUUUUUAGCAAUUUUGCAAUGCCUGUCCAAUGCUGACAACCAUAUUUCAUUGGUACACUGCAGUGUUGUCUUGUUCUUGUCCGACAUGUCAGGAAGAAGUCCACUAUACAAAAAGUAUGUUGUAUGCAGCUUAUUUCUGAUAGGCUUCUAUAUAGAUAUGUUGUGAUAAAUAUUUGGACCCUAAUCUACUUGUUGCAGGGCAUAUGUGUUUUUCAGUUCACCUGUACAAAGAGAAUUAGUGGCUCAAAUCAAGAGGGAUGCGAGUGUCUUACCACGCAUUGGUGCACUGAGUGAGGUUAAGAUGACUUCUGUUAAUUUUUUUUCAUCUAUUUUGCAUUACCUUACUGUACUCAGAUUAUCUUGUUUUCUGUCCAGCUUUUACUUGGAAAGAACAGUUGGACCAAGAUAGCUAUAUAUGUUUUGUUGAAGCUUAGUCUGCCUUGGACUUAUUUUCCUGAUUCUUGGAGUUUUUCUCCUGAUUGUUUUACAUUUGCAGAUGAACUUGGAGUACUUUGCGAUUGAUAGUCAGGUAUAUAUAUGUACAUAUGUGUAUAUGAUUCUCAUUCUUUCUACUAGUUUUCUGUUCUCAAAAACGAUAAGUUCUUUUAAAUCCAUUCUUAAAAAUUUGUGUUGCAAUUGGAACUUACGUUGUCUCUCUUUAAUUCAUUGAUUCCACCAACAUUUGAUCGACAUUUGUAGGGUUUUAUAACUGACCACGAGAGAGCUUUGGAGGAAUUGUUUGGUGAAAAUGCAGAAGGCUCUCACAAAUACAACGAAUGUUUGAAUACAAUGGCUACUCGCAUUGCUACAGCUUUUGCUUCUUUGCGAGUAUGACUGUUCUGUCCUUUAUUGGCUCCUAUUUACUUCCUUUUCUUACAUUAUAACAAAGAUCUCCUAUAACAUCUAUAAUCUUCUCAAUGUUGGAAAAAUUACUCAGUGGGGCAAGUUUUUUUUUUUUCCUUUUUUCUUGAAGUUGUGUCGUAUCAUACUAUCAUCAUCAUGAAAUACUUUUCCCAACCUGUAUUAGUGGAUGUAGAGCAAUUACGAUGAGUUGUUAAAGUUAUCUGUAGGUAUAGCGAUGUAGCAAAACAACUGGCUAUCAACUAAAAUUUCAUGCUUUUUGAAGCUUGUAUGUCUAGUCAUGGGAAGAGUAAACUAUUUGUUUUUCAGGAUCACAUAAUCUAGGACCAUGUAAAUAAUUCCUGUCGACAAGGAAAAUUCUGUCAAAAAAUAAAGGUAAAAAUGUAUAGAACUUACCUAAACUAUGGACCAUUUUGAUUUGGCUUCCCAUCCUUUCAAAAUUUUGAUUUACUACCUAAGCUUUCAAUUUGUUUGAUUUGAGUCAGUUAUCGGCACUUUGACUUCAAAAUUUAAGCUAAUUACUUUAAGGAAUUUAUAGUUGCAAAAAUUGCAUGAAGUAUAUUAACUAAACUUUGUAAAGAUAAAAUGACGCAUUCAAAAUUUGAUGUCAAAGUGCCGUUGACUAUCUCAAAUCAAACAAAUUGAAAGGUUAGAUUGUAAAAUCUAAAUUUUGAAAGGCGGGAUAGCCAAAUUAAAAUGGUCCAUAGUUCAGGUAAAUUCUAUAUGUUUUUACCAAGAAUAAAUAUGACAAACUUGUAUAUUAAUGCAUUUUCCUUCUAAACUAACUAAUGUGAUGCAUCAGAAUUAUAGUGAGAACUGGUAACUCCUCUAAAUAUAUCUGUUGUUCGUUCUAUCCAUAAUUUCUUAUAAAUGAAACAUUUUUGUUGUUCUAGGAAUUUCCUUAUGUGCGCUACCGUGCUGCCAAGUCAUUAGAUGCUUCCACCAUGACAACCCUCCGCGAUUUAAUCCCCACAAAGCUUGCUGCUGGUGUUUGGAACUGCCUUGGCAGGUUCAAAUCUACGAUUCCUGAUUUUCCUCAAUCCGAGACCUGUGAGUUACUCAUUGUGGACCGGUCGAUAGAUCAGGUACAGUUAAUAUUCCUAUGAAUGCAUGAGCUGUUUGUGUUCUGUUUCUUCUUUUUUUCUUUUCCUUUCUUUUUGGCUUGGUGUCCUUGUGUUGUGGUUACAUACCUUUCAACAUGGCCAUUGCCGAAUAUUGUAGAUUGCCCCUAUCAUUCAUGAAUGGACUUAUGACGCCAUGUGCCAUGACUUACUAAAUAUGGAUGGUAACAAAUACAUACAUGAGGUGAGCUAUUUGUGAUCCUGUUGCUCGAAGGUUAUGUUGUUUCGUUCCACGAGGCUGUUGUAGGUUUCUCAUGAAAGGUAGUUUAUGAAGGUUCCAAGCAAAAAUGGAUCAAAAAUGGAAAAAAAGGAGGUUCUUUUGGAGGAUCAUGAUCCUAUUUGGCUUGAGCUUCGACAUGCACAUAUAGCAGAUGUGAGUAUGCGUUUUCAGUUAUUACUUAUUUCGCAUAGGAAUAAUGAUCUUUAGUACGACCAGUUGACAACAAGUUGACAUUUCAGGCUAGUGAAAGGUUACAUGACAAAAUGACCAACUUCAUAACAAAAAAUAAAGCAGCUCAGUUACACCAUAUCAGGUACAUUGCUUUGUUAGUAUUUUCCGUACCAUAGGAUGAAAUAAUAACUAUACUUUUUAAAUACUCUUUAAGUUUGUUUUUGCUUAAAAUGCUGCAUUUUAUUAAUUUUAUAUAUGUAUGAUAUUAUGAAAUUGCUUUUAUGUUUUUUUUUUACAAUCUAUGAGGCAAGGCUUAAAGUACCAUGGCACGGGGGCAUGCCGCUGUUUGCCUAGCACGGUACAGCACCGGCAUACUUGCGUGCCAACAUAUGGUACGGUUUCGUGCCGAUAGAUACGCAUGACCUCCUACUGUCAUGCUUUGGCACGGACUUAUUUUAUUUUUUUGGUUCCAAUAAGCUCUUAUAAUAUUAUUUUGAAAGAUUUAAUCAUAUAAUUAUGAAUAAUUGUCAUGUAUAGCUUAUUAUACUCAUCAAUUAGCAUACUUGUAAACUUUUUCGUAUGUAAAGUACAACUAUACUUGAUAUAGAAUAGAAAUUUUAUAGGCUAGAAUUUAUAAAAUGCAAAGACAUCUUUCUUUCUUGUGACCAUAUUACAGUUUUUUUCUUUUAUAAAAUACAAUACAAUAAUUUUUAAAAUUAUCUUAAAAAUUAUUUGAAAAAAUGACUUUAUAAUUAAUUUUUUCAAAAAAUUAUUAGAUCUAUCAAAAAAUUAAGCAAUAAAUUAUAUGACAAAUAAAUUAAAUAAAUUUAAGUAUCAAUUGAUUUAAUUUAGCUUUUAAUUUUAUCAUUAUUUUCAAUCUUCUAACGCAAAAAUAAAAUUUUAUGUUUGAUGUGUCUCAAAAUUUGUUUAUUGAGUUCGAUUUUGUUCCCCUAAUUCGCCAAAAGUUUUGAGAUGUCAGAAAUUUUGAUAAAAUAAUUUGUGAAGAAAAAAUAGAUGUCUGUGGUAGAAGCUGAGGGCUCGGGCCGAUAAUUUGAGGAGGCUGUAGGGGGCAAAGCUUCUCUCGGUAUGGAUUGGAUAUGUAAAUUAAAAAUUUGUCCGUAUAUUGAUAAACAAAAAAAUAAAAUUAUAAUUUUUUUAACUUAUCUAACAAGUAGAUUUUCAGUUUGCAAUGUCUUUGGGGGGGUACCCCACACCUUUGGGGUACCCAGGAUGCUUCGGGUACCCCAAAAGAACAAAAAAAAAAAAAGCAAAAAAAAAGAGAAAAACUCACGGCACGGCGGGGGGGUGCGAGACUCCCCCUGUAUUGUGCCCCCUUCUUGGGGGCCGCCUCGUGCCAUAGGCACGGGGGCACGGGGCGGCGCUUCAAACUGUGCUAUGACGAGAUGAUGAUGAAGGAUGGACCUUUCCAAUAAUUGACAUUCUUUUUCUUCAUGAUACUAUUUUAUAAUCAAAGAAUUGUUUGAAGAUUGUAUUAUGCUCUGUUGAAUAUAGAAAGAUAAAAUACUCUUUGCUAUUAGCUUAAGCUUUUGGAGAACAACGGUUGUUUUACAUUCUUUAAUAUGGUAUUAGAGCAGGAGGUCUAAGUUGAAUCUCGCUAGGCUUCUGGCGUUCUUUAAUUUCCUCCCAUUUAAUUAAGCUCGUGUUUUGAACUAUAAAAAAAUCUCGUGCUCAGACAUGAAGGGUAAUACUGAAUAUAAAAAAUUAAAAAUGCAAAACACUGUUCUCUAUUAUUUUAACCUUUUGGAGAACUGUUUCACAUUCUUUAACAUGCUCAAACAGGAAUUGAAAGACCGAUGAGUUCCUUUUGGUUAACCCAAUUCAUGGCUUAUGCUAAAUUAGUUGGUAAUAACUAAGGACCUUGCGAGUAUACGAUCCUAAAGGUGGAAAACUAUUAACUUUCUGAGGCAAGGAUCAUAACAUUGUCACAAGGUGAUAAGGAUCAUUGCAACAAAGUUGAUGAGGACUUCAGAUUGAUCAGAUUGGAAAAAUCGAGUGAAUUAUUACUAUUUUAUACUUUUGGCAUUAUAUUUCUAACCCUUCUUGAUGUUUUUAUUUAGAGAUGGUGGUGAGCUAUCAACUAGGGAUUUGCAGAAAAUGGUUCAAGCACUUCCACAGUACAGUGAUCAAAUUGACAAACUUUCCUUGCAUGUGGAGGUUAGUACUUCUGUUCUCACAAUGCCUAAGUACUUGUGAUCUUUAUAUUGCUGCAUUUCCUGUGGCGUUCCCUUUUUCUUUUUCUUUUUGCAUAUUCCCUGGAUAGCUAUCCUUGUCAAUAUUUGAUUAGAUUGUGCAUUUUUUUUGUAACAGCAUUGUAAAGAUUAUUAGCAUUAUUUUUUUGCUUGAAUAUUGUUUUUUUGCUUGCAUAUGUUUCUCAUCCAGUCGAUUCUACAUACUCCUUUGGGUUCAGAUUUAACAUUCUUUUCUUCUAGCAGUCAAAGGACCUUAAACAUUUUAUUCCUUUCCCCUACCAAGGAAUAAAAAUCUGCUAUGUGUUUUCUCCCAUUAAGUGUUUGUUUUUUUAAAAUUCUCUGAGGAGUCAAGUUUUGUGGCUUGGCAACGCUUCAUAUUAAUUAAACGCCCUCUAUCUCUCCAUUUUUUUACGACAGAUUAUCCUCUUAAUGUAGUUGUCUGUGAACUAUCAUGUUUUCCAAGUCAAGAACUGGUAUUUUAUAUCCUACAUAUGUGACUUUAGUAGUGUAUGUACCUUAUUCAGGGCCAGUGUUUAAUAGAUGCAAUUUUACAAUCAUAGUGUACAUUGAUCAAAUUUAUUAUUUUUUCCUUUGCUCUUCCAGUUCUCUCAUCUAUUCUGCGUUAAACUGAUCUUCGUGGCAAGAACAUGUUUUCAAAUGCAUAUAGAUGUUUGGACUGGUAAAAUUAAUCACCAUAUACUCUUAAGAAAAUGUCAAGGCAUUAUGAGAAGUUCUUCAUCAUGUGGACAUGUUACGUUGGAACAUCAAAUACUUAGAAUAAUCUAAGAAAAAAACAUCAUAUUUACAGAUUGCAGGAAAGCUCAAUAAUCUGAUUAAAGAGCAAAGCCUUCGAGAAAUCGGACAACUAGAGCAAGAUCUCGUCUUUGGAGAUGCUGGGACGAAGGAUGUAAUUAAUUUUCUGAGAACAAAGCCUGUAUGUGAAGUUACUUAAUUAAGCAUGUGAAAAGUUUUUUCUGCCAUUUUGAUGGUGUAAUUUGAUAUUAUAUAUGGAUUUUGUGGUGUAGGAUGUCAGCCAUGAAAAUAAAUUACGUUUGUUAAUGAUAUAUGCUGCUAUCCAUCCAGAGAAGUUUGAAGGUGACCGAGGGGCAAAGUUGAUGCAGGUAAUUAAUGUCUGCAUAUCUAUAUUUGUUUUGUAACAUGCUUAUAUAUGCUGAUUGUUAUAUGUGACCUGCUUUUAUAUUUUAUUAUGUUGUAUGAAGUAUCUGUUGGUUGAACCUUAGUGCAUGUUUGGCCUAACUUAUAUGAGGUAUCUGUUGGUUGAACCUGAGUGCCAAGGAUUAAAGUGCGCCUAUCGGCAUGGGCCGUAUUCACCGUGCCGUAUCGUGCCAGCAAAGUAUUGGCACGAUACUACCUUCGUGCCAAUGGCACAACUCAAAACCCUCUAUUCUUGAAAUUAGUAAGUAAUUUUCUCAAUAAAGUUCAAAAGAUUUGAUAAAAAUACAUAAUAAAUAAUCGGCAUAUUUUGUUGCCAAAGAAAAUAAAUAUUUCAUACCAUUAUGUGUCGACACACAUAUAUUUUUUGUUAUCGGCAUUCAUUGGCACGGCCUGGCAUGCACCGUACCAGCAAGUUUCCGGCACAACUCCGUGCCACGGUACUUAAAUUCUUGCUUAGUGCCUGUUUGGGCUAACUUACAAAAUAGGUUCUUUAAUCCAGAAAGCAUAAGCAUCUCAAAAUGGCUUUUGGUUAACAAAUUGUCCAGAGCUUUUGCCAUGGCAGGAAGUUGAAAUAAUUUUAUAGGCCUUAAAAGCAGAAGCUCCAAUUUAAAGCUUUUGCUUUUGCUGCAACAUGGAGCUGCGGAGGUGAUUUUAGCCGCAAGCUUUACGUGCUUUUAGGGCCAACUCUGCUCAAGCUGCUUCUCUGCAGAAGCUUCAGACAGGAUAAACAGGCCUCUUGUGAAUGCAUACAGUGCUGUAGGUUACUGUUUUUUAUGGUUUUGAAAUAUCAAAGUUUUUAAAGAUUUUUAAGUAUCAUUAAUGAGUAAAUGCAGCCUUGCUUUUUUGUAUAAAGAUGUUAUUGUCCAGAACAUCGUUCCGUUUAAUGAAAUGCAAGAGUAAAUGGAAGCGAAAAUGUCUCCUUAAUGGAUGCAUGGUAGCAUACUGUUCUGUAAUGACCCAGCCCACUAGCAAUAAUAACUCGUUGGGCCCAACCAACAGCCCAAAAUGCUUAAGCCCAGUUAUUAUUACUAGUGUCUAAGUCUUUUAUAAACCCGAUGACAACCCCAUUCCCAUCCGAUGUGGGAUUAUUGGGGUGUCACAGACUCCCCCCGUUAAGGCCCUGACGUCCUCGUCAGUCCAAUCAUACACACAGCUCAAGAUCACCAGGCGAUGUCAGACUCGUCUCGCUAGCCCGUCAUCCAGACCCUGGCUCAGCCGAGACUCGCCACACAUGUCCAGCUGGUGAACCGGCUCUGAUACCAAAUAUAACGACCCAGCCCACUAGCAAUAAUAACUCGUUGGGCCCAACCAACAUCCCAAAAUGCUUAAGUUCAGUUAUUAUUACUAGUGUCUAAGUCUCUUAUAAACCCAAUGACAACCCCAUUCUCAUCCGAUGUGGGAUUAUUGGGGUGUCACAUGUUCCGUAUCUGCUGUUAGUUAUCCUUCUUGUUUUUUUCUUUUAAAAAAUUAUCAGUAGACUUACCCACAAAAUCUUCUUGUAUUCUGGAACUUAGCUGGUGUGCUUUAUAUCUUUUGACUCUGUUCCUUCAAUAUUCCUGUGCAUACAUGGCAUUUUAAAAUCUUGAAGAUUCCUUUUAUAUUUAUAGGUUUCAUUCCUCGAGAAAAAAUAUUCAGUUUGAUGUAUUCUUGAAUGCAGUUCAUCUAAAUUGCAUUUGUAAUGUGAUGCAGCAAAUAAACCUCAUUUUAUCUUUGAAUGCAGUUUUCUUUUAUUUUGUAGGUUCGUAUUUGAUUCGGACUUAAAUCAUUUAGAUUUAGUUGAUUUGGUUAACCCAAACCUUUUUCUCCAAUAAACAAUAAAAUAAUCCCAAAAAGGCCUUUGGAAUUUCCCAAAAAGACCCUUGAAAUUCUCAAAAUUGCUUCAUCUUCUAUGCAUGACCCUUGGGUGACCGUGUUGUAUCAAAAAUGAAAGGGCAAUAAUUUGUUAUAGGAAGGCUCUCAACAUUGUAAAUACAUGGUUCUUGAUGCCUUAAAGGGGGAUAUAUUUUGAUGAAUAGAAAAUUCUACUCUUACUCUUUAUCCUUGGUGUUCUACUUCCUGGUGAAAUCAUCGACGCUUCUUUCUCGCGCCGAGAUCUUCUUCCUCAACUUGAUUGUUGUCGUUUCUUCCUCGUGACAACAUCGGUUUCUACUUCUACCCAUCUUCUGAGUCACUAUCUCAUCUUUUUCUUCCCUGUUGCCGCAGUUCUAUUCGUGGUGUACCGCCCUCCUUGUCGAUCGUGGAUCCCCCACAAUCGUGUGAACGGUGCACUUUUUGUAUCUCUCAUCUCCUGAUAUCCUAUUAUUUCCUUUCAAUCUUGCCUUUCACCAUUACCAACUAUAUUUGCCAAACAACCAAAUCUAAAGCUUUAAGUCCGAUAAAGCCGAAUUUAUCUUUUGGAACUAUUAUAUGUAUUUUCAGUUGGUUGUUAUUAUAUCAUAUAUUGAAGGUUUAUCAUCAUCUUAGUAUUGCUUCAAGUCGAUUUUAAUAUUUGUCUUGCUGAAAUUUUUGCUUCCUUGCUUUAAUUAUAGUAAAGUUCGUCGAAAUCGAUAAAUUAAACCUAGUUUAUUUCAAGAAAUACCUUUAAACAAAAGCAAACUUGAAAUUUCAAUUUUGGCAACCUCUCGGUUUGCAUCACAAUGUCGAAAAGGAAAUGAAUUUGAAUCAUUCAUUUCUCAUCUGAAAUGUUUUCACUUUGUUUGCUAGCAUAGAAUUCGCUAAUAACUUCAGGAGGAUAAAUAUAACAAUGGUUCCCUUUUCACACAGUUGGCAAGAUUACCACCUGACGAUAUGAAUGCUGUAAAUAACAUGCGUUGCUUAGGAGGACCCGAUACUAAAAAGGCUUCUGGAGGGGGUUUCUCUCUUAAAUUUGAUGUUCAUAAGGUCAGUGAUUGAUGUGUCUGUUGAUGUUCAUAAAAUUGUUAUCCAAGGGCAUAUCAGCUUUUUCAUUUACACAACUUUGGAUAACAUUCUUCUUUUAUUGGUUGAUAUGCCCUUGAAUCAGUUUAUCAUUAACUUGUGCUGUAAUUUCAUCUUGUGGUAUUUUGGUCCAUGCAAGGAUACCGUUGUCCAAAUUAGAGAAUGAAAAAGUGGAUAUAAGUUGCAAAAUAAGGAUUAAAAUGGCUUUUCUUAAUGCUGAUAUCCUUGUUGAAUAUUGCUUUUGCUCAUCUGCUAUUGUAAAUAUUUUGGGCACAAACAGAAGAAGCAUGGAGUCAGAAAAGAACGGAGUGAUCAGGAAGAGACAUGGCAACUGUCAAAAUUUUAUCCCAUGAUAGAGGUAUCUGUUAAAGUCAAAUAUAUUUAUCUGAGUCAUCUGAGAGAAUUUGUGCUUCUGUUUUGAAUUUUGAUAGGCUUGCCUCCAUAUUAUUAUGUUUUAUUUAUCUACCUCUUUUCUUGUCUUCUUGUCCUUUAAUUCUUCUGCUCCUUUCAACUUUUAAUUUUGUUCGUGACUGCACCAUAUAUAAUAGUAUUAAGUUGUUGUAUCCCCUUGUUUGUUUGAAAAAUUACCAUUCAUUUGAUAUAGCAUAUUGAUUUAGUGGGAAAUUGUUGCCCUCUUGGUUCUGUUGUUAUCCUAAGAUAACUGCCUUUUUGUCCAGUUAAGGAUAGAGGAAUUACCCAAAUGCUUACAACGGUAAUGAUACAAGUAAAGGAUGACUUCAACGAUUGGGAAUAACUAGUGAUGAAGUGUGGGAUAGCCAGUGAUUGGCUAGAAUAGUAGAAUAGUAUAAAUUGUCUUAGAAUAACUUGGGUUUGAUGGGAUCAAAUAUCAAUUUUCGAAGAGUUGAAUUAUUAGAAACUACACAGUAUUUUCCUUGACCGUGAUGAAACAACCAUUUUCCUAUUCUGCCUGUAUCAUGCUCCUUUUAUCAUAAUUUUGGUUUGUUGUUAUAGAGUUUCCUAUUUUAGUUUGCUAUUUAGGGUUUGAGGUGGAUUAUUGCGAUUCAACAUGUUAUUUUGAAUCGUUAAGCAUGCAGACAUAGACUUACUAUCAAGCACUGACUUAUGUAUGAGCAUGCUAACAAGUUGGCCAUGCACUUUUUCAGUUGAGUUUAAAUCACUUAGAAUUUGAGACCAAUAGAAUGAGAAAAAAGAAGAAGAAAGAAACUGUAGCCACUGGAGGCCUUGAAGUUUCAGAUAUCUGAUGCCUUGAUACAUGAAGUGACAAAAGGCUUAAAACUUAAAAGAAGAUUCUUUCUAGUAUACCUCUAAUUGUUAAUAGUUCAAUAAUUUUUACCUUCCAUCAGUUUUACAAGUUGGAUGGUUGGUGGCAUAGAUACUUCUAGUAUUGCAUGCAACAAGUAUAUGGGUUCUUCUUUUAGAUUGACUCUAUACUGCCUGAAUCAUUUGUAUUUCUGUCUCUUCAGGAGUUGAUUGAAAAGCUUAGCAAAGGUGAACUACCUAAGGAGGAUUAUCCUUGUAUGAACGACCCCAGCCCUAGCUUCCAUGGAACUACACAACAGAGUGUAUCAGUUCGGACAAGUCCAGCUCAUCAGCCUGCGCAUUCCAUGAGAUCCAGGCGGGGUGCCACAUGGGCCAGACCUCGCAAUUCUGAUGAUGGGUAUUCAAGGUCUGAUAAAUAUUUGUUUGCAUUUGUGGAUAACGUAUUUUCCUUUUCAGCUGUGCUGCCAAAAUCUUUUUUUUGAAUAUUCCUCUAUUUUCUCUGUGGAGACAAAAAACAAAUAAACAGGUUUGGCAUCACUUCAGCCCUUUAUUUUAAGAAAUCAAGCCAUUAUAAAAGAUGUGCUGUGAUACCCCUAAGAUUUGGAAUAGUCCUAUAUAGAAGAUAUAAUAGGGCUAAACCUCUUAACUCGGCUAUAGUAUUUUGGGCAGCGGCUACGCCCAAGAGGUUUAGAGGUUUAAGCAUGUAAUUCUAGGAUGGGUGACCCCCUGGAAAGUCAGGCGUCACAGUUGGUAUCAAGGCCAAUCAUCAGCAGGAAGUGUGAGUCUCAGGUGAGAUAGGGUUAUACAGUGUAGACCGCAGCUCCCUGGCUGAUGACCGUUGUAAGUGGAGCAUGGCUUCCCACAAGGUUCGCUAAGGCUAGUAAGAUGAGUCUUACAUCGCCUGGUGUUUGUGAGUGUGCUUGAACUUGACGAGAACGUCGGGGUUUAAAGGGUGAAGGAAUAUGACAUCUCUAAGAUUUGGAAUAGUUAUAUAAGAUAUAAUAGGGCUAAACCUCUUAAGCUGGCUAUAGCAUUUUGGAUGGUGACUAGGCCUAAGAAGUUAAGAGGGUUAAGCGUGCUAGUGCUAGAGUAGUUCUAGAAUGGGUGACUCCCGAAAAGUGGGGCGUCACAUGUUCUAUCUCUCGAGGGUUUGAAAUGUUGCGAUACAAAGAGAGCCUGAUGAAUCAUAAUAUAUGUUCAUUGUUUCUUACCUAAGGUUCACCUUUGGAGGAGUAAAUUUAACCAAUAGAUCAACAAUUGUGAUUCUUUUAUCUAAUAAAUUUAUUUAUAGGACAGAAUCGACAUUGUCACAUAUUUUUCUAAGAAAAAUCUUGUUAGCCCAAUCAUGGAGAAUGCAUUAAUCCUUCUUGUUGGUUGGUUAACUAUGCUUCUAGCCCUUCUUGAAAAUAGCUGAUCAAUACUAAAAGUAAAAUGUUCAGGAUAUAUCCCUUUUCUAUUUUUAUCAAUUAGCAUUUUAUUUUCCAGUGAUUCUGUGCUGAGGCAUGCAUCUAGUGAUUUCAAAAAGAUGGGUCAACGUAUCUUUAUUUUCAUCAUCGGUGGAGCUACUAGAUCUGAGGUAGUAUCCCAAUUGUUUGUAAAUUUAGUCAUGCUUUGAUCUAUCAUUGUUGAGUUCUAUAUGAAACCUGAUCUUUUAAUACCCUAUUGCAGCUCCGUGUUGUUCACAAGCUUACGACGAAGCUGAAGAGAGAAAUCAUCCUUGGGUCAUCUAGUCUUGAUGAUCCUCCCCAGUUCAUUACAGUUAGUGGCUCCUCUAUUUCUUGCAUUAUUGAUGUUUUUCCUCUCAACUUGCGGCUAUGUUUUAGAUUCAUGCUUAGUUGUUAGUUCUUAUUUAGUUUCGCUUUGGUUGCCUGUGGUGAUCAGCAUCUCAUGCACUAGUCUUUUCUCUUAAUAGUAAAACAAGGUUGGCUUGUCUACAUAGAAUUUUAGUUUGGCCUGGCAGCUGUCUUCACAUCUUUCUUAAUCAUCUAAACAAUGUUGUUCUACUAAAGUGACCUCUGAUAUUGCUGCAAGAUAGGUCAUAUAAUUUCAUUCAACUCUAUUCUCAAAAAAGCUUUAUCUUGAUUAUAUGAAGUAAUGGCAUUUGUUUCUGUCUACUCCAUACCUAUAACUACAUGUUGAACUACUUCAUUAUUCUUUUUCUCUCUCAUCAUCUUUUUUUUAAAAGAAAGCAUUUCAUUGUAUUGUAUAAGGCGCAGAAAAUAACAAACUAACCUGUUGUUUUCUGCGUUUUAAUUAAUGCAGAAACUAAAGUUGUUGUCAGCUCAAGAACUUUCACUGGAUGACCUUCAGAUCUAGCAACUUCACAAAUAUAGGUGCCUUCUACAGGCUGUAGACUCUCACUACUCGGUGCAUUCCUAAUGUACAUAUACAUCUUCGUGCUGAAUUUUUUCAAUGUUUAGAUACUCUUAAUGUGGUUCUUCAUUAAGGGACGACCCAGAUUCAUUCCAUAUUUUGGACUCGAGCUGCAUCAGAUUUACCUUUGCAAAGGUCUUUUUUUCGAGUGAAUAUGACAAGCUGCUGCAUAACUUAAGGUGUAUAUAAUACCACCACAUUGACUGCAGCUUGCAACUGUAUUAUGUCUGACACAAAUUUGAAAAUAUUUGAGAGGUGGAUACCGGAACUUUUUCUUUUAUUGGAAACGAAAAUUUCCGGUGUGAAAAGAUUGUUGCUGUGGCCUGUGUUCUUGCCAUUACCUGGUUAAUGUUUGUUGUAGAUCUAAUUUGUUAAUGAAUAACUGAACCAUUUUAGGUCGGCUUGUGAGUUUUAUUUAUUUUGAUGAGUAGUCAUUUAUUAUUUGUUCGACUCAGAUCUUUGGGGUUUCGAGAAGCAGACGUUGCCUUUUCAUGGAAAAAAGAAAGCGUUAAUAAAUUCUCUCAGCUUUCCCUAGAGAGUGGGGCUAAGCUUUUGUCUGACUCUUGUAGAAUUGUUGUCUGAGUAGAAGACUUGUUUGAAUAAAUUCUACCAGUUUUCUUUAUUAACAUUACCAUAAACAGUUACUGCGGCAGAAAUGGACGAUUCAAAUGAGUGCUUCUGCUUUGUCAAGGCUAGCUCUUUUCUGCUUCCUGUUACUGAAAAGAUCUUGGCUUUUUGGUAAAUGCCGUUUGAUGUCCAAACGGACAGUAUCUGAGUAUGUUUACAGUAUAUGGUACACACUACUAUAGCCUCUAACAUGCCAGUUGUGUUUGCUUUGCCUUCUAGGUCAAUUUUCUCUUCAGUUUGAAAGAUCUUUUGAACAUAAUGCAAGUAAUCCGACCGUUUUAUUUACCUGUCAUGGACAAAAAUGUACAUCAGUUGAAAAGUGUAGGAAAGGGUUGAACUUUUCCGAAUUGUCUUUUGGAGAUUUGCUCAGGAAGCUAUAUAUAUAACUCCAGCAUGAAGAAGACUCCAAAUUUUCAACUGAUUAUAUGUUGUUAAGCGCAGUGAAAGUGAUGAAAGACAAUUAUUAAUAUCGUUAAGAACUAGUAUUAAUUAAAUCUACUAUAAUUCUUUUUGUUUUUAUUUUUUUGCCAUGUAACAUGAUUAUAGAGAAUAAAAUUCAUGAAGGUAUUAAAAUUCACACAUAAAAUUAAUUUUUAAAUUUUAAUUUAUGUUGUAUAGAGUGUGUGUUGCUUGCGCAAGAGCGAAUACAAGCUUUGGGUCUGUUAAAUUUUCUUUCAAAUGUACUCCAUUAUUCAUAAAAUAUAUAUUUAUUUUCAAAUAGCGUUAUAGAUUUUUCAACACAAUUUAAAAUUUUAAAUUAAUUUAAAUUGAUAAAACAAUUUUAAUAAAUCAACUAUAAUUGUUACUGCCUUUUUGCUAAAUAAUUAUAUGAAAUUAAUUAAUUUAUCAAGAAUCACAAAUAAAAGUUUUAAAAUUUUAAAAUAUUUUAAUACAUAACGUGCAUUGUAUGCGCACUUCUACUAGUCAACUAGUAGCUAUAUCUUCUCGAUAUGAUUUUUCAAUACCAAUAGUUAUUGUGGCUAGUUCUCCUUUUUUUUAUUUGAACUUUUCUGAUUUUCUUUUUACUUUUUUCUUUUUAUGAGUGAGCCUCUCACUUUUUCCUCCUCUCACCGUACAUCCCUUCAUCUCCCUACAUUCCACUAUAUAUUUCCUUCAUUUCUCUCUUAUUCCGCCAUACGUAUCUUCAUCCCCAACUCGCUCUCUCAAGAAAACCCCCGUCCCCCAUCUCCCUCUCUCUCUCCCCGCAACCCAUGUCCGCUCUCUCCUCCCUUUUUUUUUUAUAGGUUUUAAAUUAUUAUUCCGCAGUCGACCAUGCCUCAUGUGAUCAAGAAGGAUGCAAACUUAAUUGGCCCACAAAAUAAGAUCACGUAAUGUGUAAUAUUUUAUAAAAUUUUAAAGAAUGAAUCACUACAUAAAUCCUUCCAUACACAAGUUACACGGUUGUGUGAUCUUAAUUAGGAUCAAAAACUGUAAAACCUUUUAUUACGAAAACUCAAAAUUUAUCAUAAUUUGAUCCAAUCAUAUAAUAUUUAAUUUAUCAACCUUGCUCUGAUACCAAAUUGAUAGAAUCUUAAGGUAUGUAAAACCAAAACCAAAGAAAAUAAAUACAUACCAAAAUUCAGGAUUAAAACAAAAUUAUAAGAUAACUCACAGAGCGCCAUAGAGAAAAAAUUUUUGAUCAAUCUUGCGGAAGCUGGAAGUCCGGCUACGACCUGAAAGUCACGAACCGAACUUGGGUGAUUUGGUUUCUCCCCCUAUCUCAGGCACUCUGCCGUAUGGUGUGGAACCGAUGGUAAUUCUUCACCAGAAUGCGUAUGAGAAGGUGGCCGAACCAAUACCCCUUUAUAUAAAGUCCAGAUCGACAUCCCAUCAAAGUCUGAUUAGGAUUCUAUUUAAACUUUGAAAUAGAUGGGAUAGGGAUAAAAUAUACCAUAUCAAGUAGUUCUAUAUCUGUUAGGAUUGACCUUUAUCUAUAGCAAAUCCUAAUUUAAAUAUGAUUAAUUGGGCCACAAUAUAUGGAAAUCCUAACAUUAUGAUUUUAUAGCAAUGCUACAAAAGCAUUUAUAUUCAGAAUAUAAGUCCUUUAUGCGGAAGGGUAAAAGCCUUGGAGAGGAAAAGAAUCUUCCACAGCUAGGAAAAAAAGGGCCUAGUUCUGUGUCGGAUAUAGAAGUGUUAGAAGUCGAAAGGUCUUUCUCUCUCUUGCUGGGAAAAAAAGAACUGUCUUUGUUGGAGAAGUUGGAAAAGCGGUGGAUGACACUGAUAAAGAAAACACUCCAUUGUCGAGAACAUUGGCAAGACAGUCUUCAUAGUUGCAGGAAGAGAAAGAGGAUGAGAAGGAGAAAACUCCGAUGAUGGAGAACAAUGGAGGUCAUGUGAAUACAGAGGACAUUUUGCCACUGAAAUGCUGAUGAAGAAAUUGCAGCAAAGCUUGGAAACUGCUAAAAGGGCUGUAUCAGCAGCAAAAGAAAUGGGCAAUAAAGUUUUUACCAUACUAGCGUAUUAUUGAAGAAAGCUUUGUGUAGGGUGAUUGCUGGCAGCAAAGGAGCAACACAAUCUUUACUAUCCUGGCGGAUUAGAGAAGGAAGGGCUGUAUCAGCAGCAAAAGAAAUGGGCAACAAAGUUUUUACCAUACUGGCGUAUUAUUGAAGGAAGCUUUGUGUAGGGUGAUUGCUGGCAGCAAAGGAGCAACACAAUCUUUACUAUCCUGGCAGAUUAGAGAAGGAAGCUUUGUAUAGGGUGAAUGCAGACAUAAACUGCAGGUUUAGCAACUGUUACAUAAUACUUUUGCUUUUCAUUGACUUGCUAUUGGUUUACAAACUUCUAGUUACCAUCUAAUCAUGCAUACUAUCUAAUCAUGCGUACCGUCAAUAUAAUGUUGGAUGCGGCCUACGUGAUUUAUUCAAGGUGAUCUAUAAAUAUAUAGUUGGUCUAUUCUAUAAAGAUACGGAAGAUCUAACGGUUAGGAUGUAUCUUGACCAUAGUUAGUUAAUUUGGAUUCGGCAAAAAUUCGAUAUUGAUAUAAUACGCAUAAAAUUCGUUUUCUAAUUUUAAAUUCGUUGAAAAAUUCGGCUUAAAAAACGGAUUCGGUAUAAAAUAUAGAAUAUAAGAUAAUCUAUAUUUAAAAAUAAAAAUUAUAAAUUUUUUAUUCAUAUUUUUAAUAAUUCAGGAAUAAUUUGCGAAUAAUUCGACUGGCCCAAAAAUUCGCGAAUAAUUAUCUUUCUUUGGGAAAAAUUCGUAAACGGACUGUUUAAUUCGAAUUUCAAAUAAUUUGCGAAUAAUUCGCGAAUAAUUUGUGAAUUAACUAACCAGGAUCUGGACACGUCCUUGAUGGACGGACGUAAUUUAACAUCGUUACAUCAAGUUAUAUAUAAAUAUGUAACAUACGGAAGUCCCGAUGUAGUAUCCUUAUUUCUUUAUCUUUUCUUUUCCUUUUUCUUUUUAUUUCUUUUGAGUUGGUAAGCUAGCUGGGGAUAAGGAUGCCACGUGCACCUUACCCCCAAGCAUGCUUAUCAUCUUGAUACCUGUGCAUUGUCUAUAUAUAGUUCUUGAGCCGUACGUAGAGGAGGAGCUCGGGUGGUGUGGAGUUUCGUCGACAUCGCGCCGCGGUGCCGUUCGAGCGUGUGUUCGUCGUCGUAGCAUCGCGAGGGGGGGUCGGGCGAGGGUCCGAUUCCGCCGUUUUUGUUGUCGUGCCGGAUUGUGAUUAGCGUUUGAGGUGGGUUACAUCGGCUUUGACUCCUAAGUUCUAAUCGUCGACAUGUAUAGUUUUCAAUUUUUGGAUAAUCUAUUCUAGCUCGAAUUCAUGGAUUAAAUGGUAGAUUGCAUAUCUGAAUUUGGAGCAUGUGGUAAUAAAUUGAAUAGGUUAUACAUGUUGGACUUGGGAAUUGAAUUAGGAGAAAACUUGCGAUUUGGACCUGUCACUUGAUUAAACUGCCUGAUUUAGCUCUAGGAGCCGUUAUUAAAUUGUACUGUCGCAGUAUCCUCGAGACGAGUACUCCAGGUGGUUUAGUAUAUAUUUACGCUCGUGCUGGUAUGCCGAGUGGAUUUUUAUAGUGUUGUUCAGGUUGUUCCGGACUGUGGGGUGCCGUCAGUAGUGACGGUGGACCCGAUCGCCUUUGGCGUAGGUUGUGCGAUGGGCGUUACCUGUUGGUUGUUACAGUGGAUUUGUGUUCGGUUACUUACUUUGGUUAUUUGAGAGCCUGAUUGAUGAUACGCAGAAGGAUCGCUGCAUACUUCGGUUGGGGUAGCAGCCCGAGUGCACUCGUAAGGGCUUUGUGCUUUCGCAGUUGGUGUCGAUCAUGUCAGUUGCACUUUGCUCUCGGACCAGUUAGUGUGACGGAUAGAGCUUGAUAGUCGUCAACGGGGCAGGGCGAGGUGUAGUCACAGUCCGGGACGGGGAUAUAUGCUUACGAGUCCGCAUUGGAUUGGGUCAGAUUGAAUUCCUACAGUUUGCGUUAGGGUAGGCAUGAUAAGGUAGUGAAUCGAUAGCGGUAGAGUUUACUUCGUACUUUUCUGAGUACUCUUGACUCCUUUUGUAGACUUAGAUGGGUUGAGCGAUGUUAGUUUGAGCGAGAGUACCAACUGAGCGACUACUUGCUUAUUAUACAGUAGUUCUCAAACGGCCCAGUUGUUACAUAAUUUCUGCAAAGAGCACAGGUUUCAGCUUGCUGUGUUGCAUUUCGGGAUACAGGAUGCGAGGCCAAUCCAACCAAAGGCGUCGCGAGAGCUAGAGACGCUACCGAAAUAACAGGCUGAGAGGCACCCUACUGCAGUAGCUUUGUUUUCUUUCGGCUUAUGUAACAUAAGUACUUAACUCGCCAUGCGAGUAACGCACCUGUAUUGGAUUCUGAACUAUGUAUAUGAUAGCUCAGUUCUUUACUUUUGUUUAGUUGAGCAGCUCUAUGUAAUGUUUGUGUAUUGCUAUAUCUACUAGGUACAUGUGUCGUUCCGUAUACGAGCUGGAAAAUUUUUUUGUAUACGGCGGAUUUUGUCGGCCGUGCACGAGGGAACGAAACAUCCGGGUGAGUGACAGAAUUAAGUUUGGUAUCAGAGCUUUGCUAUAAGUCGUCCUGGGACACUUAAGAAACAUAAGUUUGGCAACCUUAGGAAGCAAGACUGCGAGAUGGCCGUAAUUUUUAAUGCGGAAGUCAAAUGAUUGUGUCUGUUCUAAUCCUGCUAGAGUGGAGUGGUGACUGAAGGAGUUCUGUUUUGGCCUGAGAAAUUAUGUUGGCUGAUCAGACGACAUAAUUUUUGGAGGAAAACAGGGACGCCUGUCCAGACUUUCGUUUGAUGUGCGGUCGAGAUGUUUUGAUGUUAUCUGCCCCGAUUUGUUCCUUCAGCUAUGUUAGUCGCGAGAGUCGGACGGUGUUGCCGGAGAGCAGUGCCAGUUUGGCGCCUGGGAUGUGCAGGAUCCCUGAGAGACUUGAGCGAGGGAGCAGAGUACUCGCCAGGAGGACAGCUGGGGUGAUCAGACAGAGGCGAGUGCGACCAGUGUUAGGAGCAAGGGCCGUACCGGAGCUAGCGCAAUCAUCCUGAUCUGACGUGCACAGUGGCGGCUGAACUGACGAUCGUGAGCGAGGCGCAGGUGGAGUUAGUUGCAGAGUUGUGUGUUAGAGAGAAUAGCUCAGCCAGCCGAGUCAGCACCGGAGAUCAGUACCAGAGUGCAAGCUGCCACCCCCGACUACUCAAGUGACGCACAGCUGCAGCAGUUCCUCGUCACCCGGUAGCAUUCCAGGAGGCCAAGUGAGAUCUGUUGGGCGGCCUGGAGUACGAUUGACUGAGGCCGCAGCUAGGAGCAGUGGACGGAGGAGGUUUAGGCGUGUUUUCGUCGAUUUGAACCACGAUCUUCGGAUGAGAGGCACUGAGGCAUGGUAUGUUGAGAGAUGGCGGUCAGUUGCAGCAUGGCAGAAGGCUAUUCGUAGGAUCUGUUCGUUCCAGAGUGGGAGCAGGUACUUUGGACGAGGUACACUGUCAUGUCAGGUGAUGCACUGAUGGGCGGGAUGAGGAGCGAGACCAGGGACUGGUGGCGACGCAGUUAAGGUGGGAUGAGUUCUGUGGAAUGCUGUAUGGGAUGUAUUUUCCCAACAGCAUGAAACAGAAGAUCGAGGAGGAUUUGAAGAGGAUCCAGCAGGGUGAGCGGACAGUUCAGGAGUAUGUUCGGGAGUUUACUAGGCUCUUGAACUGUAUUCCGUUCGUGGCCAGAGACGAGGCACAUAGGGUCUACUUGUUUGAGCAGGGGUUGAGACCCGAUCUGUUCAGGUUCGUUAGGGCGCAGAGGUCGAGGACUCUGGAUGCGUCCAUUGAGCAGGCAUUAUGGGAGGAGAGAGGAGAGGUGUCGCUCCGAGAGAGGGCUCAGGGGCCGGGACCGAGCCAGGACAGGAAGCGCCCCUUUCCAGAUGACGGAGGACAGUCGAGUAGCAGACGUCCGCCGAGAUCUCCACGAUCACGCUCUCAGGGUCGUGGGUCUUCGGGGCGUCAGCGUUCCAGGGGAUCCCGUCAGCAGGGGCAGACUCAGAGGACGCCACAGUGUGUGAUUUGCGGGGGACCACACUGGCCCCAGCAGUGCGAGCAGAGAGAGGGCAGAUGCUAUGGAUGUGGUCAGCCGGGACACAUGAGGGCGGCUUGUCCCCGAACAGCAUCUCCAGCACCAUCAUCAGCUUCAGCACCACCAGUACCCCAGCAGUCGUACGGAGCAGCACCGAGUUACCGUCAGGAGGACAGAUCGUCUGUGCCGCGACAGGGUGAGCGGCGACAGCAGGCUCCGAGUGGCAGAGUCUAUGCAGCUCAGGUGGAGGACUCUACAGCGGCCGACCGGGUGGUGGCAGGUAUCACUUUGAUUUCCGGCAUUCGUACUCGAACCCUUUUUGAUACUGGAGCCUCGCAUUCUUUUGUUAGCCGAGCAUUUGCAUUGUUGCAUGGUCUAGAGUUAGGGCCCUUGUCACAGGCACAAGAGGUGCAGAUCCCCGACCAUGUCUUGCAGGUUACAGAGUGUUGUUGGUCGUGUCCGGUGCAGUUAGACUCUUGGAUUAUGCCCGCAGACCUGUUGGUGUUAGGGCAGCUGCAGGACUUCGACGUAGUGCUCGGUAUGGAUUGGUUGGCGCGGUACUAUGCUACUAUCGACUGUGGAGCGAGGAUUGUGACGUUUCGCGAGCCAGGCCAGGAGGAGUUCACCUUCAGAGGCUGCAGGAGCACGUUGUUUGCCACCUGGAUAUCUUCGGCGAGGGCUCGACAGCUGAUGGGUAGAGGAUGUGUUGCUUUUCUAGCGACUGUGACAGAGGUGCCUACGGCGGCGCCGGGAGUCGAGGAUAUCCCUAUAGUCCGCGAGUUUCCGGAUGUGUUUCCUCCGGAGUUGACGACGAUGCCGCCGGAGAGGGAGAUAGAGUUUGUGAUUGAUGUAGUUCCUGGAACUGCACCAAUCUCAAAGGCACCUUACAGGAUGGCACCGGCAGAGCUGAGAGAGCUAAAGGCGCAAUCUACUAAUCCGAAACUUAUGACUACUUUCUGGCAUAAUACACCAGGAAUCUGUAUGAUAAUAUUUAGAUAUUGGAGUCCUUGCUCCCCAGACCUUCAUCUUGUGCCGAUCCAUAUGGGGAGCGCCAGGGUAUUUAUUAGUAAAGAAAAGAAAAGGAUGGUUCGCCAUCAGCGUGAUGGUUGUUGAUUACCUGCCAACAGUUAUACGGGAGCUCUGAAUAGAAGUGACCAUCAAAGAAUAUAGUAUCCGCUUGCCCGCGCAUUGAGAUUUGUUUGAUCAGCUGCGCAGGGAAUCCUUAUGUUUUUCGAAGAUUGAUUCUCUCAGUCAGGUUACACCAGCGUCGACGGUGGGCAGCUACGACCGGGAAUUUGUCUCCAGACUGGCAAUCACCGACUGGCUUAAGUGUGGCAUUUCAUAGUUCCCGGGCACGGUAAUGGGUAACGUUUCUAUGACUUUGGACCUUUGACAUGAUCAAACGCGGCGGCACUGCCUUUCGUCAGCCAAUUAAUGUGAUUUUUGAUACGAACACUGCAGUGUUGUGCAACGCACCGUACUAUCAGAUAAAGGUCUAGUAAAUGAGUUACUUUAUCCCAGGUCGUUAUUAUACGCUAGAUCUAGCUUUUCCGAGGAGUUAUGAUGCCAAAAGAGAAAAGUGACAUGCACUCGUUUGCAAGUGAAGGAGUACACCUUUAAGAACUGUGUGCGCAACGACACAUCCUGCGAAGAGAAAAUUUUAUAUGUCCACAUUAUUAGAUGAAAGUUGCGAGUUCCUGCUACGCGCGAGGUUGCUUUCUUGUGGUUUUGUUCCACUUGUGACCGUUGAUACAGGCAUGAUGGAGUAGCUGAUUCGAUGCAUUCCGACGAGGAUUGAGGUCAUUCGAGAAUUUGGCCAUCCAGACGGACGACGGUGACUGAGGUACGGAGCUUCCUAGGACUUUUUCGGCAGCUAAUAAGAAUUACUUAAAAUCAAGUAGAUUUUCGGUUCCUGGUUUUCGUUGGAUAGGUCUGGAAUGUCGAAGCAUAAUCAAGACAACUAAGAGCCUACUCGAAUGCCACUUGACUGCGGAAAAGGAGAGUUUCGUUUUGUUAUCGUAGCGAUGACUGUCAGAGGCACGGUUUUGACGAGUUGAGACUGAGUUUGAACGUCAGCGUACCUAUCCCCUUACGCCUUCGGUGAUGGGGAUGGAUUGUGAUCACAGUUGAUGCGCAGAAGCCAUACUCUAUUAUCUCAAGAUGGAUCGUUGGUUUCGUCUAAUCCGGCAUUAACUUCUGUGCGUGGUAAGUGACUUGACAUCUGAUUGCAUUAUUCGCUUUUCUACCGGACAAUAAAGGAUAUAAUUUUGUAUAACACAGCUCAAUUUCACCUGGCGGGUACAUCGAAUAAGAUUAAAUAGGUUACCGAUGGAGCUAUUAGAGCUUGCCUCUCCCGAGUACAGUGAGAUUAUUGAUGCUUAAUUCGAGAAGCAUGCUUGGCGGGCAAUCUACUUGUACCGGUUCUGAGCAAUUGCGAGGUCUUUCACCUGGAUCAUCAAAGUCUCAGUAAUCUGUUCAAAAGUUAAAUAAAAGGAGCUGAGACUGAGGCAGCGCCCGGUUGGUAUAGAGUUACUGAAAGAUUAUGCACGAUUUAGAAACUAAGCGAAUAUUCAGUAUCCAUCCCGGGCACAGGCGAGCGACAAAUAUGAGUUCAGGGCCUAAAGGAGUGAGUCUGGUUUUUGGUCUCUCAGGUGAGCGAUGACAUCAGGAAGUCAUUAUGCAGACCCGGUUCAGUUUGAUUCGAUUACUCAGAGCAGAUAGUUACACUCUCGGGCAUUAGAACACGUAUGAAAAUAAAUUAGAUUUUAUCAUCUUCGAUAAAAUAAGAAAAAGCACCCUCUUCUGUCACACGUGAGAGACGCUUCUCUGCGAGCCGUGGACUCGAGAUAGUACCCGCCUGGGUCUGCGGCGAGGCUAACGUCUCUAGUUUUACAGCCACAACUCUGUUGGAUAGGAUCCGAGAGAAACAGAGCGCACGAAUCUCGAUACUUAUUGAGGAUUAGAAGCAGCUAGACAGGGGCAGCGAGGAGUUUUGAGCUUUGGAAGCUUCCGAGAGUUAUUAUCGGUAUGCUAUUCGGACGGACUGUUGUGUGCCUGUUGUGCAUUCUGGUAUACUCGUCGAUCAACAUCCUGUUAUGAGGACAGUCUUCCGAGAUGUUCUCUCUAUAUGUCUUCACUCCAAAUUAUACACCCGCCACCCGGCUUCAAUAGAUAAUAUAAUAGUUUACGGCUAUCUCGAUAAGAGAAAAAGUAACUCGUUGCACCAGGUGGAACCAAGAGUAUGUAUAAAAUGGACUCUAUAAGGUCACGAUCGUAUAUGGUGGGGACGACAAUCUGUAUGGGAAGAGUAGGAUCCUAAUGGAUCAGAUUUUUGUCGUGGCCUGUCAUUGUCUGUGUACUUGUCUAGCUAGGCGUGAAAAGUGACAAACCGGAUGCGCAUUUCCAAAUUUUAACAACUCUCGUGACAUCAGGUACCUAGAACUGUAGAACAAUAUAGAGUCUCGAUUAUACCUUUAGAGGUCUAACCCAGUCCCCGACGUUUUGAGAUGGCACGCGUAUCACGAGGGACUAAUGUCGAAUCGGAAUGGACCGGAGAACACAGAGAGGGGAAUUUCUAGCAUGGCGAUUUUCUGGUGGAUAUGUUGGACACCAGUCGACCAAGUCUGGCGCCCACUUCCUACCCGUAAUUAAACUGGUUAGCAACUCACUUGAGUCCACGAGAGAGCAGUCUCGCAGGUCAGUUUAUUGUGAAGAGAUAGUGAGCGGUCUUGCAUGGCAAGUCCUAAGCACGUACGUCUAAUAGGUUUCUCGAUAUGUUAUCCCACAGGAUUAUUUGUUCUUCGCUAGCGGCGACUGCAGAGUAUCGUGGGGGGGAUCGAGCUACUUUUGCGUUCGCAGAAGAGUUAUAUCAUCAGACCUUUCUGGCGACCAUAUCGAUAUCAGAGUAGUAGGAUUAAGAUUAUCACUAACCGCUAUUAUUUCUGACAUAAAUUCAGCGAGAAAGAGAAUAGGCAGUUUCAUCGUCCUGCAUCCAAACGAUAGACAGAUGGUACAACUUGGCAUGAAGCGGACCAUUCAACUUCUAAGGACAAUGCUGAGGGCUAUGUGUCGCUGGACUUCGGAGGAGGGUGGUUAUCGCGCUAUUUGAUGCACUGGUUGAGUUUGCGUAUAACAACAGCUAUCAGCCAGCAUCCAGAUGUGCUACCGUUGAGGCGUUGUAUGGACUGGCAGAUGUUCGAUCCCGCCAACUGAUAUCUUAAGUUGUUCCGGUCUUCCGUUCUUGUUUUUGAGAAAGCGAUGUUGGACGAGUGACGGGACUGAGGACGAACUUGGUCGUUAGCGAGAUCUAUAUCUUUGAAGGUCACUCUCUGAGGAAAUAAGAAUGGAGAUGACAGUAUCAAUUUAGUUUUUUACGUACGAUCAAACUCUGAUACAACAAGAGACACAAAGUACUCGUUGCAAAGUUUAUUAGUUAGCGCAAACUAGUAGUCUAAAUGUUCGGUUUUUGGUUCUGUGAGCGUUGAUCAUCGAUUCGUCCAAUUUACACUUCGGGCAUAAUAGAACAAUAUACAUUUAGAUUUUAUCUUUCUUCGAUAAAAAUGAAAAAUCGUUGCAAGAUAAACUGUUAGCGCGCAACCGCAUAUUCUAAUGUUUUCCGUUUACGUCUAUGCAGCUUUGACAAUCGAUCGUUCCAGAAUUUACACCCGGCAUAAUAGAACAGUAAAUUAAUUUUUAUCGCCUCCUCUUCGAUUAAAAAAAGAAAAGUACUUCUUGCAAAUUAUACCUGUUAUAGCCAACUGAGUAUCUAAUUUUUUCCGUUGUUCUUGUGACGUUGACAUCGAUUUCGUUCCAAAUUUACACCUCUGGAUAAAUAGAACAAUAUAAUAGAUUUUAUGUCAUCUCGAUAAAAUAAGAAAAACAAACUCGUUGCCAAAAGUUCCGCUGAUAGGCGCAACUGAGUAUCAAGUUUUCUGGUUUUUGUUCCUGUGUUGACAUCGAUAUCUUCCAUUAACUACUCUCCCCUCUUGCUUUAGAUCAGAAGUACAUACACAUUAAGGCGUUUUCACGGCUCAUUCUUCGAUAAAAAGAGAAAAAUACUGGAGGUCGCCAUAACAUUUAUCGAAUAACUGCUUCAUGCUGCAAAACUGGAGUAAGGUAACAAUGAUAUGUACUUCCUUAGGUUAGUUUGUUCUUCAGUGGAUCGUUGACAAGAUUGCGAGAUCCACAUAAAUUUACACUCUGUUUGACAUAAAUCUACUCACAACAAAGUAUACAUCUAGAUUUUACGCUGUCCGUCCUUCAUGAAAAUAGAAAAGAGUGAUCUUCUCGGUCAACGAUUUGUGAGAGACGUUAAGUGCGUGGAAAGCUCAGUCGCGCAACUGAGACGUUAUAGUCUCUAUUAUGUUUCUCCGAUUUUAUUGGUUCUCGUGAGCCGUUUACUUCGAUAUCGAUUUACUGUGGAUGCAAAUUAGACAUCUUUUCGUGACCAUAAGUAUUGCUAGUAACGCAAUUAUAAUAGAUGUUAACUUGCUGCCUAUUACUUCGCGAUAAAAUGGACAAAGCCAACCCCAUCGGUUGCAAACUAAGUUAGAACUGGGGACUUCAGUUAGGAGUUUGUCGCUCACACUUCUCGCUCUGAGAAGAUAUUUUUGAUACCUUCUCACUGAAUGACUUCACUCCCUUAGCGAUUGGCGAGGAUUUGAAUACGAGGACGAACUUCUACGUAGGGCUAAUGUUGAUUUCCCGGUUUUCGGUUCUUAUGAGCUUUGACACGAUUUGGCCGUGUCCAAUAAAUUUACACUCUCUGGCUUCAGUAAUCCAGCCAGUAUAAUUAGGUUGUUAAGACCGCUAAACUAUCGUGAUGAAAAAAAAGUAGAAAACGAGUACGUCCGUAUGCACAAUAUUAGGCUGUGUUCAUCCCGUAUUGGCAAAGAUGCAUGUGGAGCAAUCACAGAUGAAGCGGGAGUCAGACUUGGGAGCCUGAGACCCUAAAUGAUGAGGUGAGUAUUCUACGGCCGCUCUUUGCGUUGCUUUUUGUGUCUUCGUGAGCGUUGACAUAUGAUUCGUUCCCAAUUUACACUCUCUGGGCAUAAUAGAACAAUAUAAAUUAGAUUUUAAUGCUUCUUACGAUCAAAUAAGAAAAAGCUAGUCCUUGAUGUCUGUGUGUUUCAAAGUUUCGAGGAUCGAAACUUUUGUAGUGGGGGAGAGGAUUGACAUGUAGUACCUGUUACUUAUUCUUUAUCUUUCUUUCCCUUUUUGCUUUUUUAUAUUCUUUGAGUUGGUAAGCUAGCUGGGGAUAAGGAUGGCCGCCAACACGAUGCAUCCAUUUACCACCCUAGCAUGAUUAUUUAAUUCAUCUUAAUACCUGUUAUCUGUCUAUAUAUAGUUCUUUCGAGGUCUUCGUACGUUUCUAUUAUGAGACGUUGUGAACGUCCGGGAUUCGUUCCAAAUUUACACUCCUGGGCAUAAUAGAGAGAGAUCAGGGUUGGAUGUUAGAAAGGUUUUUUCGUUCGAUCGACCUAUUCCUUCGAUAAAAAAGUCAAAAAAGCGACUUCGUGCAUUAAAGUUAUACUGUACUGAGCCCGCGCAGGUGACUCCAUUAAGUUUCCCUGAAAUGUUUUUCGGGUUUUGUUCUAGGUGAGCGUGCGAGCAUUUAUUUCGUGUUCGUACGCGCACGAAUUGACAACUCCGAUAGGGGGGGCCAUAAUAGGCAGAGCGAAAGGGAUCAUGAUAUUCACCGAUUUUACGCCCCGUUUUUGUCUGUCCGCAACCGAUGAAGAAUUAAGCCAGUAUAUUAGAAAGCAUGGUCUACAUCGGCUUGCGAUCUCUAAGUCUAUCUAAUCGUCGACGAUGUAUAAGUAUGUAUUUUAAAUUUUCUGUGAUAUAGAUGCUAUCGUCCAUAGUCUGAAUUCUAUGAUUAAAUGGUAGAUUGCAUAUCUGAAUUUGGAGCAUGUACGGUCAUAUUCAUAAUUGAACAUGGAUAUAAUAUCGCAGUUGUUUUUUGACUCUUGGGAAUUGAUGAUGCAUGUUAGGAAAACACAUCUGCGAUUAUUCGUUGACGCUGUCAUCCAUUAUGAAUUUACAACUAGGCCCGAUUUUAGCUCUAGGAGCCGUAUUUAAUUGUACUCCGGGCCCCAUGUCAGUAUAAUUCACACUCGAGACCGUCAUAAUGUAUCCAUUGAUUUUAACGCUUUCUUCGAUAAAAUUAAUAAAAAGCCCUUCCCAAGUGUUAGCGAUAAACAUUUACGCUCAGUUAUGAGCUGGUAUGCUGUUACGCGAGUGGAUUUUACAGUAUUCUUUCAGUUUGUUCCGUGGACUUGUGGGUGGUCCCCGCCGUCAUGAGAGUGACGUGGAACCCGUAUCGCCUUUUGGCUGUCAGAUUGUGCGAGCGGCAAACACCGUUUAACCAUGUUACUAAAUUUGUUGUUAGGAUUCCAGUUCUCAUGUUUGUGAUUCUGUUUACUUGACUUGUGGAGCCUAUUUGGACGAAAGUCCCGGAUUCGCUUUCCGAAUAAUAUACCUCACCGAUCAUGGAGGCGUAUAAAUAAGAACUGAGCAACAAUAAAUUACGUUUAUGAUAUGUUGCAUUACAGGCUUUCAUAGUCCUCUUCAGAUUAAAAGGCAAACACACAGAGUCUAUCGCGUUUGCAGCUUUGCGUUGGUGUCCGCUCAUCGCAGUAUGGACUUGCUCUCCACGGACCCAGUUAGUGUGGAUAGAGCCUGAUAGUCGAAAACGGAAGGAGUCAGGGACGGGUGUACUUGCAUUAUAUAGUGGCCCGGGACUGGGUAUGCUUACAGUCCCGAUUCGGAUUGGGUCAGAUAUUGACAUUUCGCUCUACAGUUGGUUAGGGUAGAAGCAUGAUAGUGUAGUGAUCGAUAGCGGUGAGUUUAUUCCCUGCUUUUCUGACUACUCUUUGCUGCCCUUCUGUAGACUUGGCCUACUUGAGUAAUCUAAGUUGUUACGGUGGGUGACCGUUGAUUGUCUGUGGUGGCGUUAUCCUGUAGAGCUGACAUCUGACACUUCGUAGGACUAUCUUGUUUUUCACACAGUAGUUCUCAAUCACCACUUAGUUUGAUUACCUUCAUCUCCUUUUUGCUAUUAGAGGCACAGAGCACCAAAUCAAUGGUAUUAACCUGGAGGACUGCUUGUGAGGCCUUCCCGGCCAUUCAGGAUCGAGCAUAAGGGCGUCGUCGAGCUCUACAAUAGAGAAACCACUAGGCCCAAAAUACACAGAUGCGUAGGGAUGCAGUAAAAGUUAAAUACACCCCUACUCUGUUUCAGCAGAUAAGUGCUGGUUAUACUUUCAGUAGGCUUACUUAAAUCAUUAGGUAUUCUAGACUCGCCAGUUUUUGGUUCUGGCGAUGUGAGACGUUCAGAGUACAUUUUUGGGAGGUCCGAGCGAACUAAUUGUACUGUUUCACAUGAAAGUUCAUUACACUUUGCGUCUUUACGCUGUGUAGAUUUAUUGAGAUACACAGCAAACUUCUAUGCUACUGUAUUUGAAGUAUAGUAUAUUUCUACAGGUACAAGCUGACGAUUUUUUAUAACAGCGCAAAUUAAUUCUAUUUUUCGUAGAGACGAUAGAAUUGAUCGGGGCAAAGUGCACCCAACGGGCAACCGAUAACGUCUGUCCGAGGGCGUGAAUUUAGUAAUAAUGGCUAGUCAUCACAUAACUUCUUUUGUCACCACCCCACCUUUUUUUUUUUUGAGUCUUAGAGAUUUUUAUUUUAAUCUUUUGCGAGAAUCUAUUUUCAGAGCUAUUCUAGAUUAGAAACUAAUAAAAAGAACACUUAUCAAGCGGCCGAUUGAGACUUGUAUUUUAACCUUUAAAUAAUCAUAAUUGUUUUAUUAUAAUAUUUUUAAAAUUAACGGGCAUUCAAUUUCAAUUUAGUUUAAAGGUCCAUUAUGAACACUAACUAACGAAAACACAUAUAUAAAUAAAAAAAAUAUAAUAAAGAUGAAACGUUUAGAUAAUUUAUGAACUACCAUGCCAACUACAAUAUAGUAUGUCUUUGCUAGUCAGAGUUAAAUCGCUUAUGGGAAAUGGAUUCUAGUCAGGUUAAAGAAGGGUCUCAAUUCGUUACUUUUUUUUUUUCGGGGCGAAAAAUUUCCUUUUUUUUUUUAAGGCUGACUAAUUCUUAUAAGAAAUGCUUUUUAUAUAGCUAUCAGUUUAACUAAUCUACAAUUUGUCCAUGUCGAAGAUUCAACUUGCUUUCUACAGAUCCUGUGAUUUUUUUGUUUUCUUAUUACUAGAAAUUUUUUAAAAAGAUUGAAUAAUCUAAGCCAUUGACGUGGAUUAUAAAGAUUUACAAUAUUUACUUAGUUGUAGAGCUUAGCGAUGUUGGCCUUGAAGAUGGCCAGGACACAAGUGAAUUAGGCGCCUAAAAUUGAGAUAUAUUAUUACUAAAUUUUGUUUUUUUCAUUUAUAGAAUUAUUUUUGGCAAAUGAUCCUGUUUUCUUAAAAUGUGAGCCGUUAUGAUCUUUAUAUUUCUGAAUGAGCGAUCCAAAAUAAGAAAAAAACAAUAACUUAUAUUCAUUAAAAUCAGAAUUUCUGAUAUCUACAUAAAUUUCAUGCACAAAAUCAGGGGAGACAUAAUUAGAAAUAAUUAAGAUUAUCAAAUAUGUCAUAUGUUAUUUAAUAUAUUUACUAAUGUUUACAUUGUUACAAUCUUUGUAAAUAUAUACAGAUUUGAGCAAACAUAGCAAAAUCUUACUAAAUUUCUAAAUUUAAAAUUUAAAAUUUUUUGUUAAAAUUUAAAAUAUAAAUAUUUAUAUCAUUAUAUUUUAAACUUUAAAUUUAUAUUAUAGGAUUUUAUGAAAUGUAAAAUUUUUUAAUUUUUUCAAUUUAAAAAUUUCAAUAUUUGACCAUUUUUAAUUAAAAUUUCAGCUUCAAAAUAGUCAAUUUAAGAUUUAAAUUUCAUUUUUAAAUUUAAAAUUGCAGUUUUACACAUUUUUAAAUUUUAAAUAUUUUGCAAUUUUGAUAAAGUAACAUAUUGGUUGGAUCUUACAUGUAAAAUUUAGAUCUAAAUUUUCAAUUUAAUUUUGAUUUUGGCCAAAUAAUUACAUGUAAUUUAAAUAAAGUAAAAGUGAAAGGAGCAAAAAUCUGAAAAAUUAAAAGUAGAGGGCGGCUAUUUCGGACGGCUGUUCAUUUCGUUCAUUUUUUUUUUAUAGAAAAGUUAAAAAGAUUAAUGUUUAUUAAUUGGUCCUAAUCUUUAUUACAUGCUGUUCCUUGCGCAGAAUAUAUUUUUCGUUAUUAAUUAUUAACUUUUAUAUUUUAUUAACGGUUAGGUUCCAAAUCAUUCUCAAAUUUGUGUUAGCCUACUUGCUUGUAUGUGUGAUAACGACAUUGAGCGUUGUAAUUAUUGGCAUUUACAACACAGCUAGAACAGCCAGCAAGGCCAGUAUAUGAGAAUAAAGAGAGAUCAUGAGAUUUAAUUCAAUAGUGCUCGGUGUGGUAGAGUAGGAUUUUGAUAUUUAAUAUGUAAUUUCUUUAGUCGUAUAAGACUCUUCUUUGUUUGAGCAGUGGUCAUAACAAUAGGCCUUAUGAUUCUGUGAGGCGUCAUUUUUCGUGCCAAAAUUAGAUUAGGGGGAGGAGUGUGUCUCAUACUCACAUGAGAUAUGCUUUACAUAUACACAGCCUUCCGGGCAUAAAGACACCUUGAAGGUAGAUUAGGAUUGACGCCAAAAUUUUUUACACGCUAUUUUCCAAAAAGUGAUUUGCCGAAAUCAAAAAAAUUAGAAUAAUAAGUAAUGUCCAGUUUGCCAUUUAUAUCCAAUAGAUAUAUGACAUUAGCGCAAAAAUCGUGUUUCUUAGCAAUGUAGACUUUUUUUAAUAUCUUUAAAAGGACCAAAAUAAUGAAACAACAAAAACUUUAUAAUAUCUAUAAAGAUUUGCUUGCGGAAUUUUAUUUAGUGGAAUUUACUUGCAUGACUAACAGUUCAUGGACACAAGCGAUAUUUCACGAAUAUAUUUCCAAAUAUGCACUAUGAUCAUAUUACUGAUUAUUCAUUUUAAAUAUUAUAUAGAAUAUUAUUAUACAUUUACAUCAUGCAAAAUUUAUUAAGUUAAAAUUUACAAUUUACAAUUUUUUCUUGGUGUAAAAAAUUUACAAUAUAAAAAUAAAAUUGUAUAAACUUCCCUCUUAUAUGUCAUUAAGCUUUAAAUUUAUAUUUUAAUUUAUAAAGGUAAAUUUUAUUUUUUAAUUUAAAUUUUAUCAUUUUAAUUUUUUCAUUAAAUUUACUUCAAAUCGUCAAAUUAUGUAAUUAGAUAAUUUCAAAUUUCCAAUUUAAUUUAGACUUUAAAUUUGCAGUUUUAAAUUUUAAAUUUUAAAAAUUUUUAAAUUUUUAAAUAAUAUAUUUUGGAUCUUACAUGUACAAUUUAGAUCUAAAUUUUUCAAUUUAAUUUUGAAAUUUUGCAAAAUUAAUUAACUGUAUUUAAAAAAAAGUAAAGUGAUCGAAAGGACAACAAUCUUAAAAAUAUAAAGGUUAAAAGGUAAUUGCUUUAUUAAUUGUAUCCCUAUGCUCUUAGCAAGCUGUAACGUUUGGUCCGCGAAUAUAUUUUUCUCGUUAUGAGACUAACCUUAGAAGUUUAAUAGUUUCUAUUAAUAUGUCGGUUGUAGCCGCUUCGCAUCAUUUGGUUUCUUCAAUUGUAUUAGCUGAGCGAGCUUGACAUCGAUUUCGUCUUGCAUUGUCAUAUGUGUGAUAUAAUAACCGACAAUUGCGUAGGGGCGCAUUUUGUAUAUAUUAUUUUAGGAACAACAAGUGCUAAGGACAACAGUGAGCAAUUAGAUAAAAGAAGAUUAGCGUAAAUUUAAAGUGCUUUUUACGCUUUUCGUUAUAUUCCAGGUUUAUAUAAGAAUUAAUAGAAUAGUUAAUGAGGCACGUCUACACUGCUUUUUGCGAGCGAGUGAUCACAGUAUUAGUACCCUUUUUGAGAGUCGCUGGCUAGGCGUCAUUAUACCCGGUGAGCCAAUAAUAAAUUUAGGUAGGUGUGAGACUAUGUUAUUGUGCACGGAUAUGUCUUAAUUCUGUUCUAUAUGACCAUUAGGCUGUCGAGAGCAUCACAAGAGAUUAAUACCCCAGUUUUCCAAACUUUGACAACUACUUCUUGGGUGGAGAGGAGCAAAGUAGAAUAAAGGGAAAAACAUUGAUUAGGACAUAUAUUACGAGAACUUCAUAUCAGGGUCAGUUACUCAAUUCUCGGCUACAAUAAGACACGAGACUACAGAUAAAAGUAAAGUCCGACGUGAUCAUGGCACAAUUACAAUCGUAACACAAGUUAUACUGUUAUGUGCGCAAACUGAGUACCUAAGUGUUCGGUUUGUGUUUCUUGGUGAGCGUGACAUCUAUUCGUCCAAAAAUUUACACUCUCUAGCAUAAUAAACAAUGCAUAAUUAGAUUUACGGCUUUCUCAAUAAAAAAAGAAAAACACCUGUUGCAAAGUUAUAAUACGUAGGUGCCAGUAGUAGUCUAAUAUUUCCGGUUGUUCUUUGAGCUUGACAUCGAUUCGUUCCAUAUGACACUCUCUGGGCAUAAUAGAACUAAAUUGAUUUUACCUUUUCUGUCGAUAAAAUAAAAAAAGCAAUCGUUCAAAGUUAUACAUUAGCGCAUACUGUAGUAGUCUAAUUGUUGUUCGCAGUUUUGUCUUCUGUAGUUGACAUCGUUCGUUCCCACAUUUAUAUAGAACCAAUAUAAUUUAAUUUUAACGCUUCUUCGAUAAAAUGGAAAAAAGCACUCUGCAAAGUUUAUACUUUAGGUCGGCCACUGAAGUAGUCUAAAUGUUGUUCCGGUUUUUGUUCUGUGUGAGCUUUGACAAUCCGAUUCGUUCCAAAUUUACUAACUUCACGGGCAUAAUAAAUAAUAUAAUUAGAUUUUACGCUUCUUCUAUAAAAUGGAAAAAGCACUCGUUGCNNNNNNNNNNNNNNNNNNNNNNNNNGAUAGUCGCAACGGGGCAGGGACGGGUGUAUUCACAGUCCCGGGGACGGGUAUGCUUACAGUCCCGAUUGGAUUGGGUCAGGUUGGACAUUUUCUACAGUUGGUUAGUAUAGAGCAUGAUAUUGUAGUGUUUGAUAGCGGUAGACUUUAUUCCUGCAUUUUACUACUAUUCUUGCUCCCUUCUGUAGACUUAGUGGGUGGACCGAUGUUGUUUUGGGCGGUACCCACUGAGGACUACUUAUUUUUACAGUAGUUCUCACGCCCAGUUGUUACCUAUGUUUUUGCAUAGCCACAGGUUUCGGCUGCUGCGCCUUCCGCGGAUCAGGAUCGAGGCAAGGGCGUUGCGAGCUAGAGCCCUACCCGACUGACAGAGCUAGAGGCACCCUACUGCAGGUAGUUGUUUUGAUAGAGUUCAUGUACAUACCUACCUUUAACUCGCCAGUGCGAGUAGUUUUUGUAUCCUGGAUUUUGGUGUAUGUAUAUGAGACUCGGUUUUGUAUUUCUUCUGUUUCUUCUAGCAGCUCUACACUACUGUUUGUAGUAUUGUAUGAUUUACAGAUACAGCUAUCGCUUCGUAUACAAGGAAAAUUCCUUUGUAUACGGUGGAUUUGUCGGCGUGCCCGUGGAACGUGUAAUCCGGGGCGUGACAGAUUAAGUUGGUAUCAGAGCUUUGCUGUAGGUCGUUGGAACCUAGGAAACCUAAGUUGGCAAACCUUAGGAAAGCAAGACGCGGGCGGCGUAAUUUAAUUGCGAAAGUCAAUGAUUAGUUGUUCUAACUCCUUCUAGAGUGGAGUGGGUGACUGAAGGAGUUUCUGUUUUGGCCUGAGAAAUUAUGUUGGCUGCAGACGACAUAAUUUUGAGGAGAAACAGGGGCCGCAUUCUAGGCUUUCGUUUGAUUGGGUCGAGAGUAUUUUGUUGUAUCUGACCCCUAUUUGUUCCUUUCAGCUAUGUAUCGUCGCCGAGGCCGACCGUCGUUGCGGGAGCGUGCGCAGUUGGCGCAGGAUCGUGCUAGAUCUCCCGAGAUGCCUGAGCAGGCAGAGGCGAGUGCACCCCCAGUUGUAGAGCAGAGGGCCCGACCGGAGGCGAGUGCAUCCCCAUAUUUGAGUGCACAGUUGGCUGCCCUGACUGAGGUGACGAGACAGCAGGGGGAGCUAUUACAGAGGUUGUGUGAGAGGAUAGCUCAGACACCGAGUUCUAUACCGAGGGCACCAGAGUCGCCAGUUCCACCCCCGACUACUCCAGUGACAGCACCAGCUGCAGCAGUUCCUCCAUCGGCAGCAGUUCCAGUAGCGCCAGUUGCGCCUGCUAGGGGGCCAGUACCGUUGACUGAGGCCGAGCAGGAGCGGUGGACGGAGAGGUUAGCUCGUUUUCGCCGAUUUGAUCCACCGAUCUUCGAUGGCAGAGGCACUGAGGCCUGGAUUGUUGAGGGAUGGGUCAGUGCGAUGGAGAAGUUAUUCGAGGAUCUGUUCGUUCCAGAGGGGGAGCAGGUACCCCUGGGAGUACACUGUCUAGCAGGUGAUGCUCAUGACUGGUGGCGGAGAACGAGGCGAGACCAGGGGCUAGUGGCGGCGCAGCUGAGUUGGGAUGAGUUCUGUGGAAUGCUGUUUGGGAUGUUCUUUCCCAACAGUGUGAAGCAGAAGCUCGAGGAGGAUUUGAGGAGGCUUCAGCAGGGAGAUCGCCCAGUGCAGGAGUACGUUCGGGAGUUUACUCGACUCCUGAACUGUGUACCAUUUGCGGCCAGAGACGAGGCGCACAGAGUAUACAUGUUCGAGCAGGGGCUGAGACCGGACAUCUUCAGGUUAGUGCGGGCGCAGAGGUCGAGGACCCUGGAUGCGUCCAUAGAGCAGGCCCUAUGGGUGGAGAGAGGUGAGGUGUCGCUGCAGGAGAGGACUCAGGCCGUGGGGCAGGGUCAGGACAGGAAGCGCCCCUUUCCAGAUGACGGAGGGCAGUCGAGCAGCAGACGUCCGCCGAGACCUCCACGAUCACGUUCUCAGGGUCGUGGGUCUUCGGGGCGUCAGCGUUCCAGGGGAUCCCGUCAGCAGGGGCAGACUCAGAGGACGCCACAGUGUGUGAUCUGCGGGGGACCACACUGGCCUCGGCAGUGCGAGCAGAGAGAGGGCAGGUGCUACGGAUGUGGUCAGCCGGGACACAUGAGGGCAGCUUGUCCCCGAGCAGCAUCUCCAGCACCGUCAUCAGCUUCGGCACCACCAGCACCACAGCAGUCUUACGGAGCAGCACCGAGCUACCGCCAGGAGGACAGAUCGUCUGUGCCGCGGUCGAGUGAGCGGCGACAGCAGGCUCCGAGUGGCAGGGUCUAUGCAGCUCAGGUGGAGGACUCUUCAGCAGCCGACCGAGUGGUGGCAGGUAUCACUUUGAUUUCUGGCAUUAGAGUUCGCACUCUUUUUGAUACCGGUGCAUCGCAUUCCUUUGUUAGCCGAGCAUUUGCAUUGUUGCAUGGUCUAGAGUUAGGAGCGUUGUCUCAGGCACGAGAGGUGCAGAUCCCCGACCAUGUCUUGCAGGUUACAGAGUGUUGUUGGUCCUGUCCGGUGCAGUUAGACUCUUGGAUCAUGCUCGCAGACCUUUUGGUGUUAGGGCAGCUGCAGGACUUCGACAUAGUGCUCGGUAUGGAUUGGCUGACGCGGUACUAUGCUACUAUCGACCGUGGAGCGAGGAUUGUGACGUUCCGCGAGCCAGGACAGGAGGAGUUCACCUUCAAAGGCUGUAGGAGCACGUUGUUUGCCACCUGGAUAUCUUCGGCGAGGGCUCGACAGCUGAUGAGUAGAGGAUGUGUUGCUUUUCUAGCGACAGUGACAGAGGUGCUUACGGCGACGCCGGGACUCGAGGAUAUCCCUAUAGUCCGCGAGUUUCCGGACGUGUUUCCUCCGGAGUUGACGACGAUGCCGCCGAAGAGGGAGAUAGAGUUUGUGAUUGAUGUAGUUCCUGGAACUGCACCAAUCUCAAAGGCACCUUACAGGAUGGCACCGGCAGAGCUGAGAGAGCUAAAGGCGUAGCUUCAGGAUAUGAUGGAUAGAGGGUUUGUGAGACCCAGUGUGUCGCCUUGGGGAGCGCCGGUGUUAUUUGUAAAGAAGAAUGAUGGUUCGCUCAGGUUAUGUGUUCAUNCACACUUAUCGAGGAUUCGAGAGCAGCUUGAGAGGGGACAGGCCGAGGGCUUUGUUGUGGACAGUUCGGGAGUACUGCGGUACAGGGACCGACUGUGUGUACCUAUGGACUCAGAGAUCCGAGAGGACAUCUUGAGAGAGGCUCACUGUUCACCUUAUACGGUUCACCCCGGUGGAACCAAAAUGUAUAAGAAUUUAAAGGCCCAGUUUUGGUGGAAUGGAAUGAAGAGGGACAUUGGUAGAUUUGUGGCUCAGUGUCUGACUUGUCAACAGGUAAAGGCCGAGCACCAGGUACCUGCUGGCAAGCUUCAGAGUCUACCAGUGCCCGAGUGGAAAUGGGAGCAGAUCACGAUGGACUUUGUCGUCGGAUUGCCGAGAGCACAGGGUGGUUUUGAUACGAUUUGGGUGAUAGUGGACAGACUGACCAAGUCUGCUCACUUCCUACAAGUGCAGACCACUUGGUCCAGAGAGAGACUCGCUCAGUUGUACUUGGAUGAGAUAGUGAGGUUGCAUGGCGUGCCCACUUCGAUAGUAUCUGACCGAGACCCGAGGUUUGUAUCGCAUUUCUGGAGGAGUUUGCAGACAGCCUUGGGUACACAGUUGUAUUUCAGCAUGGCGUUUCACCCACAGACAGAUGGUCAGUCAGAGCGGACCAUUCAGACUCUAGAGGACAUGCUGAGGGCAUGUGUCCUGGACUUUGGAGGAGGGUGGUAUCGGCAUUUGAGACUGGUUGAGUUUGCGUACAACAACAGCUAUCAAGCGAGCAUCCGGAUGGCUCCGUUUGAGGCGUUGUAUGGACGCAGAUGUCGAUCCCCUUUGUUUUGGAGUGAUGUGGGUGAGAGGAAGACGCUUGGACCUGAGAUUCUGAUUGAGGCUGAGGAAAAGGUAAAAGAGGCGCGACGGCACAUACUAGCAGCCCAGAGUCGACAGAGGAGCUAUGCUGAUACCCGGAGACGAGACUUGGAGUUCCAGGUGGGAGAUCAUGUUUUUCUUAAAGUCUCGCCGUCCAGAGGGAUUCGCCGAUUUGGUGUACGUGGAAAGCUCAGUCCACGUUUUGUAGGCCCUUUCGAGGUAUUGGAGCGAGUCGGGCCAGUUGCUUACAGGAUUGCUCUACCACCACGGCUAGCCGGCAUUCAUGAUGUGUUCCACGUCUCGGCUUUGAGGAAAUAUGUGUUCGACCCCUCCCACGUGAUCGACUUCACUCCGCUUGAGAUUGGCGAGGACCUGAGCUACGAUGAGCGACCGGUGCGGAUUCUGGCUCGUGAGACGAGGGAAUUGCGCAACCGGGUCAUACCCUUUGUAAAGGUGCAGUGGAGUAAUCACGAGGAGCGGGAGGCGACUUGGGAGCCGGAGGCGAUGAUGAAGGAGUCCUACCCCUACCUGUUUGAGGCCCUGGAUUGAGGUAUGUGUUCAGUUUCGCGGACGAAACUUUUUGUAGAGGGGGAGGAUGUGAGAUCCCUGAUGUUUGACUGUGGAGGCUUGUCGACAGCUCUGGAGAGUGUCGGGACAAGUCCGAGUCGCGUUGGCGUCAAAUAGACGUAAAACGGACUCCGUGCGACGCGAGAGCAGCCUUCAGCGAAGAAAUCUGCAAAAUAGCAGAUUUUCCUGCUCGCUGUACCGGCACAGCCAGCGAGGUGUACCGGUACGCUAUACUGGCUGAGUGCAUACUGCUCUCGGGUUAGCUUCCUGUACCGGUACGCGAUCCCGUGUACCGGUACANAGAGCCGCCAGAGGAGCUACGCCGAUACCAGGAGACGAGACUUAGAGUUUCAGGUUGGAGAUCAUGUUUUCCUCAAAGUCUCGCCGUCCAGAGGGAUUCGCCGAUUUGGAGUGCGUGAAAAGCUCAGUCCACGUUUUGUUGGCCCUUUCGAGGUAUUGGAGCGAAUUGGACCAGUUGCUUACCGGAUUGCUCUACCACCCCGACUAGCUGGGAUUCAUGAUGUGUUCCACGUCUCGGCUCUGAGGAGAUAUGUUUUUUAUCCUUCUCACGUGAUUGACUUCACUCCAUUAGAGAUUGGCGAGGAUUUGAGAUACGAGGAGCGACCGGUGCGGAUUCUUGCUCGCGAGAUGAAGGAAUUGCGCAACCGAGUCAUCCCGUAUGUGAAAGUGCAGUGGAGCAAUCACGAGGAGCGGGAGGCGACUUGGGAGCCUGAGACAGUGAUGAGGGAGUUCUACCCCGACUUGUUCGUUGCCCUGUCUUGAGAUAUGUUUUAAGUUUCGAGGACGAAACUUUUUGUAGUGGGGGAGGAUGUAGUAUCCUUAUUUCUUUAUCUUUUCUUUUCCUUUUUCUUUUUAUUUCUUUUGAGUUGGUAAGCUAGCUGGGGAUAAGGAUGCCACGUGCACCUUACCCCCAAGCAUGCUUAUCAUCUUGAUACCUGUGCAUUGUCUAUAUAUAGUUCUUGAGCCGUACGUAGAGGAGGAGCUCGGGUGGUGUGGAGUUUCGUCGACAUCGCGCCGCGGUGCCGUUCGAGCGUGUGUUCGUCGUCGUAGCAUCGCGAGGGGGGGUCGGGCGAGGGUCCGAUUCCGCCGUUUUUGUUGUCGUGCCGGAUUGUGAUUAGCGUUUGAGGUGGGUUACAUCGGCUUUGACUCCUAAGUUCUAAUCGUCGACAUGUAUAGUUUUCAAUUUUUGGAUAAUCUAUUCUAGCUCGAAUUCAUGGAUUAAAUGGUAGAUUGCAUAUCUGAAUUUGGAGCAUGUGGUAAUAAAUUGAAUAGGUUAUACAUGUUGGACUUGGGAAUUGAAUUAGGAGAAAAUUUGCGAUUUGGACCUGUCACUUGAUUAAACUGCCUGAUUUAGCUCUAGGAGCCGUUAUUAAAUUGUACUGUCGCAGUAUCCUCGAGACGAGUACUCCAGGUGGUUUAGUAUAUAUUUACGCUCGUGCUGGUAUGCCGAGUGGAUUUUUAUAGUGUUGUUCAGGUUGUUCCGGACUGUGGGGUGCCGUCAGAGUGACGGUGGACCCGUAUCGCCUUUUUGGCGUCAGAUUGUGCUGAGGGCACGUUACUUGUUGGUUGUUAGACCAGUUAGAGUCGAUUUCUUGACUUUGGCUUUUCAGAGCCUGUUUGAGCUCGACAGAGAUACGCUGCAUACUCGGUUGGGUAGCGCCCACGAGUGCCACUCCGGAGUCAGGCUUUGUGCUUUCGCGUUGGUGUCGCUCAUGCCAGUUGGACUUGCUCUCCACGGACCAGUUAGUGUGGAUAGAGCCUGAUAGUCGCAACGGGGCAGGGACGGGUGUAUUCACAGUCCCGGGGACGGGUAUGCUUACAGUCCCGAUUGGAUUGGGUCAGAUUUGACAUUUCCUACAGUUGGUUAGGGUAGAGCAUGAUAGUGUAGUGAUCGAUAGCGGUAGAGUUUACUUCCUACUUUUCUGACUACUCUUGCUCCCUUCUGUAGACUUAGUGGGUGGACCGAUGUUGUUUUGGGCGGUACCCACUGAGGACUACUUGUUUUUACAGUAGUUCUCACGCCCAGUUGUUACCCAUAUUGUUGCAGAGCCACAGGUUUCGGCUGCUGUGCCUUCCGCGGAUCAGGAUCGAGGCAAGGGCGUCGCGAGCUAGAGCCCUACCCAACUAACAGAGCUAGAGGCACCCU